RNAcentral lists this long non-coding RNA (107751 nucleotides) under Hordeum vulgare. RNAcentral describes it as "long non-coding RNA (HVUL_LNC001109)". Lineage: Eukaryota; Viridiplantae; Streptophyta; Magnoliopsida; Poales; Poaceae. The record is from RNAcentral.
GCUCGUGCCCUUGUUGAGAGGUAUGAGACCUCCAACAAGAUUCUUUGUCUACAUAGUAAAAGAGAAAAGCUCAAUCGUUAAGCAUGUGCUCAGAUUGUCUGAGUACAACAAUCGCUUGAAUCAAGUGGGAGUUAAUCUUCCAGAUGAGAUAGUGAUGGUUUUCCAAAAGCCACUGCCACUAAGCUACUGGAGCUUCGUGAUGAACUAUAACAUAUCAAGGAUAGAUAUGAUGAUCCUUGAGAGAUUCACAAUGUUUGACACUGUGAAAGUAGAAAUCAAGAAGGAGCAUCAUUUGUUGAUGGUUAGUAAAACCACUAGUUUCAAGAAGGGCAAGGGCUAGAAGGGACACUUCAUGAAACGACAAACCAGUUGCUGCUCUAAUGAAGAAACCCAAGAUUGAACCCAAACUUGAGACUAAGUGCUUCUGUUAUGAUGGGAACGGUCACUGAGGCGGAGCAACCCUAGAUACUUGGUAGAUAGGAAGGCUGGCAAAGUCGACAGAAGUGUAUUUGGUAUACAUGAUGUUGAUGUGUACUUUACUUGUAGUCCUAGUAGCACGAGCGUAUUGGAUACCGGUUCGGUUGCUAAGUGAUUAAUAACUCGAAAUGAAAGCUACGAAAUAAACGGAGACUAGCUAAAGGAGAGGUGACGAUAAGUGUUGGAAGUGUUUCCAAGGUUGAUGUGAUCAAAACAUCGCACGCUCUCUCUACCAUCGGGAUUGGUGUUAAACCUAAAUAAUUGUUAUUUGGUGUUUGCGUUGAGCAUGAACAUGAUUGGAUCGUGUUUAUUGCAAUAGAUUAUUCAUUUAAAAGGAAUAAUAGUUAUUCUAUUUGCUUGAAUAAUUACCCUCAAUGGUUUAUUGAGUCUCGAUCGUAGUGUUACACAUGUUCAUAAUAUUGGUGCCAAUAGAUACAAAGUAGUAAUGAUAGUACCACUUACUUGUGGCACUGCCGCUUGAGUCAUGUCGGUAUAAACGCAUGAAGAAACUCCAUGCAGAUGGAUCGUUUGUACUCACUUGAUUUUGAAUCACUUGAGACAUGCAAACCAUACCACAUGAAACAAAAUAGUAAGUUAUUGGAAGUAAUACAUUUUUGAUGUGUGCAGUCCAAUGAGUGCUGAGGCACGCAGUGGAUAUCGUUAUGUUCUUACUUCACUGACGAUUUGAGUAGAUACAUGAGUAUUUACUUGAUGAAUCACAAGUCUGAGAUAUUGAAAAGUUCAAAGCUAUUUCAGAGUGAAGAUCGUCGUGACAAGAGGAUAAACUAUCUAUGAUACGAUCGAUGAGAUGAAUAUCUGAGUUACGGGUUUUUUGGUACACAGUUAAGACAAUGUGGAAAUUGCUUCUCAAUUCAUGCCACCUAGAACACCAUAGUGUGAUGGUGUGUCCGAACGUCAUAGCCGCGCCCUAUUUGAUAUGGUGCAUGCUAUGAUGUCUCUUAUCGAAUUACCACUAUCGUUUAUGGGUUAUGCAUUAGAGACAACCGCAUUCACUUUAAAUAGGGCACCGCGUAUUUCCGUUGAAAUGACACAAUAUAGGUUAUGGUUUGGAGAAACCUAAGCCGUCGUUUCUUAAAAGUUUGGGGCUGCGAUGCUUAUGUGAAAAAGUUUCAGCUCGAACCCAAAGUGGAUAAAUGCAUCUUCAUAGGAUAUCCAAACAGUUGGGUACAUCUCCUAUCUUAGAUCCGGAAGCAAAGUGUUUGUUUCUAGAAACGGGUCCUUUCUCGAGGAAAGGUUUCUCUCGAAAGAAUUGAGUGGGAGGGUGGUGGAACUUGAUGAGGUUAGUGAACCGUCACUUCAACCAGUGUGUAGCAGGGCGCAGGAAGUUGUUCCUGUGGCGCCUACACCAAUUGAAGUGGAACCUGAUGAUGGUGAUCAUUGAGCUUCGGAUCAAGUUACUACAAACCUCAUAGAUCGACAAGGUCGCGUAGUGCUAGAGAGUGGUACGGUGACCCUGUCUUGGAGGUCAUGUUGUUGAACAACAAUGAACCUACGAGCUAUGAAGAAGCGAUGGUGGGCCCGGAUUCUGGCAAAUGGCUGGAGGCCAUGAAAUCCGAGAGAGGAUUCAUGUAUGAAAACAAAGUGUAGACUUUGGAAGAACUACUUGAUGGCCGUAAGUCUAUUAAGUAAAGAUGGAUCUUUAAAAGGAAGAUAGACGAUGAUGGUGAAAAGUCACCAUGAAUAAAAGCUCGACUUGUCGCAAGGAUGUUUCCGACAAGAUCAAAGAAUUGACUAUGAUGAGACUUUCUCACUCGUAGCGAUGCUAAGACUCUGUUGGAAUUAUGUUAGCAGUUGCUGCAUUAUUUAUGAAAUAUUGCACAUAGGAUGUCAAAACAUUGUUUCCUCGACGAUUUCUUUGAGGAAAGGUUGUAUGUGAUACAACCAGAAGGUUUUGUCGAUCCUAAGGAUGCUAACAAGUAUGGAAGCUCCAGUGAUCCUUAUAUGGACUGGUGCAAGCAUCUCAGAGUUGGAAUAUACGCUUUGAUGAGAUGAUUAAAGCUUUUUGGUUUAUAAAAGGUUUAUGAGAAACUUGUAUUUCCAAAUAAGUGAGUGGGAGCACUAUAGAAUUUCUGAUAAGUGUAUGUAGUUGACAUAUUGUUGAUCGGAAGUAAUGUAGAGUUUCUGUAAAGCAUAAAGGGUUGUUUGAAAGGAGUUUAUCAAAGGAAGACCUGGAUAGAGCUAUUUUAACAUUGAGCAUCCAGAUCUAUAGAGAUAGAUCAAAACGCUUAAUAGAACUUUCAAUGAAAUGCAUGCCUUGACGAGUUUUUGAAGGAGUUCAAAAUAGAUCAGAAAAGAAGGAAUUUUUGGCUGUGUUGUAAGGUGUGAAUUUGAGUAGGACUCAAAACCCGACAAUGGCAGAAGAAAGCGAAAGGACGACGGUCAUCCCCUAUGCCUUAGCCAUAGACUCUAAAGUAUGCCAUGCUGUGUACCGCACCUAGUGUGUGCCUUGCCGCAAGUCUGUGAAGAGGUACAGAGAGUGAUCCGAGAUUGAAUCACUAAACAACGGUCAAAGUUAUCCUUAGUAAAUUAAUGAAAUAAGGAAUUUUUCUCGAUUAUGGAGAUGGUUAAAGAGUUCCUCGUAAAGGGUUACGUCGAUGCAAGCUUUGACACUAAUCCAAAUAACUCUGAGUAGUAAAACGGAUUCAUAUAGUAGGGUAGAUAUUUGGAAUAUUUCCGAAUAGCACGUAGUAGCAGCAUCUAUAAGAUGACAUAAAGAUUUGUAAAGUUCACACGGAUCUGAAAGGUUCAGAACCGUUGACUAAAACCUCUCUCACAAGCAAGACGUGAUCAAACCCCAGAACCAUAUGGGUGUUGGAUUUGUUAAAAUCAUAUAGUGAUGUGAACUAGAUUAUUGAAUCUAGUGCAAGUGGGAGUGUGUUGGAAAUAUGGCCUAGAGGCAAUAAUAAAUUAGUUAUUAUUAUAUUUCUUUGUUCGUGANNNNNNNNNNNNNNNNNNNNNNNNNNNNNNNNNNNNNNNNNNNNNNNNNNNNNNNNNNNNNNNNNNNNNNNNNNNNNNNNNNNNNNNNNNNNNNNNNNNNGACAAUUUCAUCUUGAAAUUUUAGUGAGAGAUCACCACAUAAUGCUACCGUCAUUCUAAGCAAAAUAAGGUGCAUAAAAGGAUUAACAUCACAUGCAAUUCAUAAGUGAUAUGGCCAUCAUCUUGUGCUUCUUGAUCUCCAUCACCAAAGCACCGGCAUGAUCUUCUUGUCACCGGUGCCACACCAUGAUCUCCAUCGACAUGUCGCCAUCGAGGUUUUCAUGCUAUCUAUGAAAUUACUACUAAAGCUACGACCUAGCAAUAUAGUAAACGCAUGUGCAAACACAAAAGUUAGUUUAAAGACAACCCUAUGGCUCCUGCCAGUUGCCGUAGCACCGACGUGCAAGUCGAUAUUAACUAUUACAACAUGAUCAUCUCGUACAUCCAAUAUAUCACAUCAUGUCAUUGGCCAUAUAAUAUCACAAGCAUACCUUGCAAAAACAAGUUAGACGUCCUCUAAUUUGUUGUUGCAUGUUUUACGUGGCUGCUGUGAGUAUCUAGUAUAAUCGCAUCUUACUUACGCAAAAACCACAACGGAGAUGUGCAAAAUGCUAUUUAACCUCUCUUCAAGGACCGCCUCGGUCAAAACCAAUUCAACUAAAGUUGAAGAAACAGGCACCCGCCAGUCAUUUUAUGCAACGAGGUUUCAUGUCAAUCGAUGAAACCACUAUCUCGUAAGCGUACGAGUUAUGUCGGUCCGGGCCGCUUCAAUCCAACAAUACCGCCGAAUCAAGAAAAGACUAAGGAGGGCAGCAAAUCGAACAUCAUCGUCCACAAAACCUUUUGUGUUCUACUCGAGAUAACAUCUACGCAUGAACCUACCUCAUGAUGCCACUGUUGGGGAACGUUGCACGGGAAACAAAAAAUUUCCUACGCACACGAAGACCUAUCAUGGUGAUGUCCAUCUACGAGAGGAGAUUAGAUCUACGUAUCCUUGUAGAUUUCUCAGAGGGAAGUGUUAAUAAACGCGGUUGAUGUAGUGGUACAGCUUCUUGAUUCAAAUCACCGUCGUCCCACGAUCCGUCCCACGAAUGGUUUCGAUCUAGCGCCGAACGGACGACACCUCCACAUUCACAACACGUACAGCUCGAUGACAAUCUCAACCUUCUUGAUCCAGCAAGCAAUAUGGAGAAGUAGAUGAGUUCUCCGGCAGCGUGAUGGCGCUCCGAUGGUCGUGAUGAUCUACUCUUGCAGGGCUCCGCCCGAGCUCCGCAGAAAUCCGAUCUAGAGGUAAAACUAUGUUGAAUAGGCUGGAGUUGCACGUGGAAAAGUUGUGUCUCAAAAAUCCCUAAACCACCAAUAUAUAUAGGAGGAGGGGAGGGGCUAGCCUUAGGGCACAAGGUCCCGAAGGGUGCGUCGACAGCCAGGGAGGAGGAGGACUCCUCCUCCAAUUCGGUUUGGGAAGGAGGAGUCCUCCUCUUCCUUCCCAUCUCCCUCUUUCCUUUUUUUCUUUUCCUUUGGUAUUUUUACAUGUGGCGCCAUAGCCCUCUUGGGCUGACUCCACCAGCCCACUAAGGACUUGGUGCGCCAUCCUAGGGCCUUGGGCUCACUCCCGGGUGGGUGGGCCCCUCCUGGUAAACACCGAGAACUCAGUCGUCGCUCCCGGUACACUGCCUGUAAUGCCCGAAACUUUUUGGUGACCAAAUGAAACCAUCCUAUAUAUCAAUCUUCGUUUCCGGACCAUUUCAGAAACCCUCGUGAGGUACGUGUUCUCAUCUGAGACUCCUAACAACAUUCGGUAACCACACAUAUAACUCAAAUAUACUAAAACAUCAUCGAACAUUAAGUGUGCACACCCUAUGGGUUCGAGAACUAUGUAGACAUGACCCGAGACACUCCUUGGUCAAUAUCCAAUAGUGGGACCUGGAUGCCCAUAUUGGAUCCUACAUAUUCUUCGAAGAUCUUAUCGGUUGAACCUCAGUGCCAAGGAUUCAUAUAAUCACGUAUGGCAUUCCCUUUGUCCUUCGGUAUAUUACUUGCCCGAGAUUCGAUCGUUGGUAUCCGCAUACCUAUUUCAAUCUUGUUACCGGCAAGUCUCUUUACUCGUUCUGUAAUACAAGAUCCCGUGAAUUACACUUAGUCACAUUGCUUGCAAGGCUUGUGUGUGAUGUUGUAUUACCGAGUGGGACCCGAGAUACCUCUCUGUCACACGAAGUGAGAAAUCCAGUCUUGAUCCAUACUAACUCAACGGACACCUUCGGAGAUACCUCUAGACCACCUUGAUAAUCACCCAGUUAUGUUGCGACGUUUGAUACACACAAGGUAUUCCUCUGGUGCCAGUGAGUUAUAUGAUCUCAUGGUCAUAGGAAUACAUACUUGACAUGCACAAAACAAUAGCAAUAAAAUGACACGAUCAAUAUGCUACGUUCAUAGUUUGGGUCUAGUCCAUCACAUGAUUCUCCUAAUGAUGUGAUCCAGUUAUCAAGUGACAACACUUGCACAUAGCCAGAAAACCUUGACUAUCCUUGAUCAACUGGCUAACCAACUAGAGGCUCGCUAGGGACAUUGUUUUGUCUAUGUAUCCACACAUGUAUCUAUGUUUUNNNNNNNNNNNNNNNNNNNNNNNNNNNNNNNNNNNNNNNNNNNNNNNNNNNNNNNNNNNNNNNNNNNNNNNNNNNNNNNNNNNNNNNNNNNNNNNNNNNNNNNNNNNNNNNNNNNNNNNNNNNNNNNNNNNNNNNNNNNNNNNNNNNNNNNNNNNNNNNNNNNNNNNNNNNNNNNNNNNNNNNNNNNUUAGUCUCCCACUUGCACUAGAGUCAAUAAUCUAGUCCUCACAUCGCCAUGCGAUUUACAUUGUAAUAAAUCUAACACCCAUACAGUUCUGGUGUUGAUCAUGUUUUUCCCAUGAAGAGGUUUAGUCUGUGGGUGUGCUACAUUCAGAUCCAUGUGCACUUUGCAAAUAUUCACGUCCUCUCCUUCGAUGUAGUCGCGGAUGAGGUUGCAGCGUCCUUUGAUGUGCCUGGUCUUCUUGUGAAACCUUGGUUCCUUUGCUAAAGCAAUGGCACCACUGUUGUCACAAAACAAAGUUAUUGGAUUUAGUGCACUCGGCACAACUCCAAGAUCUGUCAUGAACUGCUUCAUCCAGAUACCCUCGUUUGUUGCCUCCGAGGCAACCAUGUACUCCGCUUCACAUGUAGAAUCUGCUACGGCGCUUUGCUUGGAACUGCACCAGCUUACCGCACCCCCAUUAAGAAUAAAUACGUAUCUGGUUUCGACUUAGAGUCAUCCGGAUCGGUGUCAAAGCUUGCGUCGACGUAAACCUUUACAACGAGCUCUUCGUCACCUCCAUAAACGAGAAACAUUUCCUUAGUCCUUUUCAGGUACUUCAGAAUAUUCUUGACCGCCAUCCAGUGAUCCACUCCUGGAUUACUCUGAAACCUGUCGGCCAUGCUUAUGGCCAAUCUGACGUCUGGUCUAGUGCACAACAUUGCAUACAUGAUAGAACCUAUGGUUGAAGCAUAGGGGACGGAACUCAUUUGUUCUCUAUCUUCCGCAGUUGCUGGGCACUGAGUCUUCCUCAAUUUUAUACCUUGUAACACUGGCAAGAACCCUUUCUUGGACUGUUCCAUUUUGAACUUCUUCAAAACUUUAUUAAGGUAUGUGCUUUCUGAAAGUCCUAUGAGGCGUCUUGAUCUAUCCCUAUAGAUCUUAAUGCCUAGAAUGUAAGCAGCUUCUCCUAGGUCCUUCAUAGAGAAACUUGUAUUCAAGUAAUCCUUUACGCUCUCCAAAAACCCCACGUUGUUUCCAAUCAGCAAUAUGUCAUCCACAUAUAAUAUUAGAANNNNNNNNNNAUUCUAAAUACAAGAUUCUCCAACCACUUGUAUAAACCCAAAUGCUUUGAUCACCUCAUCAAAGCAAUUAUUCCAACUCCGAGAUGCUUGCACCAGUCCAUAAAUGGAUCGCUGGAGCUUGCAUACUUUGUUAGCAUUCUUUGGAUCGACAAAACCUUCGGGUUGCAUCAUAUAUAACUCUUCCUUAAGAAAACCUUUAAGGAACGCCGUUUUGACAUCCAUCUCCCAGAUUUCAUAAUCGAAAAAUGCAGCUAUUGCUAACAUGAUUCGGACGGACUUAAGCAUCGCUACCAGUGAGAACGUCUCAUCGUAGUCAACUCCUUGAGCUUGUGAAAAACCCUUUGCCACAAGUCGAGCUUUAUAAACGGUCACAUUAUCGUCUGCGUCCGUCUUCUUCUUAAAGAUCCAUUUGUUUUGAAUAGCCUUUUGGCCUUCAGGUAAUACUUCCAAAGUACACACUUUGUCUUCAUACAUAGAUCCUAUCUCGGACUUCAUGGCCUCCAGCCAUUUGUUGGAAUCCGGGCCCACCAUUGCUUCUUCAUAAUUCGCAGGUUCAUUGUUGUCCAACAACAUAAUUGAUAAGACAGGAUUACCAUACCACUCAGGAGUAGUACGUGAUCUUGUCGACCUGCGAGGUCCGAUAGGAACUUGAUCCGAAGUUUCAUGAUCAUCAUCAUUAACUUCCUCCUCAACCGGCGUCGCAAUGACAGGGGUUUCCCCUUGCCCUGCGCCUCCAUCUAGAGGGACUAGAGGUUUGACAACCUCAUCAAGUUCUAUCUUCCUCCCACUCAAUUCUUUCGAAAGAAACUCCUUCUCAAGAAAAGCUCCAUUUUUAGCAACAAACACUUUGCCCUCGGAUUUGAGAUAGAAGGUGUACCCAAUUGUCUCCUUUGGGUAACCUAUGAAGACGCACUUUUCCACUUUGGGUUCCAGCUUUUCAGGCUGAAGCUUUUUGACAUAAGCAUCACAUCACCAAACUUUAAGAGACGACAACUUCGUUCUUUUGCCAUACCACAGUUCGUAUAUUGUCGUCUCAGCGGAUUUUGAUGGUGCCCUAUUUAAAGUGAAUGCAGUUGUCUCUAAUGCAUAACUCCAAAACGAUAAUGACAAAUAGGUAAGAGACAUCAUAGAUCGCACCAUUUCUAACAAAGUACGAUUAUGACGUUCGGACACACCAUUACGAUGUGGUGUUCCAAGCGGUGUCAACUAUGAAACAAUUCCACGUUGUCUUAAGUGAGCACCAAACUCGAAACUCAGAUAUUCACCCCCACGAUGAGACCGUAGGAACUUGAUCUUCUUUUUACGAUGAUUUUCAACUUCACUCUGAAAUUGCUUGAACUUCUCAAACGUUUCAGACUUGUGUUUCAUCAAGUAGAUAUAUCCAUACCAACUCAAAUCAUCAGUGAAGGUGAUAAAAUAAUGAUAUCCGCCACGUGCCUCCACACUCGUCGGACCGCACACAUCGGUAUGUAUGAUUUCCAACAAGUUACUUGCACGCUCCAUUGUUUCGGAGAACGGAGUCUUAGUCAUCUUGCCCAUGAGGCAUGGUUCGCACGUGUCAAGUGAUUCAAAGUCAAGUGACUCCAAAAGUCCAUUGGAAUGAAGUUUCUUCAUGCGCUCUACACCAAUAUGACCUAAGCGGCAGUGCCACAAAAACAUGGCGCUAUCAUUAUUAACUUUACAUCUUUUGGUCUCAAUGUUAUGUAUAUGUGUAUUGUCGCUAUCAAGAUUCAAUAUGAACAAUCCUCUCACAUUGGGUGCAUGACCUUAAAAGAUAUUACUCAUAGAAAUAUAACAACCAUUAUUCUCUGACUUAAACGAGUAACCGUCUCGCAAUAAACAAGAUCCAUAUAUAAUGUUCAUGAUUAACGCAGGCACCAAAUAACAAUUAUUUAAGUUCAUAACUAAUCCUGAUGGUAACUGAAGUGAAACUAUGCCGACGGUGAUUGCAUCAACCUUGGAACCAUUUCCCACGCGCAUCGUCACUUCAUCCUUCGCCAGCCUUCGUUUAUUCCGCAGUUCCUACUUCGAGUUGCAAAUAUGAUCAACAGAACCGGUAUCAAAUACCCAGGCACUACUAAGAGAGUUGGUUAAGUACACAUCAAUAACAUGUAUAUCAAAUAUACCUGAUUUUUCCUUGGCUGCCUUCUUAUCAGCCAAAUACUUGCGGCAGUUGCGAUUCUAGUGACCCAGGCCCUUGCAAUAAUAACACUCUGUUUCAGGCUUAGGUCCAACCUUGGGUUUCUUCAUCGGAUUGGCAACAGGCUUGCCGCUCUUCUUGGAGUUACCCUUCUUGUCUUUGUCGUUUCUCUUGAAGCUAGUGGUAUUAUUGACCAUCAACACUUGAUGCUCUUUCCGGAGUUCUGACUCUGCGAUUUUCAGCAUCGCGAUUAACUCGUCGGGUGACUUGUUCAUCCCUUGCAUGUUAUAGUUCAACAAAAAGCUCUUAUAGCUAGGUGGCAGUGAUUCAAGAAUUCUGUCAGUGAUAGCCUCUUGCGGGAGUUCAAUCCCGAGCUCAGCUAGACGGUUUGAGUAACCAUACAUUUUGAGCACAUGUUCACUCACAGACGAAUUCUCCUCCAUCUUGCAAGCAUAGAAUUUAUCGAAGGUCUCAUACCUCUCGAUCCAGGCGUUCUUAUGUAAGAUAAACUUCAACUCCUGGAACAUCUCAUAUGCUCCAUGACGCUCAAAGCCACGUUGAAGUCCCGACUCUAAGCCAUACAAGACUGCACAUUGAACUACUGAGAGGUCCUCCUUACGUGUUAACCAGGCGUUCUUAACAUCUUGGUCAGCCGUAGCGGGUGGUUCAUCUCCUAGCGUAGCAUUAAGGACAUAAUCCUUCUUCCCAGCUUGCAGGAGCAACUUAAGAUUACGAGCCCAACCUACAAAGUUGCUUCCAUCAUCUUUCAACUUAGCUUUCUCUAGGAACGUAUUAAAGUUCAGGGUGACUGUCGCGUGAGCCAUUGAUCUACAACACAAAUUUUGCAAAGUGGACUUAGACUAUGUUUAAGAUAAUUAGAGUUUAACUAAUCAAAUUACUGAUAAACUCCCACUCAAAAAGUACAUCUCUCUAGUAAUUUGAGUGGUACAUGAUCCAAAUUCACUAACUCAAGUCUGAUCAUCACGUGAGUUGAGAAUAGUUUCAGUGAUAAACAUCUCUAUGCUAACCAUAUCAACUAUACGAUUCAUGCUCGACCUUUCGGUCUCAUGCGUUCCGAGUCCAUGUCUGCACAUUCUAGGCUCGUCAAGUUUAACCCGACUGUUCCGUGUAUGGAACUGUUUUGCACCCGUUGUAUGUGAACGUUGAGUCUAUCACACCCGANNNNNNNNNNNNNNNNNNNNNNNNNNNNNNNNNNNNNNNNNNNNNNNNNNNNNNNNNNNNNNNNNNNNNNNNNNNNNNNNNNNNNNNNNNNNNNNNNNNNUUAAGUCUUCUCUGCUACUAAGACAUGCAAAAUUUACCACAUAAGCGAGUUAUGCUUUAACUUAUAAUUAAAUUAUUUUUGCAUUAGUCUAUGGAUGUGACGUCGACACAUCAUAUAUUAAUUUUAGUAUCUUAACAUUUUUGUUCGAAAUAACAUUUUUAACUAUAAUUCAAAAGUUUGUAUUCUAUUUUAGACACGUUUUUUAUUGAUUUUUAAGCUUAUAUUUUUUCAUUAGUUUUAGCAACUACUUACACAUUUCUUCAACAAAGUUGCAACAGCAACCCGCGAGGACAGAGUCAUCCUCACUACUCGCGUCCAAUUUUUCCUCAAUGAAGAAAACACUUGCGUAGACAACUCCAAGGAAGUUUGAACUCACAUUAUGUUACAUAUGCUGCAAAACUAUUUUUGCAACAAUAAACUAAUCAAGUAUAAUAAAUCUCAUAUUAUUGUAUUUUCAUGCUCAUAUGAUUAAUUUUAAUAUUCAUGUUCCACAUAAGUAGGUUUCAUCUAAACAUAUUGCAAAAAAUUCCCGCAACAGCGCGCGGAGAAUUGUCUACUUAUCUUAAUAUGCNNNNNNNNNNNNNNNNNNNNNNNNNNNNNNNNNNNNNNNNNNNNNNNNNNNNNNNNNNNNNNNNNNNNNNNNNNNNNNNNNNNNNNNNNNNNNNNNNNNNUCGUUUCGCCCGGAAAAAAUCAGAGAGAAGGAUUCAUCGUGUUUUACGAUACAGAGGCGCCGCCACCUCCUGUUCUUCAUCUGGAGGGCAGGUCUGGAGUCCGUUCUAGGCUCCGGAGAGGGGAAAUCGUCGCCAUCGUCAUCAUCAACCUUCCUCCAUCGCCAAUUCCAUGAUUCUCUUCACCGUUCGUCAGUAAUCUCAUCGUAGGCUUGCUAGACGGUGAUGAGUUCGAUGAGAUCUAUCAUGUAAUCGAGUUAGUUUUGACGGGGAUUGAUCCCUAGUAUCAACUAUGUUCUGAGAUUGAUGUUGCUACUACUUGGCUAUGCUUAAUGCUUGUCACUAGGGCCCGAGUGACAUGAUUUCAGAUCUGAACCUAUUACGUUGUCGCCAAGAUAUGUGUGUUUUAGAUCCUAUCUUGCAAGUUGUAGUCACCUACUAUGUGUUAUGACCCGGCAACCCCGGAGUGACAAUAGCCGGAACCACUUCCGGAGAUGACCAUAGUAUGAGGAGUUCAUGUAUUCACCACGUGUUAAUGCGUUGGUCCGACUCUUUAUUAAAAGGAGAAACUUAAUAUCCCGUAGUUUCCAUUAGGACCCCGCUGCCACGGGAGGGAUNNNNNNNNNNAUUUGUCCGGUUCUUUAUUAAAAGGAGAACCUUAAUAUCCCGUAGUUUCCAUGAGGACCCCGCUGCCACGGCAGGGAUGGACAAUAGAUGUUAUGCAAGUUCUUUUCCCUAAGCACGUAUGACUACAUACGAAAUACAUGCCUACAUUAGAUUGACGAACGGGAGCUAGUUACUUAUCUCUCCGUGUUAUAGUUGUUACAUGAUGAAUAACAUCCGACAUACUCAUCCAUCACCGAUCCACUGCCUACGAGUCUUUUACUACUGGNNNNNNNNNNNNNNNNNNNNNNNNNNNNNNNNNNNNNNNNNNNNNNNNNNNNNNNNNNNNNNNNNNNNNNNNNNNNNNNNNNNNNNNNNNNNNNNNNNNNUGAAAGAUCCAAGAACUGAAAUCUUGCCUUCCACUACGAGGACACGUACGAAACUGCCAUCUAGCUCUGCACGUGAUUCACCUUCAGUUAUAAGUAAGUUUGCGACAUCUCCUCAUGCUAGAAAUCUUGAUAUGUCGCCUGUGCUUGAUGAUGCUAUGCUUGAUACUAUGCCUGAUGAUGCUAUGCCCGAUACUGCUUUGCCUGAUGAUGCUAUGCUUGAUACUGCUUUUCCACUAGGUGCAUUCCUUGAUGCACAAAUUGCUAGAGUUGCUGCUAGAUAUGAUGAUACUUCUGAAAUUGAUGAUACUAUUGAAGUAGAACCUGCUACUAUGCCUGAAUUGCCUGUUAUGCCUGAGCGUUAUGUUAUGGAGGGAGAGAUAGCUGAGGAUUUUCUUGUGUGUAAGGAUAGCUAUGAUGUUGAGAAACUACUGCUCAAGUGGAAAGAAAAAUCUCUGUACGCUAGGAUGAAAUACGACCCGAAGUUUGCUACUUCGCCUAUCUUUGUGACCGAUAAGGAUUACGAAUUCUCUGUCGACCCUGAGUUAAUCACUUUGGUCGAAUCUGAUCCUUUUCACGGUUAUGAGUCUGAAAUGGUUGUAGCCCAUCUUACCAAACUGCACGAUAUAGCCACCCCAUUCAGUAGUGAGGAAAAGAUCCGCCACUACUAUAUCCUCAAGCUGUUUCCUUUCUCGCUAAAGGAUGAUGCUAAGACCUGGUUCACUUCUCUUGUUCCUGGUUGUGUGCGUAGCCCCCAGGAUAUGGUCUACUACUUCUCUGAAAAAUAUUUUCCUGCCCAUAAGAACCAAGCUGCCUUGCAGGAAAUAUACAACUUUGCUCAAGCUCAAGAAGAGAGUCUCCCACAAGCUUGGGGGAGGCUCAUCCAGCUACUGAAUGCUUUGCCUGAUCACCCUCUUGAGAAGAAUGAAAUACUUGAUAUCUUCUAUAAUGGACUUACCGAUGCUUCCAAAGACCACCUAGAUAGUUGUGCCAGUUGUGUUUUUAGGGAACGAACUGUAGAACAAGCUGAGAUUCUACUGAAUAACAUCUUGUGCAAUGAGAAUGCUUGGACUAUUCCCGAACGACCUCCUAAGCCAACUCUAACGAAAAGAGGUAUUCUAUUCCUCAGUCCUGAAGAUAUGCAAGAAGCUAAGAAAUCUAUGCGAGAGAAAGGCAUUAAAUCUGAAGAUGUCAAAAAUCUACCACCUAUCGAAGAGAUCCAUGGUCUUGAUAACCCCAUACAGGUAGUAGAAGUAAAUUCUCUAGGCAGGUUUGAUGAGAGUGAUAUUCCUUUUGAUAAACCUGCUAGCUUAUGCCUGGAUGAAUUUGACAACUUUGUUGCCAAACAAAAGAGUUUCAAUGAUUAUGUUAGCAGAAAAUUGGAACAAAAUGCUCGUAUGCUUAGUCAUUUAAGUGCUUGUGUGGACAGAAAUGUCAAUGAACUUAAGCUCCUGAGUAAACAUGCCUCUAUGGUUACCACCCAAGUAGAACAAGUACUUAAAGCUCAAAAUGACUUGCUGAACGAGUUGAAUGACAAUUCUGUCAGAGUCAUCACUAGAGGUGGUAGAAUGACCCAGGAACCUUUGUAUCCCGAGGGUCAUACUAAGAGAAUUGAACAAGAUUCUCGAGGAGUUAGCACUGAUGCACCUAGUCAUCCUAGAAAGAAGAAGAAAGAUGAUAGGAACUUGCACGCUAGCAACCCAGAUGCUGCUACCCCUGAGAGUCCAAACGAUGUCUCUGUCUCUGAUGCUGAAACACAAUCUGGUGAUUAACAUGAGCCUAAUGAUAAUAUCAAUAGUGAUGUUCAUGAAGAUGCUCAACCUAGCAACGAUAAGGAUGUGGAGAUUGAACCUGAUCUAGAUAACCCACAACCUAAGACUAAGAGAUACGAUAAGAAUGACUUCGCUGCUAGGAAGCAUGGUAAAGAAAGGGAAGCAUGGGUUCAUAAACCUAUGCCCUUUCCUCCCAAACCAUCCAAGAAAAAGGAUGAUGAGGAUUUUGAGCACUUCGUUGAAAUGAUCAGACCUGUCUUUCUGCAGAUGCGUUUGACAGAUAUGCUCAAGAUGUCUCCGUAUGCUAAGUACAUGAAAGAUAUUGUGACUAAUAAGAGGAGGAUACCUGAGGUUGAGAUUUCCACCAUGCUGGCUAAUUAUACCUUCAAGGGUGGAACUCCUAAGAAACUAGGUGAUCCCGGUGUGCCCACUAUACCUUGCUCCAUUAAAGGUAACUACGUGAGAACUGCUUUAUGCGAUCUUGGAGCCGGUGUUAGUGUUAUGCCUCUCUCUCUUUAUCAUAGACUUGAACUGGAUAAGUUGACACCCACUGAAAUCUCUCUGCAAAUGGUCGACAAAUCAACUGCUUUCCCUAUCGGCAUUUGCGAGGAUGUACCUGUUGUGGUUGCCAAUGUCACUAUCUUAAUAGACUUUGUUAUUUUGGAUAUUCCUGAGGACGAUGCCAUGGCUGUCAUCCUCGGAAGACCCUUUUUAAACACUAUAGGGGCUGUUAUAGAUUGCAACAAAGGCAAUGUCACUUUCCAUGUCAACGGUAAUGAGCAUACGAUGCACUUUCCGAAGAAACAAUAUCGAGUACAUUGCAUCAAUGCUAUCGAGAAAACUUCAUCGAUUCUUAUCGGGACCUUUGAUUGCCCUAUUCCUCGUGUCAAGAUGAAGUAUGAUUUGCUUGUUGGGGAGAUACACAUCCCCAUUGAGGUGACCUAGUGACUUUUCGAAAAUUCUCCGUUCUCUUUUGCGAUUCGUUUUUUUUUUGCCAAAGAGGCUUGAUCAACCUCACUGACGGAGUUCUUUCGAUGACCAUGAGAUGGAUGAAUCGAGGAGUCACAAACCUCUGUUCCGAGCUUUCACUUUAGGUUGCUUAGAAGAAAAAUGGAAAAUAAAAGUUCUCCGAACGUCUUGAAAAUCAAGUAUGAUUUUUUCUGGAAUUUUUGAAAAAUUCUGGGGCAAAGAGCUUGUCUGGGGGCCACACAAGUGGGUCACAAGCCCUGACGGCGCGGGCACCCCGUUGCCGCGCCACCCAGGCUUGUGGGGGCCCACAGCCACCCCCUCCACUCAUUCUUGCUCUUAUCUAGUUCUCCUACCUCCAGAAAAAAUGGCUUCGUAGCUCAAACCCGUGUUCUUGCUCCUUUUGCUGGGAUUUUCGAUCUCUUUGCUCAAAGCACCGUUCCCCGAACUGUUUUGGGGAAAUUACUCCUUGGUAAGUAACUCCUCCAUUGGUCUAAUUAGUUUUUUCUCUAGUGCCUUAUACUCCGCGUAUUUUUUGCUUCCUUGGUGACCAUGUUCUUGAGCUUUGCAUGCUGAUUUUAGCUCGUCCUAAGUAGUUUUGAUGCGUAAUAUGUUCUCUAGGCAAUUGUGGGAGUAGUUGCUACAAGUUUAGUUGAGCCUUGUUCACCUUUCCUUAGAAUCACUGAAAAUUUUAGAAAAGGAAGAUGUUCAGGAGAAACUUUCAUGGUGGUUCCUCAAGCAAGAGAGGUCCCCGUCUUGCGAUUCAGGAGCCUGAUCAUUACCAACCAAGGGACGCGCAGGUAGAACCAUGUGAAUGGCCUUUUGAUGAAUUUAUGAUUGAGGCAGGUUUCAAAGAUGAGUUUGAUGCACUUGUUCACAACGUCGGACUCGAAGAAUUCAUAUCCGAUAAAUGUGAACAGUAUGUUGCUCUCACUGGCUCUUUUGUUCGUAGGUUCAAAUUUUCGGUUGGCCGUGACACAUCAGUACUGUUUGAUCUCUAUGACAAAUCGUAUACCAUGGAUUUAGGGGAUUUCAAUAGAAUUUGCAAAAUACCUAUUUGGGGUAGCCUCAGUGAUCCUCCUAAAUCUUAGGUUAGAGAUUUUUUGCUCUCGUAUUACUGUUGGAGAAACUAGAGACAUUACGCAAGCUACCAUGGGGAGUAUUCAUUUUCCUGCCUUGCAUUACUUUGCCCUCUUCAUAGGCAGAUGCAUUAAUGGCAAGAUUGAGCAUUGUCACCUCUACACAUCCGACCUUAGUAUCCUUAAGAGCGCAGUAACGGGUGAUAAAAUUUUCAACAUGGGAGCUAUAAUAACAAGGAGGCUGAAUAAGAAUGCUAAUGAAGGGGAUUUCUUUGGUGGGAUCUAUGCCACUCGCAUAGCAAAUUUUCUUGGAGUACCCAUCCGCGAAGGAGAUCCCCCGCUCCAUACAUCUUUCCUUGACCGCGUCGCUUUGACAUGCUACCAGUUCCUUGAGAGGGAUGACGAAUCCCUCCUAUACCGUUUGAUUUUUAACCGGCAGCGUGUUUUCCAUAUUACCCUUCCUGCUCCUGCCUUCUUUGACUUUCAGGUAAAAUGAAGAUAUUACAUAACCAGAGGAGUAUGAGAGGGAGGCAAAGGCUGCUCGUCUCCAUGAGGCAGCUAUUCAGGCAGUGGUUGCAGCGCUCCCAUCUAACCCCCAUUAUGAUUUUGGGUUUUGCCAGGAUCAUCCUUGGGAGUAGACCAACUUAGGCCAAAAGCCUAAGCUUGGGGGAGUACGUGUUCUCACCGACUUUACAUUCUUGCUUAUGCUUUCACUUUGUUAGCCGGUGUUCACACUUUGCCACUGUAUUAUCCAUGCUAGUUUAUUUUCCUUUUUCCCGUUUUCGUUUAGUGUGUCUGUCUAAUUUGAAGAAAACCCAAAAAUAUUUUCUUUUUCUUCUUUUGCUUGUUGGGAGCUUUCUUGUGUAAAUAGUUUUCUUUUUCUUUGGGUCAAGGUAGAAGACCAUGGUUACAAUAUUUAGUGGCUCUCGCAUGCAUACCUGUUUAACUGUCAAAGAGCCAUAUUACUUUGUCUUCUCCUUUAUGUUUGCCUGCAGAUUCCAGCGUAGUCCAAUGCACAAGCACUCUUAUUAUUGUUCACAUCAUUCGGUCGUGCAAGUGAAAUGCAAUAGUGACGAUAUAUGAUGAAGUGACUGAGCCUGGAAAAGCUAGCAUGAACUCGAUCUAUUUUGUUUUUGUAAAUAUGACUAGCUCAUCAUGCCUGAUUUAGCUUUGUUGUGAGAGAAACAUGUUUGCAGUGACAACUUAGAGAUCAUAGUUGCUUAUGCCAUGCUUACUUAGCUAGGANNNNNNNNNNGAGGGGCUGUUAUAGAUUGGAACAAAGGCAAUGUCACUUUCCAUGUCAACGGUAAUGAGCAUACAGUGCACUUUCCGAUGAAACAAUAUCGAGUACAUUGCAUCAAUGCUAUCGAAAAAACUUCAUCAAUUCUUAUUGGGAGCUUUGAAUGCCCUAUUCCUCGUGUCAAGAUGAAGUAUGAUUUGCUUGUUGGGGAGAUACACAUCCCCAUUGAGGUGACCUAGUGACUAUUAAAGAAUUCUUCGUUCUCUUUUUGCGAUUCGAAAAAGUUUGUCAAAGAGACUUGAUCAACCUCACUGACGGAUUUCUUUCGAUGACCAUGAGAUGGAUGAAUCGAGGAGUCACAAAUCUCUGUUUUAAGCUUUCACCUUCGGUUUCUUAGAAGAAAAAUGAUAGAUUUAGUUUAGUUUUCCCUAUUUUCUGUUUUAGCGUCCGGUAGAAAAGUACCCCGAAAAUAAAAGUUCUCCGAACGUCCUGAAAAUCAAGUAUGAUUUUUUGUGGAAUUUUUGAAAAAUUCUGAGACAAAGAGUUUGUCUAGGGCCCACACCAGUGGGCCACAAGCCCUAGGGGCGCCGGCACCCCCCUGGCCGCGCCACCGAGGCUUGUGGGGCCCACAGGCACCCCUCCACUCAUUCUUGCUCUCAUCUGGUUCUCCUACCUCCAGAAAAAAAUCGUUUCGCAGCUAAAACCCGUGUUCUUGCUCCUCUUGUUGGGAUUUUCGAUCUCUUUGCUCAAAUCACCAUUCUCCGAACUAUUUUGGGGAAAUUACUCCUUGGUAAGUGACUCCUCCAUUGGUCCAAUUAGUUUUUGCUCUAGUGCCUUAUACUUCGCGUAUUUUUUCUGCCUUGGUGACCAUGUUCUUGAGUUUUGCAUGCUAAUUUUAGUUGGUCCCAAGUAGUUUUGAUGCAUAAUAUGGCCUCUAUGCACUUGUGGGAGUAGUUGCCACAAGUUUAGUUGAGCAUUGUUCACUCUUCCUUAGAAUCACUAAAAAUUUCAGAAAUUUUCAGAGACAGAGAAAGGGAAAAGAUGAGGAGGUUCUUAAGAGGCUCGUCAAGCCGUGACCCCAAGGAUGAUGGGAGUGAGAAGAAGCCCAAGUAUAUGGUCCCUCGAGUCGCGGAAGUUCGAGCGUGCGAGUGGCCAAGCGACGUGUUCUUACGUGCCGCUGUAAUUUAUGAGGACUUUUACCACUUGGUGGAGAACGCAGGCCUUACCGCCUUCGUUGAAGAUAAGUGUCCGCAAUACCUCCUCUUCACUAAUAUCUUCGUACAAAGCUUUAACUUCUAUCCAAGGAAGAAUCCUCCUAUGGUUGAGUUUAAACUUUAUGAUAUCCCCCAGCGCAUGUCACUCUAGGAUUUUUGCAAUGUUUGCAAACUACCUUACGUUGGGGAUAUGCAUGAACCUCGUCCACGUGACUUGGAAGCUUUCAUCGGUACUAUUUCUGUAGGAGAGGAGAGAGGACUGUCUUGCGCUAGAGCUGCUAGCAUUCAUUUUCCCAUGCUUCGGUACUUCUCAUUAUUUGUGGGAAAAUGUUUGAUUGGCCAUGGGAAGUCUGGGUCACUUAGUUCCCCAGAUCUUGCGGUCUUGCGUGAAGCCCUUUAUAAUGAUAAAACUUAUAGCUUGGGCGCUAUAGUAGCUCAACGGUUGAACCUGAACUGUUCUAAAGGUGUUGUCUUUGGAGGUAUCUAUGCUACCCGUCUUGCGAGACACUUUGAGAUACCCAUUAGACUAGAGGAGGAAGAAGAGGUUCUUCUUCCCGAGUGAUAUCUAGAUUACGAUAGCAUGGUUCGCCAUGACUUUCUUGAUAGAGAUAUAAAUAGAAGGAUGAUUUGUAACCUGGUAUUUAGUCAGGGUACUCGUGAGACUAUUACUUUGCGUGCUCCUUCUUUGUUCAAUCUUCAUGCAGACAGGUACAUCAUUAUGCCCUCGGACAUCUAAGCAUAUUGGGGCUUAGCCAACCACAUGUGUCCGUGCCCGAGCCACCGGUCGAGUACCAGACGCCAGUUUAUCAGUGGGAGCCAGAGGAGCUCACACAGCAGUGGCACCCUCAGUCCACUCCGGAGUACCCCGGAGCUGGUUAUUUCCCUCCUUGGGAGUAGACCAACUUAGGCCAAAAGCCUAAGCUUGGGGGAGUACGUUUUCUCACCGACUUUACAUUCUUGCUUAUGCUUUCACUUCGUUAGCCGGUGUUCACACUUCGCCACUGUAUCAUCCAUGCUAGUUUAUUUUCUUUUUCUCGUUUUCGUUUCGUGUGUGUGUCUAGUUUGAGAAAACCCAAAAAGAUGUUCUUUUCUUCUUUUGCUUGUUGGGAGCUUUCCCGUGUAGAUAGUUUUCUUUUUCUUUGGGUCAAGGUAGAAGAUAUUGGUUACAAUGUUUAGUGGCUCUUGCAUGCAUACCUGUUUAGCUUUCAUAGAGCCAUAUUACUUUGUCUUCUCCUUUGUGUUUGCCUGCAAAUUCCAACGUAGUCCAAUGCACAAGCACUCUUAUUAUUGUUCACAUCGUUCGGUCGUUCAAGUGAAAGGCAAUAAUGACGAUAUAUGAUGAAGUGACUGAGCCUGGAAAAGCUGGUAUGAACUCGAUCUAUUUUGGUUUUGUAAAUAUGACUAGCUCAUCAUGCCUGAUUCAGCUUUGUUGUGAGAGAAACAUGUUUGCAACGACAACUUAGAGAUCAUAGUUGCUUAUGCCAUGCUUACUUAGCUAGGAGCUUAUAAUGGUUUGUCUUGGUUGCCAACAUGAAUGUUGAGAUGACUAUGAUGUAGUAUGAUAGGAUGGUAUCCUCCUUUGAAUGUUUCAAGUGGCUUGACUUGGCGCAUGUUCACGCAUGUAGUUGAAACAAAAUCAACAUAGCCUCUAUGAUGUUCAUGUUCAUGGUGAUUUAUGUCCUACUCAUGCUUGCACUCAAUGUUAGUUAAUCUCAAUGCAUUUUGAUGACUGUUAUCGCUCUCUAGUUGGUCGCUUCCCAGUCUUUUGCUAGCCUUUUUUUGUACUAAGCGAGAAUACUGCUUGUGCAUCCACCUCCAUAAACCCAAAGUUGUUCCAUACGAGUCCACCAUACCUACCUAUAUGCGGUACCUACCCGCCGUUCCAAGUAAAUUUGCAUGUGCCACUCUCUAAAUCUUCAAGAAAUAAUCUGUUUUGCGUGCCCGAACAGCUCAUGUGGUGACAGGGGGCUAUCAGUAUCUUCCGUGCUAGGCAUGUUAUCCUCGAUAUGUGUUUAUUCACUAUCAUUCACGAGAAAGGGGCCGAUAAUUGGAAUUCCCAGUUCCAUGCUCAAAUCGAAAAGAUAAUUGCAAACAAAACUCCCCCAGGAUUGAUGUUGGUAUGGACGGUACCCGAGGAUUCGNNNNNNNNNNGUCGCUCUCUAGUUGGUCGCUUCCCAGUCUUUUGAUAGCCUUCACUUGUACUAAGCGGGAAUACUACUUAUGCAUCCACCUCCAUAAACCCAAAGUUGUUCCAUAUGAGUCCACCAUACCUACCUAUGUGCGGUAUCUACCUGCCGUUCCAAGUAAAUUUGCAUGUGCCAUUCUCUAAACCUUCAAGGAAUAAUCUGUUUUGCAUGCCCGAACCGCUCAUGUGGUGACAGGGGGCUAUUAGUAUCUUCCAUGCUAGGCGUGUUAUCCUCGAUAUGUGUUUAUUCACUAUCCAUGCCCAAAUCGAAAAGAUAAUUGCAAAGAAAACUCCCCCAGGAUUGAUGUUGGUAUGGACGGUACCCGAGGAUUCGGCUAGCCGUGGAGUGUGAUUGAUUGGUGGUCGGGGAGUCAAAACUUUACUUUUCUGUUUGGGAACCGCCUAUAGCAUGUGUAGCGUGGAACAUGUUGAGAACUCUUAGUCAUUGCAUUGACAAUGAAAGCAUGCCACCCAAAAUUAUUAUCUCUGUUUUCAAAGCUCGAGCUCUCGCACGUCUGCAAAUCAAUGCUUCCCUCUGCGAAGGGUCUGUCUAUUUAUGUUCCUGUUGAGUCAUCCUCCUCUUACAAAAGCACCAAUUAGAGAGCACCUCUGUCAUUUUUAUGCUUUGCUUUUAAAUGUGUUGAGUAUGACUAUGACUAGAUCUUCAUUGCCAUGAGUUACAAUGUUUAGUCAGCCCUUGGUCUUUGAAGGUGCUUUGCAUUUAUGUUUUGCGGUCUUAGAAAGAGCUAGCGAGAUACGAUCUAUUCGUACUACUUCAUGUUGUUUUGAUUGAAGUGUUGACAUUUGAGGCUUAUUAUUAUNNNNNNNNNNNNNNNNNNNNNNNNNNNNNNNNNNNNNNNNNNNNNNNNNNNNNNNNNNNNNNNNNNNNNNNNNNNNNNNNNNNNNNNNNNNNNNNNNNNNAUCCUCCUCCUUCUCUUCUUCUUCUUCUCUUCUUCUUCUUCUUCCUUCCUUUCAUUUUUCCUCUUUCUUCUCCUCUUGUCCCCUUCUUCGGGCUAAAUUAGCUAAGAAUGCCUUUUUGGAGCUAAUUAUGUCAUUUCGAGGAUAAUUANNNNNNNNNNUUCCUUUCAUUUUUCCUCUUUUUCUCUUCUGGUCCCCUUCUUCGGGCUAAAUUGGCUAAGAAUGCCUUUUUGGAGCUAAUUAUGUCAUUUCGAGGAUAAUUAGCUAAGUAUAAGUCAUUUUUUAUUAAAUAGGCCAUUUUGGAGCUAACUAAGCUAAUUAUGUCAUUUCGUAGGACAAUUGGCCAAUUUAGCCUUUCUUGGAUGAGUCUAAGCUACGUAGAAGAAGAGAUAGAGAAGAAGAAGUAAAAUAAGGAGGAGGAGGAGGAGGAGGAGAAGAAGAAGGAAGAGGAGAAGAAGAAGAAAAGAAGAAGGAGAAGGAGAAGAAGAAGGAGAAGGAGAAGGAGGAAGAAGGAGGAAGAAGAAGGGGAAGGAGGAGCUCGUUCUCCUUCUCCUCCUUCUUCUCCUUCUUCUUCUCCUCCUCCCUCUCCUCCUUCUUCUCNNNNNNNNNNUUAUUAAAACACUAGAAAUAACAUACCUAAGUUAGGGUGAAGCACGGUGGCUCUAGCUUGUUUCACCUGGAGAAGGCUGCCCUGGAGAAGGCUCGACUGUAGAAGGGUCAUGCGAUGCGUUUCGGGACAUAUUCUGCACCAAACAUCGUUUGCAAUGUGUAGUUAGCAUGAGGACACUCUUAAGAUCACUCCACUGAAAUGAAACUCACCGUCCCCGCCACGUUAAUGACUGGCNNNNNNNNNNNNNNNNNNNNNNNNNNNNNNNNNNNNNNNNNNNNNNNNNNNNNNNNNNNNNNNNNNNNNNNNNNNNNNNNNNNNNNNNNNNNNNNNNNNNGAUCCUCUGAAGCAUCAGGUUGCCUCGAGAAUAAUUUCCCUCAAUGGGCAGGAUUGACGCCCUCCCUUGAUUUAUUGACAAUUUUGAUUUAGGAUCAGUCAAUAUUAUCACAUCGCUUCUUGGCAUUGACACCUACAGAGUUCUAUAAAUAAGAUCAGAAGUUAAACAAACAACCACGCAAUCGACUAUGAAGGAAGACCAUGUGUUACUUCUACUUUUUGAGGAUUCAAUUUAAUAUGCCAGAAGGCUACAAAAAAUGCUACAUAAAAAAGGGAGGAGGGGAAUCACAGUGGUAUCAGUGUUCUAUUUUACAGUAUUCACUGUAAUUUCUUCUCUAUCUCUACUACCAUUGAACUGCUCUCAGUAUUCUCUUAGCUGACAUUGAUUAUUAAUUAUUCCCAACAUGAUAAUAAAUUGAAUUAUAUUCAUAGUCAGUAAGUUAGUUGCCAGCACAAACAAGAGGAAAAGGAAGAUCCACCUGUAUGAAGCUGAUGAAAGUGUUAAGAAUGGCCAUGGACCUCUCCUCCUUGCCAUAAGAAUGCUUUCCAACAGUUAGAGCAUCGGAUGACCGUUUGCCAGCCCCAGCUGGGUCAGAACUGUAUGUUGUGAAUACUGUAACAAAAGAAACAUGUUCCCCAGGUUCACUUGAUGCACCUAUCUUAUUCACAGCUUUAAGUCCUGAAGGAAAUGGUAAAAUGUAGUCAGUAGAUACANNNNNNNNNNNNNNNNNNNNNNNNNNNNNNNNNNNNNNNNNNNNNNNNNNNNNNNNNNNNNNNNNNNNNNNNNNNNNNNNNNNNNNNNNNNNNNNNNNNNUUCCGAUCUUGGGAUCGAGGGCCCGAAUUGGAAAGGAGCGCAUCUAAGCGUCUCGCAAACAAGGUAUCAUCGCACAUACAUAAAUAAUAAUAGAAUGACAAUUAGGGAUUCAAUUGCCAUCUCAUAAAUAUACCAGAGUACAUCACGCAUACAACCAAAGUAGUUCCGCUAUGGACUACAAACAUGGGAGUGUGGUGCACGUGUGUAUAUGUGUGCACAUGGUGAUGUGCAAGUGUUUGUGUGGAGAUNNNNNNNNNNCUAUUCUUUUCUUACCUGUCCAGUAUUUGUAAUGGUGAUGACAAACAUGGGAGUGUGGUGCAUGUGUGUAUAUGUGUGCACAUGGUGAUGUGCAAGUGUUUGUGUGGAGAUGCUAGCAUAAGCAUGUGCUUGUAGAUGCAUGAAGUGGAGUUACUAGUGUAGGUUGUGUUAUAUUUGCAGGCUUGCAAUCUCAAUGGUUUGUUAGGUUGCUGCACUAUAUUUCUUGUGUAGUGAUUUUAUAAGAUUUAGAGGAGUGUGAUUGUGUGUGUAGAUGGUCUCUCCCUCACCACAUAUAUUUUGGUAUGUGUGAUCUUGUUCUAGUGAUGAUUGCUAUGAUAACAUGUGUAGGUAUGUGUUUUGAUCAAGAGCAUGAUCUGGUUGUGGGUUAUGUGGAGUAGAUGUGUGUGUGAUAAGCAUCCCACCUUUGCAAGCAAACUAUGCACCUUCACACGACCAUAUGUGAGAGGGCAUGGUGUUUUGUGUGUGUGGAUAGCUAGGUAGAGGUGCUUGUGAUGUUGAUGUCUUAUGACACACAUACAUGGGGUCAAAACCCUAAUGUAACCAUUGGUGUUGUGCACAUGAACAAGCAUCCAUGUAGGAACUGAUCUAGUGAAUGCACAUGAAUGUUGCACUAUUCACUAUAUAGCAAUCUAUGUUGUUUUUCCUUCCUAGUUUGUGAUCACUUGUUCCAAGCAAGUGCAUACAUAUUAUAUAUGAUUUUGAGGUAGAAUAUCCCAAGGAAUACAUUGGUGAACUUAGUUUUUCCAUUGGAACAUUUUAUGGAGAUGGCAUAUUUCAUUUUUCUUGUAUGUUUAGAGCUUGGUUCCAUGAGUUGUGGUGUGCUCUUGUGUUUGAUUCNNNNNNNNNNGGGUAGAAUAUCCGAAGGAAUACAUUGGUGAACUUAGUUUUGCCAUUGGAACAUUUUUUGGAGAUGACAUAUUUCAUUUUUCUUCUACGUUUAGAGCUUGGUUCCAUGAGUUGUGGUGUGCUCUUGUGUUUGAUUCUUGGUUGUGGUAGUAGAGGGUGACCCACUCUACCACAUGUUGGUUUCAAUUCAUGAUUAGGAAUACAUAUGUACAAGUUGUGCCCAAUCAAAGUAGGCUUGUGGCUGAAAUUCCAGAUUAGUGAAAAUCUGAGAUUUUCACUAAGUCUGANNNNNNNNNNNNNNNNNNNNNNNNNNNNNNNNNNNNNNNNNNNNNNNNNNNNNNNNNNNNNNNNNNNNNNNNNNNNNNNNNNNNNNNNNNNNNNNNNNNNAUAAUACUGCUAAUUCUACUGCAAGGAAAUACAAAAAACUAAUCUGGUUUAUUUUAUUGUCAUACAGCUGUUCCUGGUUUACCUCUUAUUGGAAAUCUGCACCAGUUAAAAGAGAAGAAGCCCCAUAAGACCUUUGCAAAAUGGUCUGAUAUUUAUGGGCCAAUANNNNNNNNNNNNNNNNNNNNNNNNNNNNNNNNNNNNNNNNNNNNNNNNNNNNNNNNNNNNNNNNNNNNNNNNNNNNNNNNNNNNNNNNNNNNNNNNNNNNNNNNNNNNNNNNNNNNNNNNNNCUUCAUCUGUAGCUGUGCUCAACUCUUCUGAAGUAGCCAAGGAGGUAAUACGGAAAUUUUCAUUUCUUUUUUCUUUUCUUAAUUCACUUGUUAAUGUACUUUUAGGUUCUACUACAAAAUAUAUUCUCUUACACUUUUGGGUAAUUGUGGCAACUUGGGAUUUUACUCUUCUGAUUGAUUUUUUCAUUUACUCUGUAUGCUUAUGUUGGCAUUAUCUUAGCGAAUUUUCUUUUAAAUGGAAGUAUAAUAAUUCAAACCUAGAUAAAAGAGUUCAUUUUCAUCCCAUAAAUUGAACUUCAGAGCUUAUAUAAUCAGUAUUCUAACGAGUUUUCUACAAAAACAGAGGACUUAAACAAGUUAUGAACUGACCUCUUUCCCCCAUGAACUACCCAGAAAAAUAUAUUACGCUACANNNNNNNNNNNNNNNNNNNNNNNNNNNNNNNNNNNNNNNNNNNNNNNNNNNNNNNNNNNNNNNNNNNNNNNNNNNNNNNNNNNNNNNNNNNNNNNNNNNNUAGUUUAUCCUUUCAAAUAUUACAAAUAAAUAUAUUAAAAACAUAUUUUACAUAAAAACUUGAAAAUAAAUUAUCCAAUCAAGUGGAAAAUGUUAAAUAUGUAUAUAAAAAUAUUUCUAUUUUAUAGGAAAAAUGCAUAAAAAUAAUGUCUAUGAAUAUUCUUGAUAACUUGUUGGAAAACAUUUAAUCAUUCAUUUGAAAAGAAUUUUAAACAAGUGUUUGUAAAGUGUUAAUCAAGCAUUUGAAAAAUGUAAGUUCUUAAAAAAUAUUGACCAUGUAUGAAAAAAAAACAAGCAUUUGAAAAAUGUUAAAUGUGUUUAUAAAAGAUGUUAAUGAUGUGUUUUCAAAUAAUUAAUCUUGUACUCGAAGAAUGCUAAGCAAACAUUUUUGUGUACGUAAAAAAUAUUAAUCAUGUUUUUCAAAAAGGUUAAUAAAAUAAUAAUAAAGGUGCUAAAUAUCUAUAGAAAAUUCAUCAAAUAAGUUAAAAAAUAAUGUUAAUUAUAUAUUUGAAGUUAUUAAAAGUGUAUACAAAAACUAUUUUUGAUGUAUAAGAAAACUAUUGAAUUUGUACUGAAAAAGGUUAACCCAUAUUGAGAAAAAAAUGAUGAAAAAUAAAUUAAAAGCAAAUGAAAACCAAUGGAUAAUUAACCGAUGGAUUAGAAAAUAAAUAAAAGAAAAAACCAAUGGAGCGAGAGAAAGAAACACAUAGAAACGAAGAUAAUCUGAAANNNNNNNNNNNNNNNNNNNNNNNNNNNNNNNNNNNNNNNNNNNNNNNNNNNNNNNNNNNNNNNNNNNNNNNNNNNNNNNNNNNNNNNNNNNNNNNNNNNNNNNNNNNNNNNNNNNNNNNNNNNNNNNNNNNNNNNNNNNNNNAGCAAAGUGUGAAUAAGACAUAGGUGAAACAAAGGAAAAACAAAACAACUUAGAGAAAAUUGAAAAAGAAAAAUAACAAAGAAAAAAGAAAAGAAAGUCCAACCAACAAAGCGAUCGACCGCUCACAAGUGAACUUCUCGUGUCUAUGGCGUGACAAAAUUGACCUUAUUGGCAUGGACACCGACGUCAUUAAUAUGAGGCCACUGUUAAAAAAUAAUGUUGGUGUUGGAGACGACGCCACGUGGCUAACGCGAGCAGUAAUAUAUGUCAAUAGUCGCAUUGCAUUAGUUCAACGCAGGGAAUCUAUCGUUUGGCUUUCUCUCGUCUAUGGUUGUCCUCAUUGAUGUUAGUCUUUCACACAUUUGUGUCUUUCUUUUCCAUCAUUAUUUUAUUUGUCAUCCUAAGUGCCAACAUAUCUUGCUUACGCUCAUCCAUUGCAUGAGUGCUCAAAAUCAAAAGGGAGAGGAUCAUUUUGACUUGUACCUGACUAGUGGUCUUGAGAUGAGNNNNNNNNNNNNNNNNNNNNNNNNNNNNNNNNNNNNNNNNNNNNNNNNNNNNNNNNNNNNNNNNNNNNNNNNNNNNNNNNNNNNNNNNNNNNNNNNNNNNAGAAAUAUUACUGCAUGCAACCAUCUAUGUGCGUUGUUUUCUUCAGAAGACUGAUAUGUUUGUCUUUCUGGUCCAUAUGUAGGCCUUUCUAGAGCUAAAACUUGAGGAGGUUCACUGUGUGAAUUGUGUUCGUCAUUUUGUUUUCACUGAUUCUGAUAUGGCAGUGGUUGAGGAUCUUGGACAUAUCUUCACGAGCUAUCCUCAUUGGCACCUUGCUCUUACGUUUCGUAAUAACAAAGGCCAGCCCUUGAACUCUGGAUUUGUAGCUGUCAGAGGGACCAGAGAUGGCAUCUCUAAGUAAGUGAACAUCUAUGAAGCAGAUCUUGGUAUGAAAACUUGGCAUUGCAUUAAAUAAUUCCUUCAUUUGCUUUUAGGGCUAUUGAAUUCUUCAACGAAGUUCUUAAAGCAUACAAUCUAAAGUAUAUGAAGGCAUCCCGCAUGCUUGGUGAUCAGUUAGCACUGGCAUGGGUUGUGAAGUCUUACCUACCAUCAGCCUUUGGGAAUUUUUCUAGGCAUGGAACAUUUGCUGGNNNNNNNNNNNNNNNNNNNNNNNNNNNNNNNNNNNNNNNNNNNNNNNNNNNNNNNNNNNNNNNNNNNNNNNNNNNNNNNNNNNNNNNNNNNNNNNNNNNNGAGCAUCCCUGCAGGGUUUAAUCUUUCGGAAAGUCGUGCCCGCGGUUAUGUGGCAACUUGGAAUAUUUUGUUAACAUCCGGUAUUAGAUAACUUAAACAAAAGCUAAUAAAAUUGCGAACCGUGUGCGUAACCGUGACUGUCCCCUCGAAGAUCUCUCUUCGAUCGGGAACACGGUGGGGUUAUGUUCGAUGUAGGUAGGUGUUCAGGAUCACUUAGUGAUCAAGUAUAAUCGACCGCUAGCAUAGACCACCUUCAUUAUGUUCUACGUAAGAUAGCCACCAAAUCAAGCUUAGGAUGCUGGAACCUUAAACACUCCACCUAUCCAACCUAUUAACUUGACUAGUUAUGUCACCAAGGUCUUAGAUUGCUGAGUCCCCGUGGCUCAUGGAUUCCUCCACAAUACCAAUAGGUUCAGGUACCCCAGAGACAGGUGAUCCCGACGGCACGCAGCUGGCGUGGCAGUACGAUGAGGAGACCGACCGCGUGUAUGUGAACUAUCCAGAAGAUUGAGGCGUGGUCGUGAUCAUGGGCCAGCAGNNNNNNNNNNNNNNNNNNNNNNNNNNNNNNNNNNNNNNNNNNNNNNNNNNNNNNNNNNNNNNNNNNNNNNNNNNNNNNNNNNNNNNNNNNNNNNNNNNNNUGUUGCCACUUGUCCAGCGGUACACUUGCUGAUUUUGGGGGCCUGUUGAUAUAUCCAGUAUUUUUUUAUUGAGUAUGGUAACAUGCCAAAUCUGAUAUGAUGUUCUUAGGUUGUCCAUUUCAAAGGUUCAAGAAAGCGUUUGAUGCUAGAGGCAUGGGAUUUCUACAAUUCAACCUCUCAAUUAUCUGAUAUGUUGUGCCUAAUCUUGAAGAGUGGCAGAACAAAAUAUGACUUCUGAACCUUCUGUUCCACAAUGAAGUUACAUCUGGUACUCUUUCUCUCCCUAUAGACAUCACAGGCUGGUCCAGCAUUUUGUGCUUUAUUUUCCUUCAUCUUAGUUCAUUCAGCACAAUUAGGGCUUGUUCAGUUGCAAGAGUUUUGAAGGAGCUUGUUGAAAGGUUUAACCGGACAAGGCCUUGGUAGUCUUUGUUGACAUUUUAUUUUAUGGAAGAAAAACAAAAGGAUUUAGUUCAUAUUCACGAAGCCCUAGAUUUUUGGGGCGGAUUUCUGCUUUUGCUCAGCCCCUGCAUGUGUAAUGCUUUAUGUAUGGCUUUCUACGAAGCGUGCUUUGCUCUAAAACAAGCUUGUCUUCNNNNNNNNNNNNNNNNNNNNNNNNNNNNNNNNNNNNNNNNNNNNNNNNNNNNNNNNNNNNNNNNNNNNNNNNNNNNNNNNNNNNNNNNNNNNNNNNNNNNGGUCUCACGGUAAACUCAUAUCAAUGGCAUAAUCAACUAGCGAGCAAAUAAUAAUAAGCCUCAAAUGUCAACACUUCAAUCAAAACAACAUGAAGUAGUACGAAUAGAUCGUAUCUCGCUAGCUCUUUCUAAGACCGCAAAACAUAAAUGCAAAGCACCUUCAAAGACCAAGGGCUGACUAAACAUUGUAACUCAUGGCAAUGAAGAUCUAGUCAUAGUCAUACUCAACACAUUUAAAAGCAAAGCAUAAAAAUGACAGAGGUGCUCUCUAAUUGGUGCUUUUGUAAGAGGAGGAUGACUCAACAGGAACAUAAAUAGACAGACCCUUCGCAGAGGGAAGCAUUGAUUUGCAGACGUGCGAGAGCUCGAGCUUUGAAAACAGAGAUAAUAAUUUUGGGUGGCAUGCUUUCAUUGUCAAUGCAAUGACUAAGAGUUCUCAACAUCUUCCACGCUACACAUGCUAUAGGCGGUUCCCAAACAGAAAAGUAAAGUUUUGACUCCCCCACCACCAAUCAAUCACACUCCACGGCUAGCCGAAUCCUCGGGUACCGUCCAUACCAACAUCAAUCCUGGGGGAGUUUUGUUUGCAAUUAUCUUUUCGAUUUGAGCAUGGAACUGGGAAUUCCAAUUAUCGGCCCCUUUCUCGUGAAUGAUAGUGAAUAAACACAUAUCGAGGAUAACAUGCCUAGCACGGAAGAUACUGAUAGCCCCCUGUCACCACAUGAGCUGUUCGGGCACGCAAAACAGAUUAUUUCUUGAAGAUUUAGAGAGUGGCACAUGCAAAUUUACUUGGAACGGCGGGUAGGUACCGCAUAUAGGUAGGUAUGGUGGACUCGUAUGGAACAACUUUGGGUUUAUGGAGGUGGAUGCACAAGCAGUAUUCUCGCUUAGUACAAAAAAAGGCUAGCAAAAGACUGGGAAGCGACCAACUAGAGAGCGAUAACAGUCAUCAAAAUGCAUUGAGAUUAACUAACAUUGAGUGCAAGCAUGAGUAGGACAUAAAUCACCAUGAACAUGAACAUCAUAGAGGCUAUGUUGAUUUUGUUUCAACUACAUGCGUGAACAUGCGCCAAGUCAAGCCACUUGAAUCAUUCAAAGGAGGAUACCAUCCUAUCAUACUACAACAUAGUCAUCUCAACAUUCAUGUGGGCAUCCAAGACAAACCAUUAUAAGAUCCUAGCUAAGUAAGCAUGGCAUAAGCAACUAUGAUCUCUAAGUUGUCACUGCAAACAUGUUUCUCUCACAACAAAGCUAAAUCAGGCAUGAUGAGCUAGUCAUAUUUACAAAAACAAAAUAGAUCGAGUUCAUGCUAGCUUUUCCAGGCUCAGUCACUUCAUCAUAUAUCGUCACUAUUGCAUUUCACUUGCACGACCGAAUGAUGUGAACAAUAAUAAGAGUGCUUGUGCAUUGGACUACGCUGGAAUCUGCAGGCAAACAUAAAGGAGAAGACAAAGUAAUAUGGCUCUUUGACAGUUAAACAGGUAUGCAUGCGAGAGCCACUAAAUAUUGUAACCAUGGUCUUCUACCUUGACCCAAAGAAAAAGAAAACUAUUUACACAAGAAAGCUCCCAACAAGCAAAAGAAGAAAAAGAAAAUAUUUUUGGGUUUUCUUCAAAUUAGACAGACACACUAAACGAAAACGGGAAAAAGGAAAAUAAACUAGCAUGGAUAAUACAGUGGCAAAGUGUGAACACCGGCUAACAAAGUGAAAGCAUAAGCAAGAAUGUAAAGUCGGUGAGAACACGUACUCCCCCAAGCUUAGGCUUUUGGCCUAAGUUGGUCUACUCCCAAGGAUGAUCCUGGCAAAACCCAAAAUCAUAAUGGGGGUUAGAUGGGAGCGCUGCAACCACUGCCUGAAUAGCUGCCUCAUGGAGACGAGCAGCCUUUGCCUCCCUCUCAUACUCCUCUGGUUAUGUAAUAUCUUCAUUUUACCUGAAAGUCAAAGAAGGCAGGAGCAGGAAGGGUAAUAUGGAAAACACGCUGCCGGUUAAAAAUCAAACGGUAUAGGAGGGAUUCGUCAUCCCUCUCAAGGAACUGGUAGCAUGUCAAAGCGACGCGGUCAAGGAAAGAUGUAUGGAGCGGGGGAUCUCCUUCGCGGAUGGGUACUCCAAGAAAAUUUGCUAUGCGAGUGGCAUAGAUCCCACCAAAGAAAUCCCCUUCAUUAGCAUUCUUAUUCAGCCUCCUUGUUAUUAUAGCUCCCAUGUUGAAAAUUUUAUCACCCGUUACUGCGCUCUUAAGGAUACUAAGGUCGGAUGUGUAGAGGUGACAAUGCUCAAUCUUGCCAUUAAUGCAUCUGCCUAUGAAGAGGGCAAAGUAAUGCAAGGCAGGAAAAUGAAUACUCCCCAUGGUAGCUUGCGUAAUGUCUCUAGUUUCUCCAACAGUAAUACGAGAGCAAAAAAUCUCUAACCUAAGAUUUAGGAGGAUCACUGAGGCUACCCCAAAUAGGUAUUUUGCAAAUUCUAUUGAAAUCCCCUAAAUCCAUGGUAUACGAUUUGUCAUAGAGAUCAAACAGUACUGAUGUGUCACGGCCAACCGAAAAUUUGAACCUACGAACAAAAGAGCCAGUGAGAGCAACAUACUGUUCACAUUUAUCGGAUAUGAAUUCUUCGAGUCCGACGUUGUGAACAAGUGCAUCAAACUCAUCUUUGAAACCUGCCUCAAUCAUAAAUUCAUCAAAAGGCCAUUCACAUGGUUCUACCUGCGCGUCCCUUGGUUGGUAAUGAUCAGGCUCCUGAAUCGCAAGACGGGGACCUCUCUUGCUUGAGGAACCACCAUGAAAGUUUCUCCUGAACAUCUUCCUUUUCUAAAAUUUUCAGUGAUUCUAAGGAAAGGUGAACAAGGCUCAACUAAACUUGUAGCAACUACUCCCACAAUUGCCUAGAGAACAUAUUACGCAUCAAAACUACUUAGGACGAGCUAAAAUCAGCAUGCAAAGCUCAAGAACAUGGUCACCAAGGAAGCAAAAAAUACGCGGAGUAUAAGGCACUAGAGAAAAAACUAAUUAGACCAAUGGAGGAGUUACUUACCAAGGAGUAAUUUCCCCAAAACAGUUCGGGGAACGGUGCUUUGAGCAAAGAGAUCGAAAAUCCCAGCAAAAGGAGCAAGAACACGGGUUUGAGCUACGAAGCCAUUUUUUCUGGAGGUAGGAGAACUAGAUAAGAGCAAGAAUGAGUGGAGGGGGUGGCUGUGGGCCCCCACAAGCCUGGGUGGCGCGGCAACGGGGUGCCCGCGCCGUCAGGGCUUGUGACCCACUUGUGUGGCCCCCAGACAAGCUCUUUGCCCCAGAAUUUUUCAAAAAUUCCAGAAAAAAUCAUACUUGAUUUUCAAGACGUUCGGAGAACUUUUAUUUUCCAUUUUUCUUCUAAGCAACCUAAAGUGAAAGCUCGGAACAGAGGUUUGUGACUCCUCGAUUCAUCCAUCUCAUGGUCAUCGAAAGAACUCCGUCAGUGAGGUUGAUCAAGCCUCUUUGGCAAAAAAAAAACGAAUCGCAAAAGAGAACGGAGAAUUUUCGAAAAGUCACUAGGUCACCUCAAUGGGGAUGUGUAUCUCCCCAACAAGCAAAUCAUACUUCAUCUUGACACGAGGAAUAGGGCAAUCAAAGGUCCCGAUAAGAAUCGAUGAAGUUUUCUCGAUAGCAUUGAUGCAAUGUACUCGAUAUUGUUUCUUCGGAAAGUGCAUCGUAUGCUCAUUACCGUUGACAUGGAAAGUGACAUUGCCUUUGUUGCAAUCUAUAACAGCCCCUAUAGUGUUUAAAAAGGGUCUUCCGAGGAUGACAGCCAUGGCAUCGUCCUCAGGAAUAUCCAAAAUAACAAAGUCUAUUAAGAUAGUGACAUUGGCAACCACAACAGGUACAUCCUCGCAAAUGCCGAUAGGGAAAGCAGUUGAUUUGUCGACCAUUUGCAGAGAGAUUUCAGUGGGUGUCAACUUAUCCAGUUCAAGUCUAUGAUAAAGAGAGAGAGGCAUAACACUAACACCGGCUCCAAGAUCGCAUAAAGCAGUUCUCACGUAGUUACCUUUAAUGGAGCAAGGUAUAGUGGGCACACCGGGAUCACCUAGUUUCUUAGGAGUUCCACCCUUGAAGGUAUAAUUAGCCAGCAUGGUGGAAAUCUCAACCUCAGGUAUCCUCCUCUUAUUAGUCACAAUAUCUUUCAUGUACUUAGCAUACGAAGACAUUUUGAGCAUAUCUGUCAAACGCAUUUGCAGAAACACAGGUCUGAUCAUUUCAACGAAUCGCUCAAAAUCCUCAUCAUCCUUUUUAUUGGAUGGUUUGGGAGGAAAGGGCAUGGGUUUCUGAACCCAUGGUUCCCUUUCAUUACCAUGCUUCCUAGCAGUGAAGUCAUUCUUAUCAUAUCUUCUAUUCUUAGGCUAUGAGUUAUCAAGAUCAACACGUUCAAUCUCCACAUACUUAUCAUUGCUAGGUUGAGCAUCAACAUGAACAUCACUAUUGAUAUUAUCAUUAGGCUCAUGUUCAUCACCAGAAUGUGUUUCACCAUCACAGACAGAGACAUCGUUUGGACUCUCAGGGGUAGCAGCAUCUGGGUUGCUAGCGUGCAAGUUCCUAUCAUCUUUCUUCUUCUUUCUAGGAUGACUAGGUGCAUCAGUGCUAACUCCUCGAGAAUCUUGUUCAAUUCUCUUAGUAUGACCCUCGGGAUACAAAGGUUCCUGGGUCAUUCUACCACCUCUAGUGAUGACUCUGACAGAAUUGUCAUUCAACUCGUUCAGCAAGUCAUUUUGAGCUUUAAGUACUUGUUCUACUUGGGUGGUAACCAUAGAGGCAUGUUUACUCAGGAGCUUAAGUUCAUUGACAUUUCUGUCCACACAAGCACUUAAAUGACUAAGCAUACGAGCAUUUUGUUCCAAUUUUCUGCUAACAUAAUCAUUGAAACUCUUUUGUUUGGCAACAAAGUUGUCAAAUUCAUCCAGGCAUAAGCUAGCAGGUUUAUCAAAAGGAAUAUCACUCUCAUCAAACCUGCCUAGAGAAUUUACUUCUACUACCUGUAUGGGGUUAUCAAGACCAUGGAUCUCUUCGAUAGGUGGUAGAUUUUUGACAUCUUCAGAUUUAAUGCCUUUCUCUCGCAUAGAUUUCUUAGCUUCUUGCAUAUCUUCAGGACUGAGGAAUAGAAUACCUCUUUUCGUUAGAGUUGGCUUAGGAGGUCGUUCGGGAAUAGUCCAAGCAUUCUCAUUGCACAAGAUGUUAUUCAGUAGAAUCUCAGCUUGUUCUACAGUUCGUUCCCUAAAAACACAACUGGCACAACUAUCUAGGUGGUCUUUGGAAGCAUCGGUAAGUCCAUUAUAGAAGAUAUCAAGUAUUUCAUUCUUCUCAAGAGGGUGAUCAGGCAAAGCAUUCAGUAGCUGGAUGAGCCUCCCCCAAGCUUGUGGGAGACUCUCUUCUUGAGCUUGAGCAAAGUUGUAUAUUUCCUGCAAGGCAGCUUGGUUCUUAUGGGCAGGAAAAUAUUUUUCAGAGAAGUAGUAGACCAUAUCCUGGGGGCUACGCACACAACCAGGAACAAGAGAAGUGAACCAGGUCUUAGCAUCAUCCUUUAGCGAGAAAGGAAACAGCUUGAGGAUAUAGUAGUGGCGGAUCUUUUCCUCACUACUGAAUGGGGUGGCUAUAUCGUGCAGUUUGGUAAGAUGGGCUACAACCAUUUCAGACUCAUAACCGUGAAAAGGAUCAGAUUCGACCAAAGUGAUUAACUCAGGGUCGACAGAGAAUUCGUAAUCCUUAUCGGUCACAAAGAUAGGCGAAGUAGCAAACUUCGGGUCGUAUUUCAUCCUAGCGUACAGAGAUUUUUCUUUCCACUUGAGCAGUAGUUUCUCAACAUCAUAGCUAUCCUUACACACAAGAAAAUCCUCAGCUAUCUCUCCCUCCAUAACAUAACGCUCAGGCAUAACAGGCAAUUCAGGCAUAGUAGCAGGUUCUACUUCAAUAGUAUCAUCAAUUUCAGAAGUAUCAUCAUAUCUAGCAGCAACUCUAGCAAUUUGUGCAUCAAGGAAUGCACCUAGUGGAAAAGCAGUAUCAAGCAUAGCAUCAUCAGGCAAAGCAGUAUCGGGCAUAGCAUCAUCAGGCAUAGUAUCAAGCAUAGCAUCAUCAAGCACAGGCGACAUAUCAAGAUUUCUAGCAUGAGGAGAUGUCGCAAACUUACUUAUAACUGAAGGUGAAUCACGUGCAGAGCUAGAUGGCAGUUUCGUACGUGUCCUCGUAGUGGAAGGCAAGAUUUCAGUUCUUGGAUCUUUCAGAUUCCUCAUAGUGACCAGCAAACUUCAAUCCCAAGUGACUCAGAGAAUAUAGAUGUGCUUCCCCGGCAACGGCGCCAGAAAAUAGCCUCGAUGACCAACAAGCGCAUGGGAUUGCAGCAGUUUUCAAGGGUAGAGUAUUCAACCCAAAUUUAUUGAUUCGCCACAAGGGGAAGCGAAAGAAUAUUCUCAAGUAUUAGCAGCUGAGUUUUCAGUUCAACCACACCUGAAAGAUUAGUGUCUGCAAGCAAAGUAUCAGUAGCAAAGUGGUAUGAUAGCAACGGUGCUACAAAAGGAUCUGUUGACGACAGACUAUUCCUGACUUGUUGUAUCAAUAGCGCCAGAAGAGUGUUGCAGCAGGUAACAACAAAGUAACAAGUAACAACAGUAGUGACAGCAGUAGCGAGUAAAGUAACAUAGCAAGGACCAGUAGUAAAAGACUCGUAGGCAGUGGAUCGGUGAUGGAUGAGUAUGCCGGAUGUGAUUCAUCAUGUAACAACUAUAACACGGAGAUAUAAGUAACUUGCUCCCGUUCAUCAAUCUAAUGUAGGCAUGUAUUCCGUAUGUAGUCAUACGUGCUUAGGGAAAAGAACUUGCAUGACAUCUAUUGUCCAUCCCUCCCGUGGCAGCGGGGUCCUAAUGGAAACUACGGGAUAUUAAGUUUCUCCUUUUAAUAAAGAGUCGGACCAACGCAUUAACACGUGGUGAAUACAUGAACUCCUCAUACUAUGGUCAUCUCCGGAAGUGGUUCCGGCUAUUGUCACUCCGGGGUUGCCGGGUCAUAACACAUAGUAGGUGACUACAACUUGCAAGAUAGGAUCUAAAACACACAUAUCUUGGCGACAACGUAAUAGGUUCAGAUCUGAAAUCAUGUCACUCGGGCCCUAGUGACAAGCAUUAAGCAUAGCCAAGUAGUAGCAACAUCAAUCUCAGAACAUAGUUGAUACUAGGGAUCAAUCCCCGUCAAAACUAACUCGAUUACAUGAUAGAUCUCAUCCAACUCAUCACCGUCCAGCAAGCCUACGAUGAGAUUACUCAUGAACGGUGAAGAGCAUCAUGGAAUUGGCGAUGGAGGAAGGUUGAUGAUGACGAUGGCGACGAUUUCCCCUUUCCGAAGCCCAGAACAGACUCCAAAUCUGCCCUCCAGAUGAAGAACAGGAGGUGGCGGCGCCUCCAUAUCGUAAAAUGCGAUGAAUCCUUCUCUGUGAAAUUUUACCGGGCGAAACGGAAUAUAUAGAGCUGAGUUUGGAGGCGGUGGAGCUCUGUGGGCUCCACAAGCCUGGUUGGUGCGGCCUGGGGGGUGGCUGCGGCUAGUGGGCUUGUGGCCCACUCGCUCACCCCCUCCGGUGGAUCUUUGUGCAGGUAUUUUUCAUUAAUUCUAGAAAAAUUCUUCGUAAAAUUUUAGGUCAUUCCGAGAACUUUUAUUUCUGCACAAAAACAACACCAUGACAAUUCUGCUGAAAACAUCGCUAGUCCGGGUCAGUUCCAUUCAAAUCAUGCAAAUUAGAGUCCAAAACAAGGGCAAAAGAGUUCUGAAAAGUAGAUACGACAGAGACGUAUCAGUGGUCAUGGCCGGCCCUCCCCCUGUCACAACCACAGCGGCUGACCUGGAGAUCGUGGAGGCGGAUGUGCUGAGUGUGGGGAUGGAGGUGUGCCCCGCGUCAUCGCCGCGCUCGCCGGGGGUGGUCUGCUACUCGCGCUCACCGGGUCCCCCUCUUCUCUAGCCUUGGGGUCCCCGGAUCAGGAGCCGCCGCCGCCCCUGGACCUGGUCAUGAUGGGUGUGACCCCUGCGGCAGCCGGCCCCAAGGCUCGGGGUGGGGCUUCUCCGUUGGUGUCAGCGCGCCAGAGUGCGAGGCUCAGCUAGUCUCGGCUCCUCCUGGAUGGACGUGUCCCUACGAUCCAGGAGAAGGCCACCCUGCGCGCGGCUGCUCGCGACCUGUCCCGUGGUAACUCCAUCAUCCCUCCCGCUCCUUCUCACUCUAACUCGAUUUUAUGUUCUUGGUUGCGAGUCGGUGUCUCAUCUGGCAGAAGUGGCUACCGAUAGUGGCAUUGUGUUCCGUGGUGAGAAGGGGCCCAUCCUGGAGAAGAUUUCCGCUAUUUGCACCAAGGAGAAGCUUGAGGGGGCGCUGGUGGAAUCCCGUGCCUGUGCUGCACGUGGUGAACCCAGCUCCCUUGAGCCCACUGACCCUGGUCAUAGAGAGACCAGGGAUGGCGCGGCUCCCUCGAAGGUGACUAUGGCUGGGACCUCCCUGUCAGUUCCUUCCUCGGUGAGGGUGCUACGCGGACAUCCCCCCACACGUCUCAAUCCCACUGAACAUCGUCUCGAGGUGCGUGGGUCUAGGUCCAGGUCCGCCUCCCUCAGACAAGGGGCCACCGCUGCCCCCUCUGCACGGGGGUGACGUGGCCGCCUGUCUAAGGUUCUCCCCCGACCCGCGAUUGAUGGGCGAGCUAGCUCGACCCCGCUUGCGGGGCCUAGUAACUCUUAUGAGGUUAUUAAAUGAAGCUCCUAUGUUGGAACAUAAGGGGCUUCGGCCUCACUAGCCGACGAUGGUAGCUCAUCGAGUAUUAGCGACAAGAAGAGAUUGACAUAAUGGGAUUACAGGAGACGAUUCACCAGGAUUUUAGAAUGCAUGAGCUCCAGAGGCUUUCCCGUCACCAGUUUGCCUGGUAGUGGUUGCGUGCUGCGGGCUACUCUGGGGGAAUCCUGCUUGGAGUAAGGGAGGAUGCUUUCUCGGUUGAGGUAUGGACCGUGGGGAAUUCUUCGUGAGCAUGUCCAUCACUGACUGACGAGUUCACUCAGUUGGGAGGUGAUUAUUGUCUAUGGUCCGGCGGACCAUGGCCGCUUUGCUGACUUCCUCGCCGAGUUGGAAAACAAGGUGGAGAGGUGCACCAAUACGGUGGUGGUGGCCGACGACUUUAACCUCAUUAGGUGGGCUUCUGAUAAAAGCUCUCCUAAUGUGGAUCGGGCCCGAAUGCGUCUCUUCAAUGACUGCAUUGCUGACCUGGCGCUCCAUGCGAUAGCUCGCGUUGGGGCUAGGUUCACAUGGUCGAAUAAACAGGCGUACCACAUCCCGAGUGUCUCGGAUCGGGUCUUUGUGUCGGCUCACUGGGAAGUGAUGUUCCCACUUUGCUCCCUCAAGGCCGUCACUCAGAUUGGCUCCGACCAUACGCCCCUAAUUUUCUCGUCGGGGGAGGGUUCCCCCCUAGACCCCGUCGCUUCCGCUUUGAGACAUUCUGGCUGGAGCAACCAGGUUUCUUCGAGCUGGUUCGCGACCGCUGGCGUGAGGCGGUCUCUUCCCCGCCUCGUGUGUUGUGUGCGGUGGAUGUAUGGCAUCACUGCGCUAAGUUGGCUCGUCAGGCCAUGAAGGGCUGGGGGCGAACUUGGGCACUGACCUCCGGCCCGUAAAGGGGCCUUGCUGGUUCAGAUUAAGGUGUUGGAUGACCUGGCGAACGGGUCGGUCUGUCCCCUGACGACUGGAUCAGGAGAUACUCCCUCGAGGCCUCGCUCAUGGAUAUCUUCAAGAGCGAGGAGCUGUUCUGGAAGCGUCGAGGCGUCCAGAACUGGCUCCUUAAGGGGGAUGCGAACACUGCCUACUUUCAGGCGAUUGCUAAUGGCCGUAGGCGGAAAUGUGUCAUUCCUUUCCUCUCGGAUGUGGAUGUUCUCUUGGAAAGCCCAGAGGACAUCUCAUCCAUAUCUACUCCUUUUAUAAGGAGUUGUUCUCGGCUGAGCCGUGUGGACGCACCUCCCUAUGUGAGGACUUCUGGCCGCUUGCUGCACAGGUAACCGAGGCGGAGAAUGCGGAGCUUACUCUCCCGUUCUCCCCUAAGGAGGUGGGUCGGGCGAUUGCCUCUAUGAAGGCUUGCUCGGCCCCGGGGCCGGAUGGUCUACCGGUAGUUGUCUUCCAGAAAUUUUGGGAGAUCUUGCAUCCGGUCGCCAUGCCCAUGUUCCAUGAAUUUUAUAUCGGCACCCUGGACAUGGGUAGGAUUAACUUUGGCGCCAUUGCCCUCAUCCCCAAAGUAGUUGGGGCUUCGGAUAUCCGGCAAUUUUAUCCCAUCAUGAUGAUCAACGUGUUGGCGCGAAUCCCCACCCCCUCCAGUCCGUGUUCCUGAAGGGCAGGCGAAUCCAUGACGGGAUUCUUGCCCUUCACGAGAUUGUCCACGAGGUGGCGUCGAAGGGGCUUAAGGGGGGCUUCCUCAAAUUGGACUUCCAGAAAGCAUAUGAUCGUCUCGAUUGGUCCUUUUUGAGGUUGGUGAUGCAGCGACGCGGAUUUGACGAGAGGUUGUGUUCCUGGAACAUGCAAUUGGUUAGAUCUGGUAACACGGCGAUCAACAUGAACGGUGAAGUGGGACCCUUUUUCCAGGCUUCCAGGGGGUAAAGCAAGGGGAUCCUGUAUCCCCUUGCUUUUCAACAUCGUUGUCAAUGCCCUCGCCGGCAUCCUGGAUAAGGCCAAGCUAGACGGCCAUCUUCAGGGGGUGGUUGGCCACCUCAUUCCGGGCGGUGGAGUUUCCCACUUGCAAUAUGCGGACGACAUCAUGAUCAUGGUUGCAGGCUCCGACUCGGACAUUCUUAACCUUAAGUUCCUUUUGCUCUGCUUUGAGGAAAUGUCUGGACUUAAGAUUAACUUUGAUAAGAGCGAGGUUGUGGUCCUUGGCUACUCCGAGGCUGAGCAGCACAGGAUCGCGGACAACCUCAAUUGCAGGCUGGCUUCCUUCCCCGUUUCUUACUUGGGGAUGCCCCUAGCUGAGUCCAGGAUCUUGGUAAGCGGGUUUGGUCCGCUUGUGGGACGAGUAGCGUCCCGUGCGGAGCCGUGGUGCGGCAGGUUCACGUCUAAGGGCAGCAAGACCAUCCUCAUUAUCUCUAACCUUGCGAGCCUCCCCAUGUAUAUGAUGGGGAUGUACAUCUUGCCCGAAGGUGUCCAUAGCGCCUAUGACAAGGAGCUGGCUAGGUUCUUCUGGCCGGCAGGGGAUGGUCGACCCAAAUACCAUAUGGUGAAGUGGGCCGAAAUAUGCCUGCCGAAGGACCGAGGGGGGUUGGGCAUCCCUGCGUCUUGCCGUAUGAACGUUGCCCUCAUGCUUCGUUGGGUGUGGCGGAUCCUGCAGGGAUAUGGGGGUUUGUGGCUACAGCUGAUUGAGGCCAAGUACAUGCAGGGUAAGCCCCUCUUGGCCUGCUCGCACUCAGUUGGGUCCCAGUUUUGGAAAUCUAUCCAGGACAUCAAGGAUUAUAUUAGGUUGGGUUUGCGGUUCUCGGUGGGUAAUGGGUCCGGGUCUCAGUUUUGGUUGGACCCCUGGCUUGCUGGAGAGCCUCUGCGCUUGCGGUUUCCAAGGCUCUUUGCUAUUUGUGACGACCCGGCUGUCCUUGUCUCUACGGCUCCUUUGGAGGACGGAUGGCAUUUUGCGCUCCGCCGCUCCUUUGGACGAACCAGGUCCAGGAAUGAGAUGUCUUGAAGGAAGUAGUCCCUCUCUCGGGCUCUUCGGUCAAUGACAAUGUUUCUUGGAGUCUCUCUCAUUCGGGAGAAUUCUCCGUUAGUUCAGCUUAUCAUGCGCUCUGUCGGGUGCGAGUUCUUCCGUGGCUAUCCCCACUUUGGAAGACCCCGAUGCCCCUGAAGAUCAAGAUUUUCGUUUGGCAGCUUCUCCGUAACCGUCUGCCUUCAGGGACCGAGGCGUUGAAACGCCAUGCUCCGGACAACGACACUUGUCCCCUGUGCCACGUCCCGAAAACGGGAACACACAUUCUAUUCUCAUGCGUAGCUGCACAAGCCCUUCGGUGUUUUGUGCGUGAGGCUCUGGGACCGGAGUGGGAGGCUCAUGAUCUUGCAGAGUUUCCGCACGUAAGUGCCACCCAGGUUAGUCGUAAGCGUCGAUUGUUCUGGCUUGUCUUCGCAGCAAUGAUGUGGACUCUUUGGACUACUCGUAAUAAAAUGGUGAUUGAGCGCAUGUUCCAGCGGCGUGCCUCUGACUCGUUCUUCAAAUUUCUUGCCCUCUUGCAGCUCUGGCAUCUGCUCGUUAGGCCCCGAGACUGUGACCGGCUUCAACUGUAUCCGGACGCGCUGCUGACGUCCAUCCGACGGCUCUCCGUCCGUUCGCCUGCCUCUUAGCUUGCCCCUAUGAUGGCCUUUUAUGUUUCCUUUUCUUUCACUUGGACGUGACUAUGUUGUGGCCUUAACCAUUUUCUGUUUAUUCACUAUGUUAGGUUGUGGUUGUCUCGAUGCUGGAAUAUUUGCUUUAUAUAUAAAGCAGGACGAAAGCCUGUUUCGAAAACUAAUGCAACCACGUAAAAUGACUUUGCGGUGGAAACACUCUCGCUCAUUUCUUAUUCGAUGCCCUGCUGCAUCUGCGCCCUCUCGAACGAAGAAAUGGUGGAACAUAUGACUGCAACUUCUAAAACAGAUGCAAAAAAGACUGGUUGUUCGCAUUGCACGACUCGUUAUCUCAUACCGAAUUGACUCGUAUGGUGGUCACGCUCUGGGCCAUUUGGUCAGUGAGAAGGAAGGCAAUCAUGGAGGUUUUUCAGAGCCCCUUUCGCUGGCGACGCUGAAGUAUCUGCUGCUGCAAGAAUGGUAUUGGUAACUAUAGCAUGUCGCGAAAAACCUUCCACUUGCGGUUGAAACUGAAUGCAUGUCGCACGUACCACGACGGGAGAGGAUGCCAUGUGUCUGUACUGUACUGUACUGUACUGUAGGUGAACAUGCAGCUGCACAACGACAACCGUGUGGUUUAGCUUGACGUGCCACCAUCGCACCACGCCGACCCACCUAACGACCGCACUCGAUCGGUCGAACGAACCACAGCCACAACGCGCGCGCACUCGCAGCCGCGUAACCGACCUAUCUAUCUAUAGCCUCGCCCGUUCGCUUGCAUUUCAAGGUAUGGCACGGGCCAAACAUGCACGCAAGCUGGAGCGCACCUUGCAUGACUGCCGUAGAUUGUGUGUGUGUGUGUGUGUGAGUGAGUGAGUUCGGCACCGUUUCUUUGGGGUUCAGCAUUGCAUGGGCCUACACAGUCCACCCCUUCUUUCCAUUUCUCCCUUUCUUUAAAAUUUCAAGCGUGCUUAAAGCAGGAAAGGUGAUUCGUCGUGACGCCGCGUGUGAGGAGACGGCGACGGGAAUAAGGUUCUGUUUGUCUAGCACCCGUUCUGACGGUGCGUUGUCUAUCAUCGUCGAAGAAAAUAUGGAGUUGUAUCUACCGUGUGUCGUAGGAUUCCGUCCGAGUGAGCCAAACGUGUGUCACCGUCAUCACCCGCCCGCGUCCUUUGCGCCCUUCAAUAUUUCGAUGCGGUGAUUUUUACAACGAAUUAUAAAAUGAUGAUUUUUGCUAAUGACAUUAUUAUUAUUGUGGUUUCGUGCAUUUUACUUUCAAAUCAUAGAGCUUAGCUCAUGAUAAAUUGAAUGUUGUCACCGUCUGUCUCUUAUUGGAGCCGAAGCAUGAUGAAUUUUUGAUUGUCUACUAAAAUAAGUUUUGCUGGCUCUCAUGAAAGAGGGGUCACGACAGCGACGUGUCUUCGACUCGAUCGAGUGUUUGUAGUUGUUGCUUGGUGGUCUACAGAUCUUGUUGGCGAUACCUAAACCACCACCAACAGCCCGAACAGAACGCCCGAACCCCUCGGUCUCUCCUGCCCAGGGGUGACGUGGGGGCAAUUCCUCUCUUGCCAGCCGCUGCCAUCCUUCCUCCCCCCACCCGCCGCUGCCAGAGAACACCGUCGGGCAAAGACCGUGUGGCUGAUGGCAGUGGUAGGGCCCAUCUCUCGCGGCCUUCCCUUGCUCUAGGGGCGACAAGACCUGGUGGCUCUCACGACGCCCCUGUUAGAUGUGCAUCUGGGCAUACGACGGUGGGACACAACGAGCGGUGGUCGGCUGUGGAGGUAAAGUAUCGUCUUGUGACAGCGCUCUCAGCCCAGAUCGGGGAGAUUGUGUGCUUGCGAUCAUGACCAAGAUGGGGUCGCUGGCCUCGGCCAGAUCUGGCAGUGGGUGGUCGUUGGACGUGUCUGUGAUGUCCGGUGGCUGGCUUUGACCAUGGUCACCGGGUUGCGGACAGUGCGGUGGCGGGUGCGACACAUUGACAACUAGGCGGAUCUUGACACGUUCUUCUAAUCAUGUGAGGAUUCAACCCUUUCUGGUCCUUGACAACGCGGAAACUCGAGGGAAAACCCUAGUUCUCCUUGGGAUCGAGAGAUGGCGGUGCUUUUUGCGUCAUAGUCCCUCUUGAGGGCAUCGUUUCUAGAGUUUGCUCCAGUUGAAGGGACCAACAGCGUCGGCGGUGCACGGCCUGGUGGCACGACUGUCGAUGAAAAUCGUGCCGACGAAAGUAAUGGAGGACAAUGGCGACAUCUCCGAUGUCGCUUCCUUGUCGAGGCAUUAUCGUUGCAAUUUGCGUCAUCAUGCCUGGAAUGCUCCGGAGGAAACCCUAGAUCUAGGCUUCCCGAAUUGGACAGUGACAACACUCUCAAUGUCACUCUCCCUCCUGGGGCAUCGUUUUAGAGCAAGUGAUGGCUGGAUGGAACAAGAGGAGAUGCAGUGUUACAUCUAUCGCAAGGCCGAAGGUGGUUCCCGGCAGCAUGGCGCUGCGGAGUUUCGACGACGGGCGCAUGUGGAUGGAUACGUGAAGGAUGAUAACGUUGUCUGACGCCGUGGUGGCGUCGAUGACAGGCAAGGCAAGUUGGUGCGUCAGUACCUACUUUGGAGAUGGAUUAGUGAAAGACGUGGCGACGGCCUAUGAAAGUAUGCCAAAUCGGCGUGUGAUCCAGUCUCGGCAUUGUGGCUUGGCUGGGGCAUCCGACUUUAGAUGUUAGGCUUUGGUGCGAUGUCUGUUUGAUAUUUGGUUUGGACAUUCGGCCAUCCUUGAUUAAAGGAUAGGGGUAGCGACAUGUGUUGUCAAGAUGGUGGCUUCAGGUUUACUAAUGUAUUAUUUUCUAUAGUCUUUAUAAAUAAUUAAUAAAAUAACUGCAUGUGCAGGUAGAGGUCGGGCCUUUUGAAAAAAAGAACUGGAUAUAAUUUUCUGUUUAUUUCUGACAUUCCUUGUACUGAUAUAGAUUUGAAGUUUUCUGAAUAAAAAAUCAGUAACAUCGCACACUGACCUGUUUUUUUUUUUAAUAGAAGGCAGCAUGGAACCACUACUGCGCCCUCACCCGGUCCUCGUUUCACACGUACGUAUCCAGCGGGUCCAGUUACCAAACUCUACGUGCGGAGGAGCCUUUAGUUUUGGACCAUGCAAACACAUCGAUCUCGAGCUAUAAAUACCACAGCUCAUGAAUUUCACACCACCACGGACACAACACAAACCAACCAAGUAUACCUGAACUGAGCUAGGCAAGCAUCUCGAAGAUGGCUACCACCAAGCAUUUGGCCAUUGCCGUUCUUGUCCUCCUUAGCAUAGGCACGAGCACAAGCGCUCGAAUCCUCCUGGGUUACGGUCCUGGCGGAGGAGGCGGUGGCGGUGGCAGCGGCGGGGGUGGUGGUAGUGGCUAUGGUGGAUCAGGGUCUGGUUCUGGGUAUGGCGAAGGUGGUGGAAGUGGAGGAGGUAUUAGUGGUGGUGGAUACGGCCAUGGAGGUGGCGGUGGAGGCGGGGGUGGUGAGGGCGGAGGCGCCGGUUCUGGGUACGGAUCUGGGGAGGGAUCCGGCUACGGGGGCGGCGCCGGUGGGUACGGUGGCGGCAGUGGCGGAGGAGGUGGUGGCGGCCAAGGUGGCGGUGGUGCAGGCUAUGGGCAUGGGUCCGGUGAGGGUUCUGGCUAUGGCGGUGGUGCUAGUGGAGGCGGUGGCGGUCACGGAGGUGGUGGCGGUGGCGGCCAAGGUGGUGGGUCUGGCGGGGGCUCAGGCUACGGCUCCGGGUCUGGCAGUGGGUAUGGCCAGGGUGGCGCAUAUGGUGGAGGGUAUGGAAGCGGCGGCGGCGGUGGCGGAGGAGGUGGCCAAGGUGGAGGCUCUGGCUAUGGUUCCGGGUCUGGCUCUGGAUACGGUUACGGUUCCGGCGGUGGUUUCGGAAAUGGACACCACUGAUGCCACUUCCAUGGAAAGCUCAAGUGUUCGAGAGAAUAUAGUAAAAUCUCUUCCGUGAGUGACAGUGAUGGGUUUGUUCGUCACUGAUAUAUAUAUAUAUAUACUUACUGAAGGUGCAAGUUUCAGUAUAUGUAAUUAAUAUUGUACUGUGGUGGCAGUUGCUGCUUCACCUAUUUGACCAAGUCCAGUAAAUAAGCGAUCUUUACAAAGAGAUCAUACUCUUGUAUCCAUUAAUUUCUACAACCCCAAUGAUUAUAUACAGUUCAUGAUGGAUGUCAGACAAACCAUUGGCUGAACUCUGAUUCCGAUUAUCGAUGUUCUGCAACAUUUUGCAGUUGCCACACAAUUUAUGAACAUAUGGUUUCAAUCCAUAAACCAGCGUGCGCGUGGAUAUUGAACCCUCAUCCUUUUUUGCCUGGCUUGAUUCGGCACUUGUCAACUCACUUUUGUGCAAUUUAGAAGCUGGUUUAUUCUGUUGGUGCCACCCAGAACUCUGCAGCUUACAACUUUCCUGUGCAAGUGCAAACUGCAUGCUCUGCUAGUCGUGAGGUAAACUACUUGAGAAACUGGAAGUGCCAAAACUCGUAUUUCAAAUGACAAUUGCACGAUUAUAUCCAGAAUUCCCAUGUUGGAUUAUCUGAUCACAGUUCCAUUUUUUUCGAUAUCAUCGGGACAAGAAAUCUGCAAUGUUGUGCUGCUACCAUUCUUCGCCACGUCUUGGCUUCCUUCUUACUGAUAUGUCAGGGCCCUUUAUUUGCGUGGCACACGCCCUAAGGUGUCAACCUUGCAAGCUGAAACAGGUAACAACAAUCAGCAGUCGGUUUAGAAGAUUGUUCGUAAUUUACUAGGGAAACGUUUCCAUACGGCCAGUUGGCGGAACCGACGCGCCGGUCGCUCGCUCGUCCGCUCAGGUUAUGCAACAUUUUUCACACGUGCGCUUCGCUGGUCAGUGGAUGCAACUUUUAUACCGUGUAAAUUUGUGGCAACCACUGUUUAAUUUUGCUACUAUUGUUUUUCAUUUGUUACAUCUGUUCAUUAAAAAAGUUGCAUCCACGGUUGGUUGCAACUCGAGUUCGUUGGAUUUUUGCUACAACCGGCGUUUUGACCUUUGCUACAACCGUGUUAAUUUUUGCUACAACCGGCAUCAUGUUUUGCUGCAACCGUUCAUUAAAAAAGUUGCAUACACGUUCACGUAGAUUUUUGCUACAACUGACGUUUCACUUUUGCUACCAUGCACCAUCAGCUUCGUUUUCUUUGCUACGACCACAUAGAUAUUUUUUUGCUAUAAUUUUUUUAUUGCAACCGUUGACGAAAAUUGCUGCAUUGCGUCGAAAUUUGUUGCAUCGAGAAAAAAAAUAUUACAUGAAGAUCUAACGGUGCGGACGAGCGGCGGUUGAUGGAUCGUGCGGCUCGUACGUGGCCGGCCGAAAGUUUCGACCGACGCGCCGGCGCAGAGCACUGACCAAUUUACUAGCGAUUGGUUUACUGAUCAAAGUCUAGUACUUCACGCAUCUUAUUUGGCGAACACCUAUCUGCAUGACUAUUUGGUGAAGCAAUAGCGGAAAUGAGGGACUAAUGAUAUGCAAGUAUGAAUGUGUGUAUGUGGAAUAUAGCUGCGUGGAUAAACCAGUUAUUUGAUGGAAAAGUCUAUCCUUCAACCGGCGGAUCUGCGCGAUUCAUCCACCACCUGCUGUCUGUUCGAUUCCGCCAUCGCAAUCGUUUCUUGACUUUUCUGAAACUGGAUCGUUGUUUCCGCAACUGGAGCGUUGUUUCCGAAAACUGCCCAGUCCAUGUCUCCGCCUCCGCCUCAGCCCGACAACCCUCGCCGCCGCCGGCCUGCUACGGCUCGUCGCCCUCCGCCGUCGGCCUGCCCGCGGCCUCGCGUGCCCUCCGUCGCCGCCCCUGCUCGUCGCCCGCCCGCGGCCCCGCCGGCCUGCCACAAGGCCCGCCACCCCUGAUCGGCGGCGCCGCCGGCCUGCGUUUCACCCCGCCGCACUCCGCCGCCGGCCUGCGCGCGGCACCGCCAGCUUGCCCGCGGCCUCGCGUGCCCUUCGUCGCCGCCCCUGCUUCUGCAACGUUACUUUCGUUGCAAAAUUUUCUGAAACUCGACCGUUGUUGCAAAAAAUUCUUCCGUAAAAAUACUUAUGUUACAGAAAGACGAAGAAAAAAAAUUCUGCAACAAGCAAAUUGUUUCUGAAACUCGACCGUUGUUUCAGGAAUUAACGGAUCCAAAGUUUAUUUCUUCCAACAAAGGGAAAGUUUCUGCAACUCGAGCGUCGUUUCAGGAAUUAAGUACAGGAGCGGAUCGGACGGAACGAAUCGGACGCUACGCGCGAGAUCUAACUGUUGUCGAGGCGGUGGACGUUUAAUAAAUAUCCACCGGUAGAUGCGUAGCAGCCCCCUUAUUUAAUUACUACUUUUUUUUAAAGAUAAAGGGCAAAUGGGAAGAAAAGCAUAAAGCAGACCCAGCACAGGUAACAUCAAACAUGCUCUCUAGAAUGUUCAAAAAGGAGAUGAUAAGUUGAUAACCACUAGCACUACAACAAUUUUUGGUCCUCGUUUCACACGGAAUGCGUCCAAGCUCUAGCCAAUACUAGAUGACACUAGUACAAGGUGGCACGUAGGCUCUUGGUUAAACUGCAAAAAUGAUAUGUGUCAUGUCCUUAUAUGAUGAGUGUAUAAGAAAACAGCAACAAAAGAUCUUAAAUGGGUUCUAAGGAAAUCACCGACGUGACACUCAAACCAGACACUACAUCCGUCCAUGCACACUGAUUCAAGAGCCAACCAUCCAAACGUAGUUGUAUACAUUUGAAACUGGAUUUCAACAAAUCAGACGGAAUUCGUGCAAACACGACGGAAUUCAGCAAAGUUCGGACAUAAUUUAUCGAAAAUGGCCAGCAAAACUCAAAGUAAUUGUAGAAAUAGCACAAUUAAUCCGUGCAAAUAUAUCUAGUACAAGAAUGAUUCAAAUUCAAUUAAAUAACCGAAUGUUCAACAAGUCUUCAAAAUCAUUUAUUCCAAAUUCAACGAUACCAGAGCCAAAACCUAGACAUGUCGUACAACACAAACUGUCUCGUGAGUUUUAUCCAGCAAUGUAUAUGCAUGAAUGGUCUCCCCUCGGUCAUGUAGUACGUCAUGGCAGAGUGUAUAGGCUAUGCAACGUGUACAUCAACAUUGAGUGACUGAAUGAAUUAACCAACAUAUAGAGUAACAGAAAGCAACACUUACGGUCUCGAUGGCUUUCGCAUUCAAUGGCUACCUUGUGAUAGCGGCAAAGGUCUCCCGUCUCUCGAUAAAAUGGUGGCUAUCGUUUUGGUGAAAGUCGACUUUCACGGUCCAACUACGAACGUGCAAAGAUGUCGCGCCUUAGAAACGCUAAACCUACUCCGAGAGGUUAUUGACCAUGCCGGAGCACGAUCAACCUGAUCACCAGCGUCUAUUUCCUGCACACAAAUGAAGAGCAAGCAAGAAAUUGAGAUGCAAUCUAGAUACUGUGAACAUAAGAAGAAAAGCUUUAUUGGCCGAAGUGGGGUUCAAUGAAGUCUUGGUCCGGUCGUAGAAUACAAACGAAGGACGUGAAGUUGCAGUUAUGACAAACUUUUAAUAUAGACAAAAACCCAAUCAAAAAGUUACUAGGUUGAUUUACUUAUAUAGAAGCAAAGGAUGGUGGCCAAGGAGGUGGGAGGAUGUCUCAAGGCAGCCUAAAACUAACCCUAGGUCGUACAAAGCCUAUGGGCUCAAGUGGAGGUGAUGCAACACCUUUGGACUUAUAGUUUGACUCGGAUUCUGCUCCAACGUCUGUCGUGGUUUUAUCACGGCAGAUGUCCUCAAGAGAGGACUUAGUGAUGAGGCCACUGCAACUCUAUGGCGAAUCAAAUGGGUUAAUCAGGAACAGGAAACAAGUUUACCCAGGUUCGGCCCCUCCGAUGGAGGUAAAAGCCUACGUCCUGGUUUGUGUGUAUUGAUGAUCAAAUCGAUUACAAGGGUGCGAAUUCGCCUGACCUAGCUCUCGAUCGAUUGUUACUUGACCCCAUUGGCCCUAGAGACUCGCCUCCAUAUACAGGUCGAGGCCCUAGGUUUACCAGAAUCGGUGUCACGUUAUGAUUCGUGACCCGGUAUGUCUCUAACUCGCCUUGCCUUUCAAGCAAAGCCGAUCUCCUACCUAUCUUAUACCUUGUGGGUCUUCACUUGCCAUCUUGGUAGCGAGAGCUGCCAGGCGACUUGUCGGAACAGGCCGUCUUGCACAUUUGGUCUUGUUCGUCAAAGCCCAUCUUGAGUACAAUCUUAAGCCGCCAUAAUCAUGACCCGACCCAUAGGGCGGGUUAUACGACGGGUAAUAUCCCGAACAUUAGGCCCCGGAGACUUGAAUUUAUUCAUGUCAAUAUUCUUCACCUUUAAUCGUGGAGACUUGUCUGCAUUUUAUGCCUUGUCUCCCGAGGUAGAAAUUCCGGCUUUAAAAACCUUAAUAAGCUAUUGCCCUUCUCACCAAUGACGUCGCCCGCCCCACGAUUCUAGGGACUUGAUGAUGUCAUUGUAACAACUCUUUGCAGUUAUCCGUUUAUCCCGUAAAUCAAGGCGCCCCUCGCUUCCAAAUUUACUGCACCUCCUUGAUUCCCGCGCCUGCUGUUUGCACUUUGGCUCCUAGUUUUAAAUACCGAAGAGAGUCCUUUCAAUUUUUACCUUGCUCCUCCACUUCUUCUUCUUGCUCCAGCUUUGGGUUUUCACCGCGCCAACGACGUUGCAGUCCCAUCAUUGGACGAUCAAAUCUAGGACCAUUGCACCACACGACUUCACCUCCGUUCUGCGAAUCUCCUCCACCAUCGUCAGCAUCUUCAGGUAAGUUCUCUUCUGCCCAUUAGAUCUAUCCGUAAGCCAUCACCAUUAAUGGAGUUCCUCGAAGUUCAUCCAUCGCUCAUCUCCAUUGCCGUCAUGUUUAAUCCUUUACUGAACCUCCUCCACAAAUAGAUUGCGGUAGAUGUAGUGAUUCAAUUUCAUGCAUAAUAUCCCCUAGAUGCCUUGCGAAAUUUGUAAGUAGAACUGUCGCUGCUUCCAUACCUUGUUGCCCUCUACGGUUACUGAAUUUUUCCCUUUCUGAAUCAUUUGUAGAUCCAUAUUUUUAGGAAAUUAGAUAGAAACAUGUUUGUCACACAUUUAGUAGGAAAUCUGAAAUCUUUACCCAUGUGUAAGCCGCCUUUACUUUAUGUCGGCUUCUUAGGUAGGAUUGUAACCCGCCCACUUCUAUAGGUCACCUAUCCUUUAAAUGGCGACUUACAUUUAGGCAAUUUUCACUUUGUAGAUUGCUCUGGCACUGUAAAUUAGAAUCGCCCAAAGUAGUUUCUUCUUGAAUCCCUUGUUCGUCAGAUAACCCGUUUGUCGUCGUAAUAACCCACCAAAUACAACUUUUGCAGCACCUUUCCUCCUGACCCGCCACCAUGUCAAAGCAUGUUUCAUGCAACUAGCAACCUUCCGAAAUAUCUGAUGCCACACUUAAGCAAUAUGUGACUUUAGGGGUUUUGUUACCAAAAGAAAAGAUUAGUUGGCGAGCCGCCUUUGGGGAGGAACGUCCACAACCAGGCGAAGGAGAAGUAGUAGUGUUCACAGAUCACCUUGAGCGAGGCUUUACUCCUCCUAGAUGAAAAUUCUUUUGAGAUGCUCUACACUUCUACAACCUCCACCCUCAAGAUCUGGGCCCUAACUCUAUCAGCAACCUGUGCCAAUUCCAAGUCCUAUGUGAAGUGUACUUAGGAAUAGAACCCACAAUUAGUUUGUUCACGGAAUUAUUUUACCUAAACUGCCAAACAGAGUUUGCUGCUGGGCCUAGUUUGGAACUUGGUGGAGUGACAAUUCAGAGGCGAAGAGAUCAUGGUUUUCCUACUACCGCCUUGCCUAGUCACCCUAAAGGUUGGGGAAAGACUUGGUUUUACUGCAAGAACACUGCACCUACUGAUGAGAACCCCCUACCGGGUUUUAGAGCGGAACGCCCUCCAAUGGAUUUUGUACUCCCCGGCUCGCUAACUUAGGAAGAACGUGCCACCAUCGCCCCCAUAUUUCCCGAACUAAGAGCCCUGAAAGCCAAUGGUUUAACGGGGAUUGAUCCGACCCAGUGUUGGUAGAUUGGCGGAUCAUGCCCCUGAGUCAUCGUGGCGCCUUGAUUUGUGAAUAUGAUGGCAACUUGAGGAAUGCGCAACGCUUCAACAACAUCAUGCUUGAUCCGGAUGAAGUCAAAAAAAUUGUAAAGAAGCUAUCGGAUGAACCCAAAGAAGUUUGCCAUAAAAUUGGACUGAAACUGUUCUAUACUUAGAACCCGGCUCCUGAAGUAAAUAACUUUUAACAUAUUUCUACUUUUCUCAUGCAUUCGUUUAGUGCUUCACAACUCGUCUUUCUUUGUCAAUACUAUUGCAGAGAAAUCGUCUUUCUCGAAAUGGAGGCCGCAAAAGGUGAUUGUCAAGAAAACCAAAACCGCCUCGAAAAAGAAGAAGAACAAGGCGGCCGUUGAAGAGUCAUCGGCCAUGGCGAGUCACAAACCGUUGAUGACCAGUCUGAGGUAAACCUUUAUCUUUACCAUGUUUCUAACUUAUACUUACUAAUCGCUUCUUUAGUCUCAUGAUGAUGAUGCUGAUAGCCAAGACGAAGAUGUUGAGGUAAUUUCAAUCUCCUCGGAUUUCGAUCUCUCCUUUCCAAGGCCACCAAGGUGGGUUGUUAGGAAAAUUCCUUUGUCUCACCUGAAAGCUCAUUUGGCUCCCAAUUUCCUUUUGAAGAAGAAUUUAUUUGCCCCAAGGCGCCAGACCCGAAGCUCUUCAAGUGAGCUUGCAGCGGGUUUACCUGAGAAACCCUCCACUUGUAAACGGCGAACAGAGGUACCUGAUAACCUAUUCCUUUCUUUUAAGAUAACCUCAUUCAACAGCCUCUCGAAUCUUUUGUCUGAAUUUACCAAGAGUCGCCACCUUCAUCGGAUGGCUCAACUAUGUCCAAACUGCCACCGAUUGUCUGCCUUUGAGGGUAACUUUGCUUUUUGUGUCUAACACUUGCCUUAGUGCUCUUAAUCCAUCGUAUAUGUUUGAACGUUUACUCUUCCCGGCCAAAGUUAAAGGCAGGAAGAGGAAAACUAGCGUGUCAGCAAAUAAUCCUGAAAUAUCUGAGCAAGAAGACUUGGAUUUUACUAUUCGUGAAACUCAUGUUGAGCCGGUUGACACACAUGUUAACCCUCCUGAAACUCAUCAACACGCCAUUGGUGAUCUUGGUGAUGUUCAUGCUGAGCCGGCGAGUGCUGAUGACACAACCAUGGAGACAAGUCCGAAGGUCAACCCUGACCCGCCCAGUACUCUGAAAACAACCAACGACACUACAUCUGAUGAGGAAAGGGUUGUUAUACUGGGACGGGUUACACAAAACCGGUCUUCACUAUGCUGGCUAAGCAUACUGCCAAAGGUGCAACACUUGACUUAGAGAAGGGGAAAUCUAAGCUCGAGCUUGCCAAUAUUGAAAAACUUAGCUUUGAAGAAUUGCAUUCUGGGUAUCUAAGCCGCCUUAACACGAGCCGGGAUAUAUAGGCCAGCCUGGUUGGCAUGAUGAAGAAAAGAUACGAUGUAUGUUGAACUCAAUGAUGUACCCCAUAUAUCCUUACGUAGCACCGAAAGGCCGGGUCAUCUUCUUGAAGAUGAGUCGGGUCUUGAUGAAUUUGUGAAGAGGCAACCUGUAGCCCCCAAGGGUCGUGUCAUCUUCUUGAAGAUGAGUCAGGUCUUGAUAAAUUUGUGAAGAAGCAACCUGUAGCCCCCAAGGGCCGAGUCAUCUUCUUGAAGAUGAGUCGGGUCUUCAUCACUCUUAUUUGUACAAUGUCGACCUAUAACCCCCAAGGUCCGAGUCAUCUUUUUUAACAUGAGUCGGGUCAUCACAUAGUAUAUAUGGUUUAAAAAAUUGACAUGCAUUAGCCCCCAAGUGUCAAGUAUAUUGCGUGCAAUCUGCUUGAGACUUGAUAACGAUCGCGUUGGUUAGCCUUAAAAUAUCCUUGGCAACUCAGACUUUGACUAAUAUCCACCCUCUUAUUGUAUUGUAUAGGAAACUUUCAACCAGGCCGAUGCAAAUUUAAGGGAGAUGAAGAAAAGUUUAGCACAACAACAAGACGCUAGAGCUCAAUCUGAGGUGAAAAUUCAAAUUUCCUUAGAGGAAAUUGAGAAGAUGAAAAGUGAGUUCACAACAUAUAAGGAAGCUGCCAAAACUGAAAAGUCCCUUGGUUAAGCGGAUAGAAGACACUGAGGGUCAACUGAAGCUGGUUAUUGAAGAGUUAACUAGCCUAAAACGUCAUAUUUCCACGAUGACCAUGGUUGUUUUUGGUAAGCCUUUGUUUGCAAGACUUUCAUUCUUAACCUUUGUAGAAGACAUGUCCCGUCGGGCGACUCAUAUUUUUAAAUUACUUGAAUACUCUCGAUCCACCAACCUUCAAGAUAAGUGUGUACUGAAGCUAAAGGCUCUGUAUACCUUAACAUAGCAACUUUAUGUUGGCGGCUUGUUCACCAUCAAAGCUGUGAUGAGAGACAAAGAACGGGUGAAGUUCAUUAGUGACAUGCUGAGGUGCCUCUCAACCAUGCCUAAGCAAAUUGAAGAGUUGAAGAAAUUAGCUGCUCGUAAAGGGGUGAUCACUGGACUGGACCGGGCUCUGGCUUAUGCACCAAAACUCAAACCGAAGGAGAUAGCUGGCGGGUUUCCUGAAUAUAAGGACGAUGGACCAGAGUUCACCCAGGAAGAGUACGCCCGUUGUAUGAGGGCGGCUCGUCUACCGGCUAGUGAACUCGUUGAAGGUACUGAUCUGAGGAAAUAUCAGGCGUCUUAUGAUGAGAACAAGAAGUGUGUGUCGCUACCCACAUUUGAACCAGUGGAUCUUACCCCUCAACAACGUAAGCAUCUUUUUACCCCUGAUGUUGACUUGUCGCACAUCUUUAAUGAAGAGGAUGAAUUCCACGCUUUAAUCCAUUGCAACUAGGAUAUGGGCAACCUCUGAUACGUCUCCGUUGUAUCUACUUUUCCGAACUCUUUUGCCCUUGUUUUGGACUCUAACUUGCAUGAUUUGAAUGGAACUAACACGGACUAACGAUGUUUUCAGCAGAAUUGCCAUGGUGUUGUUUUUGUGUAGAAAUAAAAGUUCUCGGAAUGUCCUGAAAAUUUACGAAUAUUUUUUCUGGAAUAAAUGAAAAAUACCUGCGCAAAGAUCCACCGGAGGAGGUGUGCCAGUGGGCCACAAGCCCACAGGCCGCGGCUACCCCCCUGGCAGCGCCGUGAGGGCUUGUGGGGCCCACGUGGCACCACCGCCUCCAAACUCAUCUCUAUAUCUUCCGUCUCGCCCGAAAAAAAAUCAGAGAGAAGGUUUCAUUGCGUUUUACGAUACAGAGGCGCCGCUAGCCCCCGUUCUUCAUCUGGAGGGCAGAUCUGGAGUCCAUUUUGGGCUCCGGAGAGGGGAAAUCGUCGCCAUCGUCAUCAUCAACCUUCCUCCAUCGAAAAUUCCAUGAUGCUCUUUAUCGUUCGUGAUUAAUCUCAUCAUAUGCUUGUUGGACGGUCAUGAGUUGGAUGAGAUCUAUCAUGUAAUCGAGUUAGUUUUUGACGGGGAUUGAUCCCUAGUAUCCACUAUGUUCAAGAUUGAUGUUGCUACUACUUUGCCAAGAUUAAUGCUUAUCACUAGGGCCCGAGUGCCAUGAUUUCAGAUAUGAACCUAUUAUGUUUUCGCCAAUAUAUGUGUGUUUUAGAUCCUAUCUUGCAAGUUGUAGUCACCUACUAUGUGUUAUGACCCGGCAACCCCGGAGUGACAACAGCCGGAACCACUCCCGGAGAUGACCAUAGUAUGAGGAGUUCAUGUAUUCACCAAGUGUUAAUGCGUUGGUCCUGUUCUUUAUUAAAAGGAGAACCUUAAUAUCCCGUAGUUUCCAUUAGGACCCCGCUGCCACGGGAGGGAUGGACAAUAGACGUCAUGCAAGUUCUUUUCCCUAAGCACGUAUGACUACAUACGGAAUACAUGCCUACAUUAGAUUGACGAACGGGAGCUAGUUACUUAUCUCUCCGUGUUAUAGCUGUUACAUGAUGAAUCANNNNNNNNNNNNNNNNNNNNNNNNNNNNNNNNNNNNNNNNNNNNNNNNNNNNNNNNNNNNNNNNNNNNNNNNNNNNNNNNNNNNNNNNNNNNNNNNNNNNNNNNNNNNNNNNNNNNNNNNNNNNNNNNNNNNNNNNNNNNNNNNNNNNNNNNNNNNNNNNNNNNNNNNNNNNNNNNNNNNNNNNNNNNNNNNNNNNNNNNNNNNNNNNNNNNNNNNNNNNNNNNNNNNNNNNNNNNNNNNNNNNNNNNNNNNNNNNNNNNNNCCGAUCCACUGCCUACGAGUCUUUUACUACUGGUCCUUGCUAUGUUACUUUGUCUAGGCUUGUCCCUUGCUACAAAAGGGAUUGGGCCACUUUGCUACUGCUGUUACUUUGCUGCUACUGCUACUGCUGUUCCUUGCUACUUUGCUGUUACUUGUUGCAAGAUCCUUUUCCGACACUAUUGUCGGAGAAGAACAGUUACCCGCUCACAUGCAACCUACUGGCGCCAUUGAUACAAUAGUUAGGAAUAGUAUGCCGUCAACAGAUCGUUUCUGGCACCGUUGCUAUCAUACUACUUUGCUACUGAUACUUUGCUUGCAGACACUAAUCUUUCAGGUGUGGUUGAAUCUGACAAACUCAGCUGCUAAUACUUGAGAAUAUUCUUAUGCUUCCCCUUUGGCGAACCAACAAAUUUGGGUUGAAUACUCUACCCUCGAAAACUGUUGCGAUUCCCUAUACUUGUGGGUUAUCAAGACCUUUUUCUGGCGCCGUUGCCGGGGAAGCACACUAUAUUCUCUGAGUCACUUGGGAUUGACGUCUGCUGGUCACUAUGAGGAAUCCGAAAGAUCCAAGAACUAAAAUCUUGCCUUCCACUACGAGGAGAGGUAAGGAAUUGCCAUCUAGCUGUGCACUUGAUUCACCUUCAGUUUUGAGUAAGUUUGCGACAUCGCCUCCUGCUAGAAAUCUUGAUAUGUCGCCUGUGCUUGAUGAUGCUACUUCUGCUGCCCAUGAUGCUAUGCUUGAUACUAUGCUUGAUGAUGCUAUGCUUGAUACUAUGCCUGAUGAUGCUAUGCUUGAUACUAUGCCUGCUAUGCCUUAUACUGCUUUGCCACUAGGUGCCCUUGAUGCACAAAUUGCUAGAGUUGCUGCUAGAUGUGAUGGUACUUCUGAAACUGCCGAUACUAUUGAAGUAGAACCUACUACUAUGCCUGAUUUGCCUGUUAUGCCUGAUACGCGCUAUGUUAUGGAGGGAGAGAUAGCUGAGGACUUUCUUGCGUGUAAGGAUUGCUAUGAUGUUGAGAAAUUACUGCGCAAGUGGAAAGAAAAAUCUCUGAACGCUAGGAUGAAAUACGACCCGAAGUUUGCCACUUCGCCUAUCUUUGUGACCGAUAAGAAUUAUGAAUUCUCUGUCGACCCUGAGUUAAUCACUCUGGUCGAAUCUGAUCCUUUUCACGGUUACGAGUCUGAAACGGUUGUAGCCCAUCUUACCAAACUGCACGAUAUAGCCACCCUAUUCAUUAGUGAGGAAAAGAUCCGCCACUACUAUAUCCUCAAGCUGUUUCCUUUCUCGCUAAAGGAUAAUGCUAAGACCUGGUUCACUUCUCUUGCUCCUGGUUGUGUGUGUAGACCCAUGAUAUGGUCUACUACUUCUUUGAAAAAUAUUUCCCUGCCCAUAAGAAGCAAGCUGCCUUGCAGGAAAUAUACAACUUUGCUCAAGCUGAAGAAGAGAGUCUCCCACAAGCUUGGGGGAGGCUCAUCCAGCUACUGAAUGCUUUGCCUGAUCACCCUCUUGAGAAGAAUGAAAUACUUGAUAUAUUCUAUAAUGGACUUACCGAUCCUUCCAAAGACCACCUAGAUAGUUGUGCCGGUAGUGUUUUUAGGGAACGAACCAUAGAACAAGCUGAAAUUCUGUUGAAUAACAUCUUGUGCAAUGAGAUUGCUUUGACUAUUCCCGAACCACCUCCUAAGCCAACUCCGAAGAAAAGAGGUAUUCUAUUCCCCAGUACAGAAGAUAUGCAAGAAGCCAAGGAAUCUAUGCGAGGGAAAGGCAUUAAAUCUGAAGUUGUCAAAAAUCUACCACCUAUCGAAGAGAUCCAUGGUCUCGAUAACCCGAUACAGGUAGUAGAAGUAAAUUCUCUGCGUAGGUUUGAUGAGAGUGAUAUUCCUUUUGAUAAACCUGCUAGCUUAUGCAUGGAUGAAUUUGAUAACUUCGUUGCCAAACAACAGAGUUUCAAUGAUUAUGUUAGUAGACAAUUGGAAAAGAAUGCUCGUAUGCUUAGUCAUUUAAGUGCUUGUGUGGAUAGAAAUGUCAAUGAUCUUAAGCUUCUGAGUAAACAUGCCUCUAUUGUUACUACUCAAGUAGAACAAGUACUUAAAGCUCAUAAUUACUUGCUCAAUGAGUUGAAUGACAAUUCUGUCAGAGUCGUCACUAGAGGCGGUAGAAUGACCCAGGAACCCUUGUAUCCCGAGGGUCAUCCGAAGAGAAUUGAACAAGAUUCUCAAGGAGUUAGCACUGAUGCACCUAGUCAUCCUAGAAAGAAGAAGAAAGAUGAUAGGAACCUGCACGCUAGCAACCCUGUUGCUGCUACCCCUGAGAGUCCAAACGAUGUCUCUGUCUCUGAUGCUGAAACACAAUCUGGUGAUUAACAUGAGCCUAAUGAUAAUAUCAAUAGUGAUGUUCAUGAAGAUGCUCAACCUAGCAACGAUAAGGAUGUGGAGAUUGAACCUGAUCUAGAUAACCCACAACCUAAGACUAAGAGAUACGAUAAGAAUGACUUCGCUGCUAGGAAGCAUGGUAAAGAAAGGGAAGCAUGGGUUCAUAAACCUAUGCCCUUUCCUCCCAAACCAUCCAAGAAAAAGGAUGAUGAGGAUUUUGAGCACUUCGUUGAAAUGAUCAGACCUGUCUUUCUGCAGAUGCGUUUGACAGAUAUGCUCAAGAUGUCUCCGUAUGCUAAGUACAUGAAAGAUAUUGUGACUAAUAAGAGGAGGAUACCUGAGGUUGAGAUUUCCACCAUGCUUGCUAAUUACACCUUCAAGGGUGGAACUCCUAAGAAACUAGGUGAUCCCGGUGUGCCCACUAUACCUUGCUCCAUUAAAGGCAACUACGUUAGAACUGCGUUAUGCGACCUUGGAGCCGGUGUUAGUGUUAUGCCUCUUCCUCUUUAUUGUAGACUUGAACUGGAUAAGUUGACACCCACUAAAAUCUCUCUGCAAAUGGCCAACAAAUCAACUGCUUUCCCUAUCGGCCUUUGCGAGGAUGUGCCUGUUGUGGUUGCUAACACCACUAUCUUAACAGACUUUGUUAUCUUGGAUAUUCCCGAGGACGAUGCCAUGGCUGUCAUCCUCGGAAGACCCUUUUUAAACACUAGAGGGGCUGUUAUAGAUUGGAACAAAGGCAAUGUCACUUUCCAUGUCAACGGUAAUGAGCAUACAGUGCACUUUCCGAUGAAACAAUAUCGAGUACAUUGCAUCAAUGCUAUCGAAAAAACUUCAUCAAUUCUUAUUGGGAGCUUUGAAUGCCCUAUUCCUCGUGUCAAGAUGAAGUAUGAUUUGCUUGUUGGGGAGAUACACAUCCCCAUUGAGGUGACCUAGUGACUAUUAAAGAAUUCUUCGUUCUCUUUUUGCGAUUCGAAAAAGUUUGUCAAAGAGACUUGAUCAACCUCACUGACGGAUUUCUUUCGAUGACCAUGAGAUGGAUGAAUCGAGGAGUCACAAAUCUCUGUUUUAAGCUUUCACCUUCGGUUUCUUAGAAGAAAAAUGAUAGAUUUAGUUUAGUUUUCCCUAUUUUCUGUUUUAGCGUCCGGUAGAAAAGUACCCCGAAAAUAAAAGUUCUCCGAACGUCCUGAAAAUCAAGUAUGAUUUUUUGUGGAAUUUUUGAAAAAUUCUGAGACAAAGAGUUUGUCUAGGGCCCACACCAGUGGGCCACAAGCCCUAGGGGCGCCGGCACCCCCCUGGCCGCGCCACCGAGGCUUGUGGGGCCCACAGGCACCCCUCCACUCAUUCUUGCUCUCAUCUGGUUCUCCUACCUCCAGAAAAAAAUCGUUUCGCAGCUAAAACCCGUGUUCUUGCUCCUCUUGUUGGGAUUUUCGAUCUCUUUGCUCAAAUCACCAUUCUCCGAACUAUUUUGGGGAAAUUACUCCUUGGUAAGUGACUCCUCCAUUGGUCCAAUUAGUUUUUGCUCUAGUGCCUUAUACUUCGCGUAUUUUUUCUGCCUUGGUGACCAUGUUCUUGAGUUUUGCAUGCUAAUUUUAGUUGGUCCCAAGUAGUUUUGAUGCAUAAUAUGGCCUCUAUGCACUUGUGGGAGUAGUUGCCACAAGUUUAGUUGAGCAUUGUUCACUCUUCCUUAGAAUCACUAAAAAUUUCAGAAAUUUUCAGAGACAGAGAAAGGGAAAAGAUGAGGAGGUUCUUAAGAGGCUCGUCAAGCCGUGACCCCAAGGAUGAUGGGAGUGAGAAGAAGCCCAAGUAUAUGGUCCCUCGAGUCGCGGAAGUUCGAGCGUGCGAGUGGCCAAGCGACGUGUUCUUACGUGCCGCUGUAAUUUAUGAGGACUUUUACCACUUGGUGGAGAACGCAGGCCUUACCGCCUUCGUUGAAGAUAAGUGUCCGCAAUACCUCCUCUUCACUAAUAUCUUCGUACAAAGCUUUAACUUCUAUCCAAGGAAGAAUCCUCCUAUGGUUGAGUUUAAACUUUAUGAUAUCCCCCAGCGCAUGUCACUCUAGGAUUUUUGCAAUGUUUGCAAACUACCUUACGUUGGGGAUAUGCAUGAACCUCGUCCACGUGACUUGGAAGCUUUCAUCGGUACUAUUUCUGUAGGAGAGGAGAGAGGACUGUCUUGCGCUAGAGCUGCUAGCAUUCAUUUUCCCAUGCUUCGGUACUUCUCAUUAUUUGUGGGAAAAUGUUUGAUUGGCCAUGGGAAGUCUGGGUCACUUAGUUCCCCAGAUCUUGCGGUCUUGCGUGAAGCCCUUUAUAAUGAUAAAACUUAUAGCUUGGGCGCUAUAGUAGCUCAACGGUUGAACCUGAACUGUUCUAAAGGUGUUGUCUUUGGAGGUAUCUAUGCUACCCGUCUUGCGAGACACUUUGAGAUACCCAUUAGACUAGAGGAGGAAGAAGAGGUUCUUCUUCCCGAGUGAUAUCUAGAUUACGAUAGCAUGGUUCGCCAUGACUUUCUUGAUAGAGAUAUAAAUAGAAGGAUGAUUUGUAACCUGGUAUUUAGUCAGGGUACUCGUGAGACUAUUACUUUGCGUGCUCCUUCUUUGUUCAAUCUUCAUGCAGACAGGUACAUCAUUAUGCCCUCGGACAUCUAAGCAUAUUGGGGCUUAGCCAACCACAUGUGUCCGUGCCCGAGCCACCGGUCGAGUACCAGACGCCAGUUUAUCAGUGGGAGCCAGAGGAGCUCACACAGCAGUGGCACCCUCAGUCCACUCCGGAGUACCCCGGAGCUGGUUAUUUCCCUCCUUGGGAGUAGACCAACUUAGGCCAAAAGCCUAAGCUUGGGGGAGUACGUUUUCUCACCGACUUUACAUUCUUGCUUAUGCUUUCACUUCGUUAGCCGGUGUUCACACUUCGCCACUGUAUCAUCCAUGCUAGUUUAUUUUCUUUUUCUCGUUUUCGUUUCGUGUGUGUGUCUAGUUUGAGAAAACCCAAAAAGAUGUUCUUUUCUUCUUUUGCUUGUUGGGAGCUUUCCCGUGUAGAUAGUUUUCUUUUUCUUUGGGUCAAGGUAGAAGAUAUUGGUUACAAUGUUUAGUGGCUCUUGCAUGCAUACCUGUUUAGCUUUCAUAGAGCCAUAUUACUUUGUCUUCUCCUUUGUGUUUGCCUGCAAAUUCCAACGUAGUCCAAUGCACAAGCACUCUUAUUAUUGUUCACAUCGUUCGGUCGUUCAAGUGAAAGGCAAUAAUGACGAUAUAUGAUGAAGUGACUGAGCCUGGAAAAGCUGGUAUGAACUCGAUCUAUUUUGGUUUUGUAAAUAUGACUAGCUCAUCAUGCCUGAUUCAGCUUUGUUGUGAGAGAAACAUGUUUGCAACGACAACUUAGAGAUCAUAGUUGCUUAUGCCAUGCUUACUUAGCUAGGAGCUUAUAAUGGUUUGUCUUGGUUGCCAACAUGAAUGUUGAGAUGACUAUGAUGUAGUAUGAUAGGAUGGUAUCCUCCUUUGAAUGUUUCAAGUGGCUUGACUUGGCGCAUGUUCACGCAUGUAGUUGAAACAAAAUCAACAUAGCCUCUAUGAUAUUCAUGUUCAUGGUGAUUUAUGUCCUACUCAUGCUUGCACUCAAUGUUAGUUAAUCUCAAUGCAUUUUGAUGACUGUUGUCGCUCUCUAGUUGGUCGCUUCCCAGUCUUUUGAUAGCCUUCACUUGUACUAAGCGGGAAUACUACUUAUGCAUCCACCUCCAUAAACCCAAAGUUGUUCCAUAUGAGUCCACCAUACCUACCUAUGUGCGGUAUCUACCUGCCGUUCCAAGUAAAUUUGCAUGUGCCAUUCUCUAAACCUUCAAGGAAUAAUCUGUUUUGCAUGCCCGAACCGCUCAUGUGGUGACAGGGGGCUAUUAGUAUCUUCCAUGCUAGGCGUGUUAUCCUCGAUAUGUGUUUAUUCACUAUCCAUGCCCAAAUCGAAAAGAUAAUUGCAAAGAAAACUCCCCCAGGAUUGAUGUUGGUAUGGACGGUACCCGAGGAUUCGGCUAGCCGUGGAGUGUGAUUGAUUGGUGGUCGGGGAGUCAAAACUUUACUUUUCUGUUUGGGAACCGCCUAUAGCAUGUGUAGCGUGGAACAUGUUGAGAACUCUUAGUCAUUGCAUUGACAAUGAAAGCAUGCCACCCAAAAUUAUUCUCUGUUUUCAAAGCUUGAGCUCUGGCACCUCUGCAAAUCAAUGCUUCCCUCUACGAAGGGCCUGUCUAUUUAUGGUCCUAUUGAGUCAUUCUCCUCUUACACAAGCACAAAUUAGAGAGCACCUCUGUCAUUUUUAAGCUUUGCUUUUAACUAUGUUGAGUAUGACUAUGACUGGAUCUUCAUUGCCUUGAAUUACAAUGUUUAGUCAGCCCUUGGUCUUUGAAGGUGCUCUGCAUUUAUAUUUUGCGGUCUCAAAAAGAGCUAGGGAGAUACCAUCUAUUCGUACUGCUUCAUGUUGUUUUGAUUGAAGUGUUGACAUUUGAGGCUUAUUAUUAUUUGCUCGCUAGUUGAUUAUGCCAUUGAUAUGAGUUUACCGUGAGACCAAGAUGUCAUUUGCUUAUGUGGUUAGCUUGUGAUCUUGCUGAAAUUCUGGUUGUGAGUUAUACAUUGUUGCAACAACAAGAUCAAAAAGAGUUCGUCAAAGUUUUUCUUUUGUCUCUUUCAGUUUGUCAACUGAAUUGCUUGAGGACAAGCAAGGCUUUAAGCUUGGGGGAGUUGAUACGUCUCUGUCGUAUCUACUUUUCCGAACUCUUUUGCCCUUGUUUUGGACUCUAAUAUGCAUGAUUUGAAUGGAACUAACCCGGACUAACGUUGUUUUCACUAGAAUUGCCAUGGUGUUGUUUUUGUGCAGAAAUAAAAGUUCUCCGAAUGACCUGAAAAUUUACGGAGAUUUUUUCUGGAAUUAAUGAAAAAUACUUGCGCAAAGAUCCACCGGAGGGGGUGAGCCAGUGGGCCUGGGCCACAAGCCCACUGGCCGCGGCCACCCCCCAGGCCGCACCAACCAGGCUUGUGGAGCCCACAGAGCUCCACCGCCUCCAAACUCAGCUCUAUAUAUUUCGUUUCGCCCGGAAAAAAUCAGAGAGAAGGAUUCAUCGUGUUUUACGAUACAGAGGCGCCGCCACCUCCUGUUCUUCAUCUGGAGGGCAGGUCUGGAGUCCGUUCUAGGCUCCGGAGAGGGGAAAUCGUCGCCAUCGUCAUCAUCAACCUUCCUCCAUCGCCAAUUCCAUGAUUCUCUUCACCGUUCGUCAGUAAUCUCAUCGUAGGCUUGCUAGACGGUGAUGAGUUCGAUGAGAUCUAUCAUGUAAUCGAGUUAGUUUUGACGGGGAUUGAUCCCUAGUAUCCACUAUGUUCUGAGAUUGAUGUUGCUACUACUUGGCUAUGCUUAAUGCUUGCCACUAGGGCCCGAGUGCCAUGAUAUUGAUGUUGCAAGUUGUAGUCACCUACUAUGUGUUAUGACCCGGCAACCCCGGAGUGACAAUAGCCGGAACCACUUCCGGAGAUGACCAUAGUAUGAGGAGUUCAUGUAUUCACCACGUGUUAAUGCAUUUGUCCGGUUCUUUAUUAAAAGGAGAACCUUAAUAUCCCGUAGUUUCCAUGAGGACCCCGCUGCCACGGCAGGGAUGGACAAUAGAUGUUAUGCAAGUUCUUUUCCCUAAGCACGUAUGACUACAUACGAAAUACAUGCCUACAUUAGAUUGACGAACGGGAGCUAGUUACUUAUCUCUCCGUGUUAUAGUUGUUACAUGAUGAAUAACAUCCGACAUACUCAUCCAUCACCGAUCCACUGCCUACGAGUCUUUUACUACUGGUCCUUGCUACGUUACUUUACUCGCUACUUCUGUCACUACUGCUGUUACUUGUUACUUUGCUGUUACCUGUUGCAACACUUUUCUGGCGCCAUUGAUACAACAAGUUAGGAAUAGUCUGCCGUCAACAGAUCCUUUUCUGGAACCGUUGCUAUCAUACCACUUUGCUACUGAUACUUUUCUUGCAGAUACUAAUCUUUCAGGUGUGGUUGAACUGACAACUCAGCUGCUAAUACUUGAGAAUAUUCUUUCGCUUCCCCUUGUGGCGAAUCAAUAAAUUUGGGUUGAAUACUCUACCCUCAAAAACUUCUAUGAUCCCAUACGCUUGUCGAUCAUCAACCACAACCACAACCCGAGACGCCACGUGAGGAGUCGGACCGGCCUGACCGGAAGAGCCACCACCAGUAGAACCCGGGCUACGCCGGCCAUCAGACGGAGCCAGAGGAACCCCAACAUCACCAUCCUCCUCACAGAAGGAGCUCUCCCCUGAUGGGCCCCCAUCCCCAUCCUUCCCCUCAUCACAAGGCAUAGAGGCAACGGGAGCCAGCCGAAGCCGAUCCUCAGGAACUGGAGACUCAAGCUCAAAGGUGAGGCACCUCCCCUUGGUGUCGAAAUAGAAUAUAAGGGACAUGCCAUCAAUCUUCGACGGAGAGGGGGAUAGGAUCUUGAUGCGGGCGGGGCCAUCAUCCUCGAAGGACGCCAAGUCUGCGGUCACCAGCUUGCCCACCGGCUCAGAGAUUGCCUUGAGGAUGUGAGCGAACUUGCCGCCCCACGAUGCCGACCUGCCACCUCUAGGAAAGCCGUAGACAAGGACCCACACCUUCUCCAAAGGUGGCACGGGAUCAGGCUCCGCCUCCGCCGCAUGGACGGAGAUCCGGAACUGGUUGAUGGGGCAGCUGAUGAAAUCGUGAGAACACUCCCGGAGGAGCUCAGCGGAGGGGAAGGGGACCGAGAAUACGAGGGGAGCCGUCUCGGUCACCUCCCAAAUGAAGUCGGAGCCGCAGAAGUUGCCGAUGUAGGCGGCGAGCUCGUCGUGGAUGAGGUCGGCCAAGAUCACCACCCCAUGCGGCAAGACCUGCUCGGGGGCCAGAGUGACCGUCGCGAGGUGCGGCCGAACCGCCUCUUCCUCAAGCAUCCACAUAGUAGAAAAUAUCCCCUCAGUACCGUACCCAAGGUAGGCAAGGGUCAUGGGGCAUCGUGGAGAGGCCUCACACUCUGAGCGGAAGUGACCCACGCAUCCACAGUUAAUGCACAUCGUGUCGUCGCAAGUCCGUUGGCGGCCAACCUGAGAAGGGAUCUCCGGAGCCGGGUAUAUUUCUUGUAGUUGCAUUAGUUAAGGGUAUAUCUGAGAUCACUCAUUUAUGUUGAGAUUCAUGAGAAUAUAUGACCCCUUAAAUAUAUAUAGCACUACUAUAUUUCUUAUAUCUUUCGUUUCAGUCAAAUUAUUAUGAAACUUAAUGGGCCCAAAGUACACCUUUCGUUAGGGAUGUUACGCACACACGUCUCUCCUCUCACUCUACGUGCAUAACAAAUUCAUAGACUUUAUUUCAUCUUACACAAUUUAAAUCAAUCAUAUCUUUUAAUUAUAUACUCAACUUUUGAAACAUUUUAUAUAUUUGGACUCCUCGCGUCAAGAACUUUAGAACUAGACCUGUUUUGAAAACAUUUAAAUUUUGAAAUUUCACAUUUCAUAUGUGAAAAAACUGAGACAAACCUAUUUCACCAGGGAUAUGUGAAAAUAACAUUUUUCACAGAAACCUAUUUAACCCAACACUACUAGGAAAAGGCUUGCUAAUGGCGCACCUAUUUUUGCUACUAAUGGCGCACUAUAGGUGCGCCACUAGCAUCACGCCAUUAGAUUCUUUUAUUAAUGGCGCACCACAAGUGCGCCAUUAGUAUCUGGUAUACUAAUGGCGCACCAGGUAGUGCACCAUUAGUAUUGCUCACGGUGCGCCAUUAGUAUGCCUCCCAGGUGCGCCAUUAGUAUGCCUCCCAGGUGCGCCAUUAGUAUGCCUCCCUAGUGCGCCAUUAGUAUACCUCCGAGGUGCGCCAUUAGUAUGCCUCCCAGGUGCACCAUUAGUAUGCCUCCCAGGUGUGCCAUUAGUAUAGCCCAUGGUGCUCCAUUAGUAUCUGGUAUUCUAGCAUAUAUAUGUUUUUUUCAAAACCACAAAUUCAACAACACAUAACAUAUAUAUCAAAUAUAUAAUACAUAAUAUGUGCCCAAUAGUUUUACUGAUCCACAACACAUAACAUAUAUGCAAAGUUGCAUAACAAAUUUCAUGAUCCAUAUAUCAAAACUCCAUAGCAUCCAUACAUCCAAAAUUCCAUAGCAUCCAUAUAUACAUAUAGUUCCAUAGCAUCCAUACAUACAUAGCAACAUAACAAAUAUAGUUCCAUAUCAUCCAUUCAUUAUUCACAUACAAUUUUUUGAGCUACAAUAUUAUUUUGUUUGCAUUAAUAUGUUACCAUUAUUAUUUUAGAUGACAAAAAAGACAACUAUGGCUCCAAAGGUUUGCUUUAUGUCUUCACGCCACAUAAGUAAACGAAGUAGAAGGGGCGCACGUUUAGGAGCUCCAGCGCGCGGUCCUUUUGAACUUCCCCUCGCAAAAGAAGCAUGAAUCAAAAGCGUUAGAGAAAGAAAACAGAUGAUUCAGAAUUACAAAUUUUGAUACAUAUUGACUUCUAACAUAACAACACCAGCAAUGUUUGUUACAAAAUUUAGGAGGUAUCAAGAUACUUAAAUUGUCAACUAGUGACGACUACACACACACACACGGAGAUAUAUACACAUAAGCUCCAAAGAAUACAGCUAAGAUUUUCAAGAGAACAUUCACAUACAAGAAUAAACACAUGAUGUUUGGUUCCAAAUUAUAAAUAUAAGCUGUCGAUGUUGCGCUGAAUCCAAAGUAAUCCCAGCUACAUAGGUCACACGCUCGCUCUAAUGAGAUGUGAGUACCAAAUGUUUAAGCCUGAAGGAAAGAAGCAAUGGUAUAGGCACAAACUUUCCAGUCAUGGAGAUGAUACUACGAUCAUAAUGUUCACCCUUGAUUGCAAACAAAAUCUAACUAGUAAACGCACACAAUCAGCAGCCCCUAUAUAUAACUCCAUAAAAGUAUUAGAACAGAUGCAUCAGAACUGAAUUACCUGUGAGCAACAGUAGGAAUGAGCCUUCAGGCUGCGCGAGGAAGGAGACCAUCUUGGCAACCUUCUCCAAGCACUCCUGACUCUGCACCAGCAACGAAUCGCCAUUCCUCUCCACAAUUGAGUCAAACCUGUAAAUUCUACUCAGGAGCUAACCAAAUGAAAGGGUUAACAAUCCCACUGCAUUACGCCAAAAGAAAGAGCGUUGAGUAAAGAGAUGAAAACAAACUAAAACUUCAAGACAAUGAAACUACAUGAAUGAUUAGCUGUAGAGAUACUGGAAAAGGCGGUGGAGACAGGGGAGGGUGCGGGGGGUCGUCGGCGGCGGUGGAGCGGGGGAGGGUGCGGNUGCGCCAUUAGUAGUUUUGCAAAAAAAAAUAUAGUAGUGGCGCACCACCUACAUAUGCGCCAUUAGUAACCCUGGUUACUAAUGGCGCACCUCCUCUGUUGCGCCAUUAGUAGUUCUGCAAAAAAAAAAAGUAGUGGCGCACCACCAAUAGAUGCGCCAUUAGUAACACUGGUUACUAAUGGCGCACUAGCUGUGGUGCGCCAUUAGUAGUUUGCAAAAAAAAAAAUUAUAGUAGUGGCGCACUACUAACAGAUGCGCCAUUAGUAAGCAGGUUACUAAUGGCGCACCAGCUUCUGGUGCGCCAUUAGUAGUUUUGCAAAAAAUAAAAAAAAUAUAGUAGUGGCGCACCGAGAGUGUGGUGCGCCAUUACUAUCCACCACACUAAUGGCACACCUCACAUGGUGCGCCAUUACUAUAUAGUAGUGGCACACUGCUUGUGUGGUGCGUCAUUAGUAUCUAUAUCAUCUAUAGCCCUUUUCCUAGUAGUGCAAGUAUGAAACUGAAAUGUCAACUUGUGAUACUAAAUAUUUGAAAAUGUAUACCAUAUUAUUUUAAAAGAGUAAAGUAUGUUAUUUCAAAAGUUGCAAUUGAAAUAGGGGCCAUUUUUGUGAAAGAAGCGAGUGAAAAGUGAAAUGCACCAUGAUGAGGACAUGACUACCUUGGACACUAGUAGAAAAUGGUCCAUUUGUCCUGGUUCCCUUACUAACCGGGACCGAAGGGUCUCUAUGUGGCCUCUGUGGGUAGCCCGGGCAGGAGGUUCUUUAGUCCCGGUUGGUCACACCAACCGGGACAACUUGGCAUCCACGCGUCAGCAUCUGGCCGGAGCUGGGUUUUUUUUCAAUGGGGGGGGGGGUGGAGCAUUAAUUUAGUGGUUUCAUAUUAUGUUAGCUAGCUAAUAGAGAGAAGUGUCCUCUCUUUCUCCAUGCUUGGUCGAACAACAAGUUUUCGUAUGUCUAUCCGAUGCUAUUACAUAUAUACAAUAUAACAUCUUUUACAAUUAAUCCAAAACAUCAUCUAAUUAAUAUCCAAUGACAAAUCCACAUGGCAUUCUCCGUGUUUAGGUAUGACGUGGUCAACAAAGAAUCCUGCCAAUUCCUCUUGAAUUGCUCGUAUGCGAUCAUAUGGUAGAAGUUGAUCCCGCACCUCACAGAUCUAAUUUAAAGAAGGGGGUAAAUACAUGCAUAUAUAUGAAUAAAACUCAAUAUAAUUGUGAAUAUUAUUUACGUACUUGAAAUUGUUUCUCACAGAAAACCCGCUCAGAGGUCGAGUGGCGAAUGAACUCGCAUACGUAGUAUGCACAUAAAACAGUGCCUUCUUUGUGGUACAUACACUUUACGAGAAUAGAGUUCAAUCAAACUGAUAAGCAAACAUGGUAAUGAUAUAUUGAUGAAAAUUUGAAUCAAUUAGAGAUGCGCAGAACUAGCUAGUGUUGGAAAUAUGGCCUAGAGGCAAUGAUGAAUAGUUACUAUUAUAUUUCCUGUUACAAGAUAAUCGUUUAUUAUCCAUGCUAUAAUUUUAUUGAAUGAAAACAUAGAUACAUGUGUGGAUAGAUAGACAAAACAAUGUCCCUAGCAAGCCUCUAGUUGGCUAGCCAGUUGAUCAAGGGUAGUCAAGGUUUUCCGGCUAUGUGCAAGUGUUGUCACUUGAUAACUCGAUCACAUCAUUAGGAGAAUCAUGUGAUGGACUAGACCCAAACUAUGAACGUAGCAUAUUGAUCAUGUCAUUUUAUUGCUAUUGUUUUUUGCGUGUCCAGUAUUUAUCCCUAUGACCAUGAGAUCAUAUAACUCACUGGCACCAGAGGAAUACCUUGUGUGUAUCAAAUGUCACAAUGUAACUGGUGACUAUAAAGGUGCUCUACAGGUAUCUCCAAAGGUGUCCGUUGAGUUAGUAUGGAUCAAGACUAGGAUUUGUCACUCCGUGUGACGGAGAGGUAUCUCGGGGCCCACUCGGUAAUACAACAUCACACAUAAGCCUUGCAAGCAAUGUGACUAAGUGUAAGUCACGGGAUCUUGUAUUACGCAAUGAGUAAAGAGAGUUGUCUGUAACGAGAUUGAAAUAGGUAUGCGGAUACCGACGAUCGAAUCUCGGGCAAGUAAUAUAAUGAAGGACAAAGGGAAUGACAUACGGGAUUAUAUGAAUCCUUGGCACGGAGGUUCAACCGAUAAGAUCUUCGGAGAAUAUGUAGGAUCCAAUAUGGGCAUCCAGGUCCCGCUAUUGGAUAUUGACCGAGGAGUGUCUCGGGUCAUGUCUACAUAGUUCUCGAACCCGCAGGGUCUGCACACUUAAGGUUCGAUGAUGUUUUAGUAUAGUUGAGUUAUAUGUGUGGUUACCGAAUGUUGUUUGGUGUCCCGGAUGAGAUCACGGACAUCACGAGGGUUUCCGAAAUGGUCCAGAAACGAAGAUUGAUAUAUAGGAUGGUUUCAUUUGGUCACCGGAAAGUUUNNNNNNNNNNNNNNNNNNNNNNNNNNNNNNNNNNNNNNNNNNNNNNNNNNNNNNNNNNNNNNNNNNNNNNNNNNNNNNNNNNNNNNNNNNNNNNNNNNNNNNNNNNNNNNNNNNNNNNNNNNNNNNNNNNNNNNNNNNNNNNNNNNNNNNNNNNNNNNNNNNNNNNNNNNNNNNNNNNNNNNNNNNNNNNNNNNNNNNNNNNNNNNNNNNNNNNNNNNNNNNNNNNNNNNNNNNNNNNNNNNNNNNNNNNNNNNNNNNNNNNNNNNNNNNNNNNNNNNNNNNNNNNNNNNNNNNNNNNNNNNNNNNNNNNNNNNNNNNNNNNNNNNNNNNNNNNNNNNNNNNNNNNNNNNNGAGGGGCCCACCCACCCAGGAGUGAGCCCAAGGCCCUAAGGUGGCACACCAAGUCCUUAGUGGGCUGGUGGAGUCGGACCAAGAGGGCUAUGGCGCCACAUGUAAAAAUACCAAAGGAAAAGAAAAAAAGGAAAGAGGGAGAUGGGAAGGAAGAGGAGGACUCCUCCUUCCCAAACCGAAUUGGAGGAGGAGUCCUCCUCCUCCCUGGCUGUCGACGCACCCUUCGGGACCUUGUGCCCUAAGGCUAGCCCCUCCCCUCCUCCUAUAUAUAUUGGUGGUUUAGGGAUUUUUGAGACACAACUUUGCCACGUGCAACUCUAGCCUAUUCCACAUAGUUUUACCUCUAGAUCGGAUUUCUGCGGAGCUCGGGCGGAGCCCUGCAAGAGUAGAUCAUCACGACCAUCGGAGCGCCAUCACGCUGCCGGAGAACUCAUCUACUUCUCCAUAUUGCUUGCUGGAUCAAGAAGGUUGAGAUUGUCAUCGAGCUGUACGUGUUGUGAAUGUGGAGGUGUCGUCCGUUCGGCGCUAGAUCGAAACCAUUCGUGGGACGGAUCGUGGGACGACGGUGAUUUGAAUCAAGAAGCUGUACCACUACAUCAACCGCGUUUAUUAACACUUCCCUCUGAGAAAUCUACAAGGAUACGUAGAUCUAAUCUCCUCUCGUAGAUGGACAUCACCAUGAUAGGUCUUCGUGUGCGUAGGAAAUUUUUUGUUUCCCGUGCAACGUUCCCCAACAGUGGCAUCAUGAGGUAGGUUCAUGCGUAGAUGUUAUCUCGAGUAGAACACAAAAGGUUUUGUGGACGAUGAUGUUCGAUUUGCUGCCCUCCUUAGUCUUUUCUUGAUUCGGCGGUAUUGUUGGAUUGAAGCGGCCCGGACCGACAUAACUCGUACGCUUACGAGAUAGUGGUUUCAUCGAUUGACAUGAAACCUCGUUGCAUAAAAUGACUGGCGGGUGCCUGUUUCUUCAACUUUAGUUGAAUUGGUUUUGACCGAGGCGGUCCUUGAAGAGAGGUUAAAUAGCAUUUUGCACAUCUCCGUUGUGGUUUUUGCGUAAGUAAGAUGCGAUUAUACUAGAUACUCACAGCAGCCACGUAAAACAUGCAACAACAAAUUAGAGGACGUCUAACUUGUUUUUGCAAGGUAUGCUUGUGAUAUUAUAUGGCCAAUGACAUGAUGUGAUAUAUUGGAUGUACGAGAUGAUCAUGUUGUAAUAGUUAAUAUCGACUUGCACGUCGGUGCUACGGCAACUGGCAGGAGCCAUAGGGUUGUCUUUAAACUAACUUUUGUGUUUGCACAUGCGUUUACUAUAUUGCUAGGUCGUAGCUUUAGUAGUAAUUUCAUAGAUAGCAUGAAAACCUCGAUGGCGACAUGUCGAUGGAGAUCAUGGUGUGGCACCGGUGACAAGAAGAUCAUGCCGGUGCUUUGGUGAUGGAGAUCAAGAAGCACAAGAUGAUGGCCAUAUCACUUAUGAAUUGCAUGUGAUGUUAAUCCUUUUAUGCACCUUAUUUUGCUUAGAAUGACGGUAGCAUUAUGUGGUGAUCUCUCACUAAAAUUUCAAGAUGAAAUUGUCUUCUCCCCGACUGUGCACCGUUGCGACAGUUCAUCGUUCUGGGACACCACGUGAUGAUCGGGUGUGAUAGACUCAACGUUCACAUACAACGGGUGCAAAACAGUUCCAUACACGGAACAGUCGGGUUAAACUUGACGAGCCUAGAAUGUGCAGACAUGGACUCGGAACGCAUGAGACCGAAAGGUCGAGCAUGAAUCGUAUAGUUGAUAUGGUUAGCAUAGAGAUGUUUAUCACUGAAACUAUUCUCAACUCACGUGAUGAUCAGACUUGAGUUAGUGAAUUUGGAUCAUGUACCACUCAAAUUACUAGAGAGAUGUACUUUUUGAGUGGGAGUUUAUCAGUAAUUUGAUUAGUUAAACUCUAAUUAUCUUAAACAUAGUCUAAGUCCACUUUGCAAAAUUUGUGUUGUAGAUCAAUGGCUCACGCGACAGUCACCCUGAACUUUAAUACGUUCCUAGAGAAAGCUAAGUUGAAAGAUGAUGGAAGCAACUUUGUAGGUUGGGCUCGUAAUCUUAAGUUGCUCCUGCAAGCUGGGAAGAAGGAUUAUGUCCUUAAUGCUACGCUAGGAGAUGAACCACCCGCUACGGCUGACCAAGAUGUUAAGAACGCCUGGUUAACACGUAAGGAGGACCUCUCAGUAGUUCAAUGUGCAGUCUUGUAUGGCUUAGAGUCGGGACUUCAACGUGGCUUUGAGCGUCAUGGAGCAUAUGAGAUGUUCCAGGAGUUGAAGUUUAUCUUACAUAAGAACGCCUGGAUCGAGAGGUAUGAGACCUUCGAUAAAUUCUAUGCUUGCAAGAUGGAGGAGAAUUCGUCUGUGAGUGAACAUGUGCUCAAAAUGUAUGGUUACUCAAACCGUCUAGCUGAGCUCGGGAUUGAACUCCCGCAAGAGGCUAUCACUGACAGAAUUCUUGAAUCACUGCCACCUAGCUAUAAGAGCUUUUUGUUGAACUAUAACAUGCAAGGGAUGAACAAGUCACCCGACGAGUUAAUCGCGAUGCUGAAAAUCGCAGAGUCAGAACUCCGGAAAGAGCAUCAAGUGUUGAUGGUCAAUAAUACCACUAGCUUCAAGAGAAACGACAAAGACAAGAAGGGUAACUCCAAGAAGAGCGGCAAGCCUGUUGCCAAUCCGAUGAAGAAACCCAAGGUUGGACCUAAGCCUGAAACAGAGUGUUAUUAUUGCAAGGGCCUGGGUCACUAGAAUCGCAACUGCCGCAAGUAUUUGGCUGAUAAGAAGGCAGCCAAGGAAAAAUCAGGUAUAUUUGAUAUACAUGUUAUUGAUGUGUACUUAACCAACUCUCUUAGUAGUGCCUGGGUAUUUGAUACCGGUUCUGUUGAUCAUAUUUGCAACUCGAAGUAGGAACUGCGGAAUAAACGAAGGCUGGCGAAGGAUGAAGUGACGAUGCGCGUGGGAAAUGGUUCCAAGGUUGAUGCAAUCACCGUCGGCAUAGUUUCACUUCAGUUACCAUCAGGAUUAGUUAUGAACUUAAAUAAUUGUUAUUUGGUGCCUGCGUUAAUCAUGAACAUUAUAUAUGGAUCUUGUUUAUUGCGAGACGGUUACUCGUUUAAGUCAGAGAAUAAUGGUUGUUAUAUUUCUAUGAGUAAUAUCUUUUAAGGUCAUGCACCCAAUGUGAGAGGAUUGUUCAUAUUGAAUCUUGAUAGCGACAAUACACAUAUACAUAACAUUGAGACCAAAAGAUGUAAAGUUAAUAAUGAUAGCGCCAUGUUUUUGUGGCACUGCCGCUUAGGUCAUAUUGGUGUAGAGCGCAUGAAGAAACUUCAUUCCAAUGGACUUUUGGAGUCACUUGACUUUGAAUCACUUGACACGUGCGAACCAUGCCUCAUGGGCAAGAUGACUAAGACUCCGUUCUCCGAAACAAUGGAGCGUGCAAGUAACUUGUUGGAAAUCAUACAUACCGAUGUGUGCGGUCCGACGAGUGUGGAGGCACGUGGCGGAUAUCAUUAUUUUAUCACCUUCACUGAUGAUUUGAGUUGGUAUGGAUAUAUCUACUUGAUGAAACACAAGUCUGAAACGUUUGAGAAGUUCAAGCAAUUUCAGAGUGAAGUUGAAAAUCAUCGUAAAAAGAAGAUCAAGUUCCUACGGUCUCAUCGUGGGGGUGAAUAUCUGAGUUUCGAGUUUGGUGCUCACUUAAGACAACGUGGAAUUGUUUCAUAGUUGACACCGCUUGGAACACCACAUCGUAAUGGUGUGUCCGAACGUCAUAAUCGUACUUUGUUAGAAAUGGUGCGAUCUAUGAUGUCUCUUACCUAUUUGUCAUUAUCGUUUUGGAGUUAUGCAUUAGAGACAACUGCAUUCACUUUAAAUAGGGCACCAUCAAAAUCCGCUGAGACGACAAUAUACGAACUGUGGUAUGGCAAAAGAACGAAGUUGUCGUCUCUUAAAGUUUGGUGAUGUGAUGCUUAUGUCAAAAAGCUUCAGCCUGAAAAGCUGGAACCCAAAGUGGAAAAGUGCGUCUUCAUAGGUUACCCAAAGGAGACAAUUGGGUACACCUUCUAUCUCAAAUCCGAGGGCAAAGUGUUUGUUGCUAAAAAUGGAGCUUUUCUUGAGAAGGAGUUUCUUUCGAAAGAAUUGAGUGGGAGGAAGAUAGAACUUGAUGAGGUUGUCAAACCUCUAGUCCCUCUAGAUGGAGGCGCAGGGCAAGGGGAAACCCCUGUCAUUGCGACGCCGGUUGAGGAGGAAGUUAAUGAUGAUGAUCAUGAAACUUCGGAUCAAGUUCCUAUCGGACCUCGCAGGUCGACAAGAUCACGUACUACUCCUGAGUGGUAUGGUAAUCCUGUCUUAUCAAUUAUGUUGUUGGACAACAAUGAACCUGCGAAUUAUGAAGAAGCAAUGGUGGGCCCGGAUUCCAACAAAUGGCUGGAGGCCAUGAAGUCCGAGAUAGGAUCUAUGUAUGAAGACAAAGUGUGUACUUUGGAAGUAUUACCUGAAGGCCAAAAGGCUAUUCAAAACAAAUGGAUCUUUAAGAAGAAGACGGACGCAGACGAUAAUGUGACCGUUUAUAAAGCUCGACUUGUGGCAAAGGGUUUUUCACAAGCUCAAGGAGUUGACUACGAUGAGACGUUCUCACUGGUAGCGAUGCUUAAGUCCGUCCGAAUCAUGUUAGCAAUAGCUGCAUUUUUCGAUUAUGAAAUCUGGGAGAUGGAUGUCAAAACGGCGUUCCUUAAAGGUUUUCUUAAGGAAGAGUUAUAUAUGAUGCAACCCGAAGGUUUUGUCGAUCCAAAGAAUGCUAACAAAGUAUGCAAGCUCCAGCGAUCCAUUUAUGGACUGGUGCAAGCAUCUCGGAGUUGGAAUAAUUGCUUUGAUGAGGUGAUCAAAGCAUUUGGGUUUAUACAAGUGGUUGGAGAAUCUUGUAUUUAGAAUAAAGUGAGUGGGAGCUCUGUGGCGUUUCUAAUAUUAUAUGUGGAUGACAUAUUGCUGAUUGGAAACAACGUGGGGUUUUUGGAGAGCGUAAAGGAUUACUUGAAUACAAGUUUCUCUAUGAAGGACCUAGGAGAAGCUGCUUACAUUCUAGGCAUUAAGAUCUAUAGGGAUAGAUCAAGACGCCUCAUAGGACUUUCAGAAAGCACAUACCUUAAUAAAGUUUUGAAGAAGUUCAAAAUGGAACAGUCCAAGAAAGGGUUCUUGCCAGUGUUACAAGGUAUAAAAUUGAGGAAGACUCAGUGCCCAGCAACUGCGGAAGAUAGAGAACAAAUGAGUUCCGUCCCCUAUGCUUCAACCAUAGGUUCUAUCAUGUAUGCAAUGUUGUGCACUAGACCAGACGUCAGAUUGGCCAUAAGCAUGGCCGACAGGUUUCAGAGUAAUCCAGGAGUGGAUCACUGGAUGGCGGUCAAGAAUAUUCUGAAGUACCUGAAAAGGACUAAGGAAAUGUUUCUCGUUUAUGGAGGUGACGAAGAGCUCGUUGUAAAGGUUUACGUCGACGCAAGCUUUGACACCGAUCCGGAUGACUCUAAGUCGAAACCAGAUACGUAUUUAUUCUUAAUGGGGGUGCGGUAAGCUGGUGCAGUUCCAAGCAAAGCGCCGUAGCAGAUUCUACAUGUGAAGCGGAGUACAUGGUUGCCUCGGAGGCAACAAACGAGGGUAUCUGGAUGAAGCAGUUCAUGACAGAUCUUGGAGUUGUGCCGAGUGCACUAAAUCCAAUAACUUUGUUUUGUGACAACAGUGGUGCCAUUGCUUUAGCAAAGGAACCAAGGUUUCACAAGAAGACCAGGCACAUCAAAGGACGCUGCAACCUCAUCCGCGACUACAUCGAAGGAGAGGACGUGAAUAUUUGCAAAGUGCACAUGGAUCUGAAUGUAGCACACCCACAGACUAAACCUCUUCAUGGGAAAAACAUGAUCAACACCAGAACUGUAUGGGUGUUAGAUUUAUUACAAUGUAAAUCGCAUGGCGAUGUGAGGACUAGAUUAUUGACUCUAGUGCAAGUGGGAGACUAAUGGAAAUAUGCCCUAGAGGCAAUGAUAAAUAGUUAUUAUUAUAUUUCCUGUUACAAGAUAAUCGUUUAUUAUCCAUGCUAUAAUUGUAUUGAAUGAAAACAUAGAUACAUGUGUGGAUACAUAGACAAAACAAUGUCCCUAGCGAGCCUCUAGUUGGUUAGCCAGUUGAUCAAGGAUAGUCAAGGUUUUCUGGCUAUGUGCAAGUGUUGUCACUUGAUAACUGGAUCACAUCAUUAGGAGAAUCAUGUGAUGGACUAGACCCAAACUAUGAACGUAGCAUAUUGAUCGUGUCAUUUUAUUGCUAUUGUUUUGUGCAUGUCAAGUAUGUAUUCCUAUGACCAUGAGAUCAUAUAACUCACUGGCACCAGAGGAAUACCUUGUGUGUAUCAAACGUCGCAACAUAACUGGGUGAUUAUCAAGGUGGUCUAGAGGUAUCUCCGAAGGUGUCCGUUGAGUUAGUAUGGAUCAAGACUGGAUUUCUCACUUCGUGUGACAGAGAGGUAUCUCGGGUCCCACUCGGUAAUACAACAUCACACACAAGCCUUGCAAGCAAUGUGACUAAGUGUAAUUCACGGGAUCUUGUAUUACAGAACGAGUAAAGAGACUUGCCGGUAACAAGAUUGAAAUAGGUAUGCGGAUACCAACGAUCGAAUCUCGGGCAAGUAAUAUACCGAAGGACAAAGGGAAUGCCAUACGUGAUUAUAUGAAUCCUUGGCACUGAGGUUCAACCGAUAAGAUCUUCGAAGAAUAUGUAGGAUCCAAUAUGGGCAUCCAGGUCCCACUAUUGGAUAUUGACCAAGGAGUGUCUCGGGUCAUGUCUACAUAGUUCUCGAACCCAUAGGGUGUGCACACUUAAUGUUCGAUGAUGUUUUAGUAUAUUUGAGUUAUAUGUGUGGUUACCGAAUGUUGUUAGGAGUCUCAGAUGAGAACACGUACCUCACGAGGGUUUCUGAAAUGGUCCGGAAACGAAGAUUGAUAUAUAGGAUGGUUUCAUUUGGUCACCAAAAAGUUUCGGGCAUUACAGGCAGUGUACCGGGAGCGACGACUGAGUUCUCGGUGUUUACCAGGAGGGGCCCACCCACCCGGGAGUGAGCCCAAGGCCCUAGGAUGGCGCACCAAGUCCUUAGUGGGCUGGUGGAGUCAGCCCAAGAGGGCUAUGGCGCCACAUGUAAAAAUACCAAAGGAAAAGAAAAAAAAGGAAAGAGGGAGGUGGGAAGGAAGAGGAGGACUCCUCCUUCCCAAACCGAAUAGGAGGAGGAGUACUCGUCCUCCCUGGCGGCUGGCGCACCCUUGGGGCCCUUGUGCCCCAAGGCUAGACCCUCCCGUCCUCCUAUAUAUAUUGGUGGUUUAGGGCUUUUUGAGACACAACUUUGCCACGUGCGACUCUAGCCUAUUCCACAUAGUUUUACCUAUGGAUCGGAUUUCCGCGGAGCUCGGGCGGAGCCCUGCAGGAGUAGAUCAUCACCACCAAGGAGCGCCGUCAUGCUGCCGAAGAACUCAUCUACUUCUCCGUCUUGCUUGCUGGAUCAAGAAUGCCGAGAUCGUCAUCGAUUUGUACGUGUGCUGAACAUGGAGGUGUCGUCCGUUCGGCGCUAGAUCGGAACCGUUCGUGGGAUGGUUCGUUGGACGAUGGUGAUUUGAAUCACGAAGAUGUACCACUACAUCAACCGCGUUUAUUAACGCUUCCCGCUGAGCAAUCUACAAGGGUAUGUAGAUCUAAUCUCCUCGCGUAGAUGGACAUCACCAUGACAUGUCUUCGUGCGUAGGAAUUUUUUUGUUUCCCAUGCAACGUUCCCCAACAGUGGCAUCAUGAGAUAGGUUCAUGCGUAGAUGUUAUCUCGAGUAGAACACACAAGGUUUUGUGGACAGUGAUUUUCGAUUUGCUGCCCUCCUUAGUGUUUUCUCGAUUCGGCGGUAUUGUUGGAUUGAAGCGGCCCAGACCGACAUAACUUGUACACUUACGAGAGACUGGUUUCAUCGACUGACAUGCAACCUCAUUGCAUAAAUGACUGGCGGGUGCCUGUUUCUUCAACUUUAGUUCAAUUGGUUUUGACCGAGGUGGUCCUUGGAGAGAGGUUAAAUAGCAAUUUGCACAUCUCCGUUGUGGUUUUUGCGUAAGUAAGAUGCAGUCAUACAAGAUACCCGUAACAGCCUCGUAAAACAUGCAACAACAAAUUAGAGGAUGUCUAACUUGUUUUUGCAGGGUAUGCUUGUGGUAUGAUAUGGCCAAUGACGUUAUGUGAUAUAUUGGAUGUAUGAGAUGAUCAUGAAAUUAACGAAAGUUGCAUGCCGAUAUGGUCUCGGUAUAUUGACUGAACUUACUUCUUGAGCAUUGUAGUUAUGUCCUCAUAAUCCUCACCGGCUUUACGUCUCGAGUCUAAGACAUUUACUAAUGCCCUGCCAACGUCAAUGGAUAGCAGAAUAAAGUGGUUUCUGCGCACACAUAUAUAACUCAUCAAUUACAUUACUUAAUUAACCUCGAGUAAGCGAAACCGAGUUUACACAAAAGACAACAACACUCACUUGAAGUUGUAAGGAAAGAUUAUUUCCCUUUUUUAUGUAUAAGGAACGAGUUUAGCAAGUUCUCCUUGGUAUCUUUGAUUGAGUUUUGUAUAGUAAAUUUAUUUACGCAUCUGGGCUAAUGAACCCAACGUCGACGAUUCCUGCUUUUUUUUAAUUCGACGAUCUUCAGUCUGUAUAAUAUAUAUAGUGAGGAUAAUUAUAUAUACAUGCAAUGAACGAGCUGAGCUAGAGACUUAACUAUAGAAGUAAUACUUAUAGACAAUAGGAAGUUAUGAGUUGUUUGUCAAGGGCUAGUUGAUUGUAUAACUGAAAUAACUCCUCAAAUUGAAUAGUAAUCACGGGAAGUCUAAUGAAUUCAUGCUCUGGUUUCACUGUCACAUACACAUCAUUUUUCCUAGACUCCCUACAGGUUUUCAUGUACCACUCAUGCAAUCUGUGCAUCAUCGUUGUUAGAGCAGGAUGACCAGGUUUGAGAGGCUUCCCGUCCAUGUAUUUAUAUUGUUGUUUUGUUACAUCAUCCCCCAAGUAAUCAUCAGGAUUGGUACGGGGAACCAUCUCCGGAUGAUUAGCGACGACGAUAUCGAGCUCGGUAAUUGUUUUCCAACUUGUUCGUUCUGCUAACCUUGCAUCACUAGAAGUAGUUGCCAACCACACCGCUUGUGCGUGUGUCUUUUUAAGAAUGCGGUCAUAGUUGGAAUCCGGCGAAGGCGCUUGUGGAUGCUGCAGUUGAUUGAUAGUGCGCUCCACUUUCACCGGAUCUAGCUUCUCCUUCAGAGUGGAGUUUUCUUUGCAAAAUGGGCCCUCAAUUUUCCACAACAUAUCUCCUCGUUUUCCUCCUUGGUCCUCUCAUAUGGUAACUUUUCCAGAGGCUUGAGAGAUGGACCGUAUUUCCCGCCUCUCCUUGUACUGCUAGCCGCCGGAGAGAAGGAGGCGUAUCUCUUCUGCUUGAGACAAGGAGGCAGACUGCUCUGACACGCAGGACGAGCCGGAGUGGCGGCAUUUGUCUUCCGACGUUGCCCAUGAGGCAAAGGACAAGGUGGAAUUCUCUGACGCACCAGAGUAAGCGAAGGAGGAGGCGAAGUGCCCUCAAGCAUCAGAGGAGCUGGAGAAGGAGGCGGAGUGCCCUGAUCACUCGCCGAAGGAGGAGGAUCAGGAGGAGGGGGAGGAGGCGGGGUGCCCUGAUCAAUCGCCGGAGGAGGAGGAGGAGGAGGGGAAGGAGGCGGAGUGCCCUGACUCAUCAGAGGAGGAGGAGGAGGAGGCGGAGGCGUCCAGUUUGGAAGCUUGAUGAACUCCUUCUGCCAUAGACAUGUACUCCCCACAGCACAAACCAUCUGAAUCUCCCCUUCACGUGUAGGGUGGUCAAGCUCGAGCUGCUCAAAUUAAUCCAUUACUUGAUCCACCAUCACAACAGCAUAGCCAUGUGGAAUCGGAAUGCAGUGAAAAGUUCCUUUGGGUUGAGGAGGUUCAACAGAGCCGACAACCUCCUUGAAAGUGAAGUUCGGAAAUUUCAUCAUAAGCUCGCAGUGUUGAGCCUCCGUGAUAAUAUCCAAGGGGUAGCUAGGAGUCGUGAAGUCAUGCUGAACAGGCUCCACGGAAGCCAUGCUCCUUUUCCGCUAAGAUGAUGGGGUACCUUCUAGGGUAGCUUCGUGCCGCUGAGAUGGUUGGCCGGCAGUUCGCUGGCUCUCAAGUUCCUCUAGCUUCUGAAGUCUUGCCUUGAUCUGCUGCAUGUCGUUGAACUCUGCUUUCCUCUUUAUCUCCCGGCUUCUGUAACCACUUGCGUUAGGAAACCCAAACUUCCACGGAACGGAGCCUGGUGUGCCUCGUGUUCGUCCAGGGUGCUCAACAUUCCCUAGGGCCUCAGUCAGCUCAUCAUUUUCUCUGUCUGGAAUGAACGUCCCUUCCUGCGCUGCGGCGAUACAGUUCUGAAGCUUGAUCUUGGGUAUUCCAAGUUGCUCGUCCGUCCAACGACACUUCCCUGUUUCACGGUCCAAAGUUCCCCCAACCCCGAAGAACCAAGUCCUUGAACGGUCUAGCUAGUUCAAUGUCUGUGGUUGGACCCCUUUAGCAUUCAGGUCAUUCUCAGCUUUGUCCCAGAACGGCCGGGCUUUGAGGUAGCCACCUGACCCCGUGUGAUGGUGAUACUGCUUCUUUGCGACAUUGUUCUUGUUUGUCUCUGACAUUUUCUUACUCUUCUUCGAUGACUUGUAGGCCAUAAAUGCGGGCUAGUGAUCUCUUAUAUUCUCAAAUCGGCCGAUGAAUUCUGGAGUCUUCCCUUUGUCGACAAACAUUGAUUUCAAAUCAUUAUUCCACUUCCCAAAUAGAUGUGCCAUCUUCUUAAGAGCACACGCCUUGACAAGUGGUUCUAUAACUGGCUUAUUCGGAUCUUCCUCUGGCGGUAGGGUGAAAUUUGCCUUCAACGCAGUCCAAAGAUCAUCUUUCUGCCUAUCAGUGACAUAAAAACCUUCGGGGACGUCGUCGCCCUUAGCCUUUUUCCAUUGCUUGACCCUGAUCGGGAUGUUGUCCCUAACAAUAGCUCCGCACUGAGCAUAAAAUGCGCCCUUGGUCAGCUUGGGUUCAAUCGCUAGGCCAUCGGCCGUGAGUGCCGUGGUUGUGAACUUUUCAUCCAUGCGCAACCUUAUCUUCGGGCCUCGUCUCUUUAUCAAAGUUUGGCUCGAUCCGGAGGGCUAUAAAAGAAGAAAGAAGUGUUAAUAUAUGUACAUACCUUUGGGCUUAAUUAAUAUAUAUACGUCCCCGGACUUUGCAACAUCUCCCUCCUCCGUUCGAUCACCGGAGCCGUCAUCAUGGUCUCCUUCUUCCUCCGGGCUUCGGUCACCGAAGCCAUCAUGAUCAUGUCCUUCCUCCUCCAUUGUUCGAUCAUCCGAGCCGUCAUCCCCUCCUUCCAGACCAUCAGUGUCGUUGAGAUACGACAAAUAAUCACCGAGCAUUAUCUCCCCCAACAAUUUUUCUCUUUGAUCCAUAUAUUUUCUUCAAAUAUUUCAGCCCCUUGUAUGAAUAACCAAAUUACACGAACUUCUAUGUUUUAAACAUGCACAAACUAUUUUAUAUUUAAUUUUCAAAUGUUGAAUAGUUCAUAGAUGUACGUUAUGAUAUAUAAUGCAAUAGAUCUCAAGAGGAAAAAAGGUUUUCUUUCAGUUAAAACCAAUAAUCAACUUAAUACAUCUCUAGUAUAAUCUAUAUAUGAACAAAAUUUGUAUGAACAACAAUAUGCAGGGGCGGCGGCGACAAGCAGAGCACGCAGAGGAGGAGCUCACCGGGGCCGACGGGCUCGGGGCGGCGACAACGACGGGCUCGGGGCGGCGACCAUGACGGGCUCGAGGCGACGACGAUGGGCUCGGGGCCGGCGACGACGACGUGCUCGGGGUGUCGACGGCGGUGAGGAGGACUGGAUCGGGGGAGACGACGACGACGUGCUCGGGGACGGCGGCGACGAGGAGGAAGACUGGAUCGGGGGCGGCGAUGACGAGGACUGGCUCGGGGGGCGGUGGCGAUAAAUGGGAGAGUUUUCGGGGAAAUUUCGACAACUCCUGCCUAUAUGCGAAAACCUUCUGCCCGGUUUGGUGGCCCAAACCGGCACCAAUUCCACCCUUUCGUCCCGAUUGAAUCAUCAAACCGGGACUACAUGCCAAUUUUCACGAGCCCAAAUGGCGGGGAAGAAGAUACAUGUACUCCCGGAUUGCGGAACCAACCGGGACGAAAGGGGGCCAUUUGUCCCGGUUUGGGCCACCAACCGACACUAAAGUCUGUCUCUGGUCCCCGCUUGUAUCACAAACAGACACGAAAGGCGCGUGCAUGGCACAGCCACGGUGUGGUUAGAUGUUUAGUCCCACCUCGCUAGCCGAUGGAGAAGUGGAGUGGUUUAUAAGCGCUUGUGCGCACACAGUUUCGAGAUCCUCUCAUAUGCAGGCUUCCGGGCCUAAACUGUCACUACCUGUUUGGCCUUCUGCGGGCCUGAAUCGUGGACCAACUAUCUAGUUGGAUUUCUAGUCGUAUUCAAGCCGUGGUGGCCCAUUAGUUGACAUUUUUUAAACAAUAUAGUUUUUUGUUCCUACUUACUGUUUUUCAAUGAUUCUUUAUAUUUUUUUGUUUCAUUUGUUACUUUAUUUAUUUUAUUUUGUUCCGACUUACUGUUUUUAGUGAUUCUUUUUGCUAUUAGGUCAAAAAAAUUAUUAUCAGGGUAUCAUACGAAAACUCAUCUGUUACAAAGGGAUUUCAUUUUUGGAAUUAUUUGAACUCGAGACUUUUUGUGUGUUGAAAAUGCACCAUUCAAGGCCACAUCAUCAAUUUUCAACUAUUUUUGACUUCAUCUGUUAUUUUUCAUGCAUUUACUGAUUUUUUUAGCUAAAUGACCUUUAAAUUGAAAAAAACACUACAAAUGAACUCUGAAUAGGGUUAAAGUUGGCAUGGUAUCAUCAUUUCACCCACAUAGCAUGUGCUAAAAAGUUGAGAGGCUUGCGGCAAAAACUGGACGCACUUCGUGUACAAAUCGGUCAAUGUCUUUUGAAGUAUCAUGGUUUCAUACGAAAACUCAUGUGUUACAAAAGGGAUUUUUUUUUUUAACUUAUUUGAACUCCAGACUAUUUGUGUGUUCAAAAUGCACCAUUCAAGGCCACAUCAUCAAUUUUCAACUAUUUCUGACUUCAUUUGGUAUUUUUCAUGCAUUCAGUGAUUUUUUGAGCUAAAUGACCCUUAAAUUGAAAAGCACUACAAAUGAACUCUGAGAAUGUUGAAAGUUAGCAUGGUAUCAUUAGUUCACCCACAUAGCAUGUGCUAAAAAGUUGAGAGGGUUGCGGCAAAAACUGGACGCACUUCGUGUAUAAAUCGGACAAUCUCUUUCGAAGUAUCAUGGUUUCUUACAAAAACUCAUCUAUUACAAAAGGGAUUUCAUUUUUUGAACUUAUUUGAACUCUAGACUACUUAUGUGUUCAAAAUGCAUCGUUCAAGGCCACAUCAUCAAUUUUCAACUAUUUCUGAUUUCAUUUGGUAUUUUUCAUGCAUUUACUGAUAUAUUUUUUGAGCUAAAUGACCCUUAUAUUGAAAAGCACUACAAAUGAAAUCUGAAAAGGUUGAAAGUUGGCAUGGUAUCUUCAUUUCACCCAGAUAGUAUGUGCUAAAAAGUUGAGAGGGUAGCGGCAAAAACUGGAUGCACUUCGUGUACAAAUCGGACAAUCUCUUUCGAAGUAUGAGGUUUCAUAUGAAAACUCAUCUGUUACAAAGGUAUUUCAUUUUUUUGGAAUUAUUUGAACUCGAGACUUUUUGUGUGUUCGAAAUGCACCAUUCAAAGUCACAUCAUUAAUUUUCAUCUAUUUCUAACUUCAUUUGGUAUUUUUCAUGCAUUUAUUGAGUUUUUUAGGUAAAUGACCCAGAAAUUGAAAAGCACUACAAAUGAACUCUGAAUAGGUUAAAAGUUGGCAUGGUAUCAUCAUUUCACCCAGAUAGCAUGUGCUAAAAAGUUGAGAGGGUUGCGGCAAAAAAUGGAUGCACUUCGUGUACAAAUCAGACAAUCUCAUUCGAAGUAUCAUGGUUUCAUACGAAAACUCAUCUGUUACAAAGGGAUUUCUUUUUUUGAACUUAUUUGAACUACAGACUUUUUGUGUGUUCAAAAUGCCAUUCAAAGCCACAUCAUCAAUUUUCAACUAUUUCUGACUUUUUUCAUGCUUUUUACUGUUUUUUUGGAGCUAAAUGUCCCAGAAAUUGAAAAGCACUACAAAUGAACUCUGAAUAGGUUGAAAGUUGGCAUGGUAUCAUCAUUUCACCCACAUAGAAUUUUGUGUUUGCACCAAGUAAGACCUUUGGGAUGGUCUACGGUGUUUGCAAUUUAAAUUUGCUGAAAAAACAGAAACUUUUGACCUCAGUCCAGAUAUUUUUUAAAUUCACUCGAACGUGCUUUUGAUCUCAAUUUUUUAGACAAGAUUCAUAUACAAUUUACCUAGAUUGUCUUAAUUUUUCAUAAUUUUUGGUGUUACAUAAGUAUUCGAAUUAUACAUAUUACUUCCGACUAUUCUGUUUUUGACAGAUUAUGUUUUCUUUGUGUUGCUUGCUUAUAUCGAUGUAUCUAUGGGUUGGAUCCGGGGGGGGGGGGUAUGAACCAUGGAGAAGUAUGAAUACAGUAAAUAUUACACCAAUAUGAAUAAAGAAUUAGUUUACAACAAUACCUAAAGUGGUGAUGAAUAAAGAAAGGGCUAAACCAUUCAAAUUUGUAAACUAUAUAAUGACACAAACAGAAACUGGAUAUAUAUAAAUUGGUCCAACAGUACAUAAAAAUACAUGCAAGCAGUACAUAAUAAUAGCUAGCAUACAUAUAUAUACAAGUGUUUGCCAUUCUGAACACUACUCGUGUGAAUCUAAAUCUGAAUCAGAAUAUCCCAAAGCUUGUGGUGCGAGGUGACCCUGGCCAUAGUUCACGAUUCUAAUCUUGCGGUACAACUCGUAUGCAACGUAUGCAUCUUUUGCUGCAUACUCAACGUUCAUAAGGUCAAGUGGGGUCUUACCCCACUUUCUACGCUGAGACUUCGGGAAUGGAGUCUUCAUAUCAUGGUACUCCUCGUUGAUCAAGGCGACUGCCAUAUCAGCCAUCGAAGUCCUGUCAUAUUGAAGCUGGAAUAGGGCUUGGAUAUUGAUGACCCACAAGUAUAGGGGAUCAAUCGUAGUCCUUUCAAUAAGUAAGAGUGUCGAACCCAACGAGGAGGAGAAGGCUUUGAUAAACGGUUUUCAGCAAGGUAAUAACUGCAAGCACUGAAAGUAGCGGUAACAAGUGAUGGUGUAGUGAGGUGAAACGUAGCAAGCGAAAAGUAACAAGUAACAAGUAGUAGCAACGGUGCAGCAAGUGGCCCAAUCCCUUUUGUAGCAAGGGACAAGCCUGAACAAAGUAUUAUAAGAGGAAAAACACUCCCGAGGACACACGGGAAUUUCUGUCAUGCUAGUUUCAUCAUGUUCAUAUGAUUCGCGUUCGUUACUUUGAUAGUUUGAUAUGUGGGUGGACCGGCGCUUGGGUACUGCCCUUACAUGGAAAAUCAUCCCACUUAUGAUUAACCCCUCUCGCAAGCAUCCGCAACUACGAAUGAAGAAUUAAGACAAUGUCUAACCAUAGCAUUAAACUAGUGGAUCCAAAUCAGCCCCUUACGAAGCAACGCAUAGACUGGGGUUUAAGCUUCUGUCACUCCAGCAACCCAUCAUCUAUUUACUACUCCCCAAUGCCUUCCUCUAGGCCCAAAUAUGGUGAAGUGUUAUGUAGUCGAUGUUCACAUACCACCACUAGAGAAAAAACAACAUACAACAUGUCAAAAUACCGAACGAAUAUCAAAUUCACAUGACUAUUAUUAGCAUGACUUAUCCCAUGUCCUCAGGAACAAAAGUAACUACUCACAAAACAUAAUCAUAAUCAUGAUCAGAGGUGUAAUGAAUAGCAUCAAGGAUCUGAACAUAAACUCUUCCACCAAGUAAUCCAACUAGCAUCAACUACAAAGAGUAAUCAACACUACUAGCAACCUUACAAGUACCAAUCGGAGUCGCGAGACGGAGAUUGGUUACAAGAGAUGAACUGGGGUUUGGAGAGGACAUGGUGCUGAUGAAGAUGUUGAUGGAUAUGCCUCCCCUCUGAUGAGAGGAGUGUUGGUGAUGAAGACGGCGACGAUUUCCCCCUGUGGGAGGGAAGUUUCCUCGGCAGGAUCGUCCUGCCGGAGCUCUAGAUUGGAUCUGCUCAAGUUUCACCUCGUGGCGGCGGAGAAUCCACGAAAAAGCUCCACCCUGAUUUUUUCCGGACGAAACCCUUCAUAUAGCAAAAGAGGGGGGCCAGUGGGCCACCAGGGUGCCCACAAGUCCUGUUGCCGCGACCAGGGGGUAGGCCGCAACAACCAGGCUUGUGGGCCCCUGGUUGCUCCCCUCUCACACUUCUUUCGCCCAGUAUUUUCUAUAAAAUCCAAAAACAAUCCACGUUGAUUUUCAGGGCAUUUGGAGUUGCGCAGAAUAGAGGACUCAUACUUGCUCCUUUUCUAGUCCAGAAUUCCAGCUGCCGGUAUUCUCCCUCUUCAAAUAAACCUUGCAAAAUAAGAGAGAAAAGGCAUAAGUAAGGUUCCACAAAGUAAAAUAACAGUCCAUAAAGCGAUAAAUAUCAACAUGAAAGCAUGAUGCAAAAUGGACGUAUCAACUCCCCCAAGCUUAGACCUCGCUUGUCCUCAAGCGAAAACCAAGACCCAAAACAUGUCCACAUGUUUAGGGAUGAAGGUGUCGAUAAAACAUAAUACGGACAUGAGGGCAUCAUGAUCACACAUAGAACAACAAUACAUCAUAGAGAUUCUUAUGGGAAAGUAACAAUUCCUUCACAAAGCAAAGUAUGAAACAAAAACCUUACCGAGAAGUAGCCAACAACAGUCCAUAGUCAUUAAAGCAAUUGCAAUUUAUCAUAUUAUCAGAAAGAGUCAAAUAAGAGCUUGUAAAGAAAAUCCACAUACUCAAUCAUCUCUUUUGUUUUCCAAAAUUGUUACAACUCACGUGGUACUCAUGGAAUCGAAGUUUCAGUUGGACACAGAGAAAGAUAGGGGUUUAUAGUUUGCCUCCCAACCAUUUACCUCAAGGGUAAAGUCAACAAUAAUAAAGCAUAAGUACUCAGCUCCAAGUUGAUAUAUGAAUAUAGAUAUUUCCCAAGCAUAUGACGUUCACCAAGAAAAAGGCUAAAUAAGGAAUUCGUGAAGAUCACCAUGACUCUUACAAGGGAAAAAAGUAAAGGUACAAGAUAGGCCCUUCGCAGAGGGAAGCAGAGGUUGUCAUGCGCUUCUGAGGUUUGGAUGCUUGUCCUCUUAGUGCGGAGGAACGUCACUUUAUAUUGCCGCCUGUGAUAAAGAACUUUAUUAUGUAGUCUGUCGCUUUUAUGUCUUCCUCAUCACAGGUUCGUACAAAGAUUAUUUUCCACACAAUAAUAGAUCAUACAUAUUAGAGAGCAAUUUUUAUUGCUUGCACCGAUGACAACUUACUUGAGGGAUCUUAUUCAAUCCAUAGGUAGGUAUGGUGUACACUCAUGGCAAAACUGGGUUGAAGGUUUAUGGAUGCACAAGUAGUAUCUCUACUUGGUGCAGGAGUUUUGGCUAAUAUGAGGUGGAAGCAAUCGUCACAUGCUAAGGGAUCUCUAAUCAUAUAACAUUGUUUGGAACCAAGCAAACACAAUUCAUUAUGUUGUCUUCCUUGUCCAACAUCUACUUCUAAGCAUGUAAUAGUUUGGUGAGUGCUCACAAUUAUAGAAAGUGUCUAAGAUGAUAUAUUUAUAUGUGAACCUCUCUUUCCUUAUUACUUCUUAUUAAUUGCAACAAUGAUUGGGGUCUAUGUUGGUCUACUCUCAGCAUGUUUCAAUCAUCAUACUUGUUAUAUGUGAAGCUAUCACUUUCCAUAAGAUCAUCUCAUGAUCUUUCAUGCUAUCGUUCUUUUCAUAUUUUUGAUCACGGCACAAAGCAAAGUUCUUGACUAAGAUACUCUUUAUUAUAUAGCUCGUAAGCUCGAAUACAUCAAGGGGGACACAAAGCAAAAGACUCAAACCAAACACUAAAGACUUACUCCACUAAGAGAAGAAAUAAAAACUAAAAAGGAAAGAACUAAAACAAAGGUAAAAGCAAAAGAUAUAAAGGUGAUACGAUACCAGGGCAACUCCCCCAAGCUUGGCAUAAGCCAAGGGGAUUGCCCAUACCAAUGCUUAGUUGUCUUCCUUUGGUGGCGGUGGUGGUGGAGUUGUUGAAGUAGUCUGAUCCUCCGUCUUCCAAGGCAUAGGUGCUCCAUCAUGGCAGGAUGAACGAGUCGCCGGAAUCCUCAAAUCUGCAGCCAACCGUAUUGAUUUAAAUCUAUACUCAUACUCAUAGUUUUGGUUCUGCAGGUCAUAGAUAUGGCCCUGGAUUUGAUCAACCCUGUCAUAGAGCCUGGAGAGGAGCUUCCCAAUGUCAAUGGCAUCCAUCUUGUGAUUGCUGGUGAACUCCGUGAUCAUCAUGUGGUUGGCGUUGAGUCCACGCUCCACCAUCCCUUGGCACUUGAAGACUUGUUGCUCCAUUGCUUCGAGCCUCGUCUCCAUGCUUCUAGUCUUCUAGGCCCCUCAACAUCACGGAUGUGCAACAUCUCCUCACUCAUCUUAAUAGAUUGAGGGUGUUGCAAUACUUCCGUGAGGUAGGGAUUGAUGACCUUCUCGAAGAUCUUGUCCUUAGGAACUUUUGGGGAAGUCAUGACGAUCUAGAUCUGCAACAGAAAUAGGCUCGAAACAAAAACAGAGGAAAACUGCGCGAUACGGAGAUCAAAACCCUCGGGCGUAUAUAUAAUGAUUUUGUGUGGACCAGAAGGAGUGCUCCGCAAGAAAACGGAGUCCAGGAGGCACACAAGCUGCCCACAAGCCCUGUUGUCGCGGCCAGGGGGUAGGCCGCGGCAACCAAGCUUGUGGCCGCCUCGUGCGCUCUCCGGACUGCCUUUUAUUUUUCUAAUUUUCCAAAAAAUCCAAAACGGAGAAAAUUUUCAAUUGGAAAAGUUUCAGAGUCCAAUUACUUACCGAAACAGAUACCUCUUCGUUUUCAGGGUUUGAAACAUGCUGAUAAACAUCCCUUAUGUACUCCUGUGGAGUUAUGAUAUUGAUGAUAUUGGUCUCAACAUUUAUGGGAGUACCAAAGAUAUAAUGCUUGAUUCUUUGCCCGUUUACCACUCUAGGAAAAUUGCCUUCCGUGUUAUUGAUUUUGAUGACACCGGAACGAUAUACUUCCUCAACAACGUAGGGACCUUCCCAUUUAGAGAGGAGCUUGCCUACGAAGAAUCUUAAACGAGAAUUGUAUAGUAGGACAUAGUCACCUACAUUGAACUCUCGUUUUUGUAUUCUUUUGUCGUGCCAUCUCUUAACCUUUUCCUUGAACAACUUGGAAUCCUCAUAUGCCUGGGCCCUCCAUUCAUCUAAUGAGCUGAUAUCAAAGAACCGCUUCUCACCGGCAAGUUUAAAAUCAAAGUUGAGCUCUUUGAUUGCCCAAUAAGCUUUGUGUUCCAACUCAAGAGGUAAAUGACAGGUCUUACCGUAAACCAUUUUAUACGGCGACAUGCCCAAGGUAUUCUUAUAAGCAGUCCUAUAAGCCAUAGUGCAUCGUCAAGUUUGCUAGACCAAUUCUUUUGAGAUCUAUUGACGGUCUUUUGUAAGAUCAAUUUGAUCUCCCUAUUACUCAACUCCACUUGACCACUAGACUGUGGAUGAUAAGGAGAUGCAACUCUGUGGUUGACAUCGUACUUAGCAAGCAUCUUGCGGAAAAACACCAUGAAUGAAGUGUGAACCGCCAUCAGUCAUCAGAUAUCUAGGGACUCCAAAUCUUGGGAAAAUGACUUCUUUAAGCAUCUUAAUAGAGGUGUGGUGAUCAACAUUUCUAGUGGGGAUAGAUACUACCCACUUAGUUACAUAAUCCACAACAAUUAAGAUGUGAGUGCACCCAUUGGAACUCGGGAAGGGUCCCAUAUAAUCAAAGCCCCAGACAUCAAAUGGUUCAAUGGCAAGUGAAUAGUUCAUAGGCAUUUCCUGAUCCUUACUGAUAUUCCCUAUUCUUUGGCAUUCGUCACAAGACAAGACAAACUUACGGGCAUCCUUGAAGAGGGUGGGCCAAUAGAAACCUGAUUGCAAUACCUUAUGAGCAGUUCUGUCUCCAGCAUGGUGUCCUCCGUAGGCCUCGGAAUGACACUUCUACAGGAUCUGUCCCUAUUCAUGUUCAUGCACACAAUGUCUAAUAACACCAGCUAUGACUUCCUUAAAAAGGUGAGGAUCAUCCCAAAAGUAGUGUCUCAAAUCAAAGAAGAAUUUCUUCUUUUGCUGGUAGGUGAAACUGGGUGGUAUGUAUUUGGCUACGAUAUAGUUUGCGUAAUCAGCAUCCCACGGUGCACUAUCUGAAGUGCGGAUGACACUCAAUUGCUCAUCAGGAAAGCUGUCAUCAAUAGGUCGUGGGUCAUCAAGGACAUUCUCUAGCCUAGACAAGUUAUCUGCUACAGGGUUAUCAGCACCCUUUCGGUCAACAACGUGCAAAUCAAAUUCCUGUAGCAGGAGAAUCCAUCUGAUUAGCCUAGACUUAGCGUCCUUAUUCUCCAUGAGGUACUUAAUAGCAGCAUGAUCAGAGUGAAUAGUGACUUUGGAGUCAACUAUAUAAUAUCUGAACUUUUCACAUGCAAACACGACUACUAAAAACUCCUUCUCCGUAGUGGCAUAGUUUCUUUGGGCACUGUCUAGAGUUUUACUAGCGUAGUGAAUGACAUUCAACUUCUUGUCAACUCUUUGUCCUAGAACAUCACCAACAGCAUAAUCACUAGCAUCGCACAUGAUUUCAAAGGGCAAGUUCCAAUCAGUUGGUUGAACAAUAGGUGCGGUUAUUAAGACCUUCUUAAGUAUUUCGAAAGCUUCCUCACAAUCCUCAUCAAAAACAAAAGGAACAUCCUUCUGCAAGAGGUUGGUAAGAGGCCUAGAAAUCUUAGAGAAGUCUUUAAUGAACCUCGUAUAGAAACUAGCAUGACCUAGGAAACUUCAUAUACCUCUGAUAUCUGUGGGGCAAGGCAUUUUCUCAAUUGCAUCAACCUUAGCCUUAUCAACUUCAAUGCCUCUCUCAGGGAUUUUGUGUCCUAAGACGAUGCCUUCAUUAACCAUGAAGUGGCACUUCUCCCAGUUCAAGACGAGGUUGGUAUCUUUGCAUCUCUGUAAGACUCGAUCAAGGUUGCUAAGGCAAUCAUCAAAGGAAGAACCAUAGACGGAGAAAUCAUCCAUCAAAACCUCAACAAUGUUUUCACAAAAGUCAGAGAAUAUAACCAUCAUACAUCUUUGAAAGGUGACAGGUGCAUUACACAAGCCAAAAGGUAUGCGUCUAUAAGCGAAGGUACCGAAGGGGCAAGUGAAGGUAGUUUUCUAUUGAUCAGUUUGUGCAACAGGUAUUAGCGAGAAACCUGAAUAACCGUCUAGAAAGCAGAAGUGUGUGUGUUUAGAUAGCCUUUCUAGCAUCUGGUCGAUAAACGACAAAGGAUAAUGGUCCUUCCUGGUUGCCUUGUUCAGUUUCCGGAAGUCUAUCACGAUCCUAUAGCCAGUAAUAAAUCUGUGUGGGAUUAGUUCAUUCUUAUCAUUAGGAACGACGGUGAUACCUCCCUUCUUAAGUACGCAAUGUACUGGACUUACCCAAUCACUAUGAGCAAUAGGAUAAAUGAUUCCUCCUUCGAGAAGCUUUAAUAUUUCUUUUCUCACGACCUCUUUCAUCAUCGGAUUUAAUCUCCGUUGAUGAUCAGCAACUGGCUUAGAAUCAGGAUCGGUUUUAAUCUUGUACUGACAUAGAGUGGGACUAAGACCCUUAAGAUCAUCAAGAGUAUAUCCAAUAGCAGCAUGGUGCUUCCUCAAAGUUUUUAAUAACUUCUUCUCUUCGUGACUCGAGAGGUGAGCACUAAUAAUAACAGGAUAUAUCUCCUUCUCAUCAAGAUAGGGAUACUUAAGAGUAUCUGGUAACUGUUUUAGCUCGAACACAGGAUCACCCUUUGGUGGGGGAGGAUCCCCAAGCAAUUCAACAGGCAGAUUAUUCUUGAGAAUAGGAUAUUGUUCUAAGACAAUUUUAUCUAUCUCAUCUCUUUCCUCCAUAUGCAUAUCAUUUUCAUGCUCAAGCAGAUAUUGCUCUAAAGGAUACGUAGGAGGUACCACAAUAGAGGAAAGAGCAAUGAUUUCAUCCCUACCAGACGAAUCUUUUUCAUGGGGUUGUCUUCCAAACUUGGAGAAGUUAAAUUCAUGAGACACACCUUCGAAACUAACAGUGACAGUCUGUUUAAUGCAAUCAAUGUGAGCAUUGAUAGUGUUCAGAAAGGGUCUACAAAAUAUGAUGGGACAAAAGCUAUCUUGUGCAGUAGCAAGGACGAGGAAAUCAGUAGGAUACUUCGUCUUACCACAUAGGACUUCUACGUCUCUCACAAUUCCCAGAGGGCAGAUAGUGUCUUUAUUAGCUAGCGUAAUAGUGACAUCAAUGGGUUCUAACUCAGCAGGUGCAAUCUCAUAUUUGAUUUCAUCAUAUAGGGACCGGGGUAUUGCACUAACACUAGCACCCAUAUCACAUAAACCAUGAUAAUAGUGAUCUUCUAUCUUGACAAAAACAACGGGCACGCCAACUACAGGUCCUUAUUUGUCUUUCGCGUGAGGUUUAGCUAUUCUAGCAGAGUCCUCACAGAAUUUGAUAACAUGCCCAUCUAUGUCUUCGGCUAAGAGAUCUUUGAUAAUAGCAACACUAGGUUCACCUCUAAUUUCCUCAGGGGGUGCAAGUGGUCUAAUGUAACCCCUAUGUAUCACAGUUGGAGCUUUAGAAUAAUCCUUUUUCCUAGCAGGGUAAGGUGGUUUCUGAGUGUAGGCACAAGGAACAAUAGGAUCACUAAAGGCAAUGACUUUCUCUUCGACUAGAUUGGGUUUAACUAUGUUGACUUCUACAGGCGGAUGAUACUUAAACCACUUCUCUUUGGGAAGAUCAACAUGAGCAGCAAAAGAUUCACAUAGAGAAGCUACUAUCUCAGAGUCAAGUCCAUACUUAGCGUUAAAAUCUCUAGAAGUGUUUGUUUCAACAAAAGAUUUAACGCAAUCAAACUGGAAAUUCAUACCUGACUCCUUACCUUCUUCCAGCUCCCAAUCUUCAGAGUUACGUUUGAUUCUUUCCAAUAAAUUCCACUUGUGACCAAUAUCCUUCUUCAUAAAAGAACUGGUACAAGAAGUGUCAAGCAUGGUACGAUCUUCAUGGGAAAGCCGAGCAUAAAAGUUUUGAGUGAUAAUUUCUCUCGAGAGCUCAUGAUUGGGGCAUGAAUAUAACAUUGAUUUAAGCCUCCCCCCAGGUUGAGCUAUGCUUUCCCUGUCACGAGGCCAAAAGUUAUAAAUAUAUUUCCGAUCACGAUGUACUAAAUGCAUAGGAUAAACUUUUGAUGAAAUUCCAAUUUCAACUGAUUGUAGUCCCAUGAUACAGUAUCAUCACAUAGCCUAUACCAUGUCAACGCCUUGUCCUUCAAAGAUAAAGGAAAUACUUUCUUCUUUACCUCAUCCUCGGGCAAACCUGCAAGCUUAAAUAAACCACAAACUUCAUCUACAUAGAUUAGAUGCAAGUCUGGAUAUGAAGAUCGAUCUCCUGUAAAAGGAUUAGCCAGCAGUUUCUCAAGCAUACCCGAAGGAAUUUCUUAAAAGAUAUUUUCAGUAGGUACCUCAGGUUGAGGAACAACUCCUCGUUCUUCUGUUCGUGGUGAAGAUACCCCGAACAAACUCCUCAAAGGAACAAUUUCCAUAGUGACAAGUGACAAUAAAUUUCAGCACAGUAUAUAAAUGUUUCUUUACCAAAUUCCACUUACGAAAGGCGCUACCUCCCCGGCAACGGCGCCAGAAAAGAGUCUUGAUGACCCACAAGUAUAGGGGAUCAAUCAUAGUCCUUUCGAUAAAUAAGAGUGUCGAACCCAACGAGGAGGAGAAGGCUCUGAUAAACGGUUUUCAGCAAGGUAAUAACUGCAAGCACUGAAAGUAGCGGUAACAAGUGAUGGUGUAGUGAGGUGAAACGUAGCAAGCGAAAAGUAACAAGUAACAAGUAGUAGCAACGGUGCAGCAAGUGGCACAAUCCCUUUUGUAGCAAGGGACAAGCCUGGACAAAGUCUUAUAAGAGGAAAACACUCCCGAGGACACACGGGAAUUUCUGUCAUGCUAAUUUCAUCAUGUUCAUAUGAUUCGUGUUCGUUACUUUGAUAGUUUGAUAUGUGGGUGGACCGGCGCUUGGGUACUGCCCUUACUUGGUCAAGCAUCCCACUUAUGAUUAACCCCUCUCGCAAGCAUCCGCAACUACGAAAGAAGAAUUAAGACAAUGUAUAACCAUAGCCUUCCUGUAGGCCCAAAUAUGGUGAAGUGUUAUGUAGUCGAAGUUCACAUAACACCACUAGAGGAAAAACAACAUACAACAUAUCAAAAUAUCGAACGAAUAUCAAAUUCACAUGACUAUUAUUAGCAUGACUUAUCCCAUGUCCUUAGGAACAAAAUUAACUACUCACAAAGCGUAAUCAUAAUCAUUAUCAGAGGUGUAAUGAAUAGCAUCAAGGAUCUGAACAUAAACUCUUCCACCAAGUAAUCCAACUAGCAUCAACUACAAAGAGCAAUCAACACUACUAGCAACCUUACAACUACCAAUCGGAGUCGCGAGACGGAGAUUGGUUACAAGAGAUGAACUAGGGUUUGGAGAGGAGAUGGUGCUGAUGAAGAUGUUGAUGGAGAUGCCUCCCCUCCGACGAGAGGAGUGUUGGUGAUAACGGUGGCGAUGAUUUCCCCCUCCGGGAGGGAAGUUUCCCCGGCAGGAUCGUCUUGCCGGAGCUCUAGAUUGGAUCUGCUCAAGUUCCGCCUCGUGGCGGCGGAGAAUCCACGAAAAAGCUCCACCCAGAUUUUUUUCCGGACGAAACCCUUCAUAUAGCAAAACAGGGGGGCCAAUGGGCCACCAGGGUGCCCACAAGCCCUGUUGCCGCGGCCAGGGGGGUAGGCCGCGGCAACCAGGCUUGUGGGCCCCUGGUUGCUCCCCUCUGACACUUCAUUCGCCCAGUAUUUUUUAUAAAAUCCAAAAAAAAUCCACGUUGAUUUGUCGGUCAUUUGGAGUUGCGCAGAAUAGAGGACUCAGACUUGCUCCUUUUCCAGUCCAGAAUUCCAGCUGCCGGUAUUCUCCCUCUUCAAAUAAACCUUGCAAAAUCAGAGAGAAAAAGCAUAAGUAAGGUUCCACAAAGUAAAAUAAUAGUCCAUAAAGCGAUAAAUAUCAACAUGAAAGCAUGAUGCAAAAUGGACGUAUCAGAUAUCAAUGUGGCACUCAGCUGGUAUCUCAAUACCAAAGUUGCGCCUCAUAUUCGGCAUAUCGUUCGUUAUGUCAAAUCUAGCAAAAGUGAUGCCGUUGCAAAGGAAGUCCAUGAGUUCUGGAUAAUGCUUGUCACUACUACAACAUCAACAAAUUAAAAUGGAACAAAUGUUACAUACUGCUGCAACAAGGAAAAAUAUUUCACUACAACUAAAUAGAAAUUUAUCAUAACGAUUCAAAUGGAACAUAUUGCUAUUUUAUGCAAUUUUCAUAUCCUAUGCAUUGAUCUUUAUAGGAUUCCAAUAUUGUAACAUAUUGCUCUCCGAUGCAAUUUUUAUAUCCUAUGAAUUGAUCAAGAAACCCUCAAUUAACUAUCCAAUGGAACAUAUAAAGAAACUGCAUAUUGCUAUCCAAUGGAACCUAGAGAGAUGAGUAUAUGCAAUUUUCAUAACCUUUUGCUCAAAGAAAGCCUCAAAACUUACCAAUGAAAAGUUGUUUCACUACAACUAAAGAGAAAUUAAUCUUUAUAGGAUUCCAAUAUUGUAACAUAUUGCUAUCCUAUGCAAUUUGCAUAUCCUAUGAAUUGAUCAAGAAACCCUCAAUUAACUAUAUAUCCAAUGGAACAUAUAUAGAAACUGCAUAUUGCUAUCCAAUGGAACCUAGGGAGAUCAAUAUACGCAAUUUUCAUAACCUUGGAUCAAAUAAAGCCUAUGUUAUAAUAUCUCCAAUGGAACCUAGGGAGAUCAAUAUAUGCUAUCCAAUGGAACCUAUGGAGAUCAAUAUAUCCAAUGUUGUAACACAUAUUGCUAUCCUAUGCAAAUCUCAUAUCCUAUGAAUUGAUUAAGAAACACUCAAUUAACUAUUCAAUGGAACGUAUAUAGAAACACCAUAUUGCUAUCAAUUGGAACCUAGAGAAGAACAAUACAUGCAAUUUUCAUAACCUUGGAUCAAAGAAAGACUCAAAACUUACCUCGCCCAUUGGAAGAUCAAGAUAUACUAUUUGAAACACAGCCGGAUGACGGCAACACCUUGAUGGUCGGCCGUGUACUCCAGAUAAAGCCCCAAGAACGCCUCACGCUCCGGCGUGGCGUCAACCCACUCCUGGAACCGUCUAUGAAAAUUUGGCACCGCCGUGCUCUCGUUCGUGUACCUGAACAUGAGUUGGGUCCUGCCAUGUGCAUGCACCAUUCCGGUUUCAUAUGUCAUGGUGGAAGACGAAUGGAAGAAGAGAGGGGUAGAAGAGAGGAAGGAGAAGAACAGAGGAGAGCGCUAGAGGAGAAGAGAAGAGAAUGGCGAUAGACUCUGCUUCGGUUGCAAUUUUCAUCGCUCGAAACAACGUGGGAGGGCGAACCGUUUGGACCUUUAAUCCUGGGUUGGACGACAAACCGGCACUAAAGGGGUGAUUCGAAGGGCCACCACGCCGGUUUGAUCCACCAACUGGGACUAAAGAAGGAUACGUACGGUUGUAUGAACGCCCACGACCACACCUUAGUCCCGGUUUGAUCCGCCAACCGGGACUAAAGGGGAUACGAACGGUUGCGGGCCUAUUAGUCCCGGUUCUUGAAUGGAACCGACACAAAAGGGGUGAAACGAACCGGGACCAAUGGACCACGAUGCCCGGCCGGUGCCCUGGCCUCACAAACGAGGACCAAUGUCAUCAUAGGUCCCGGUUCCUAUGUGAACCGGGACUAAUGGGAUUUCAUCAGGUGGACCAAAGCCCUCUUUUUUACUAGUGGGAUAUUAUCACAAGAAUUGCAUAUGCGUAUUUAUUUGAGGUCAUGUCUGAUAAAAUUCAUGCAAUAAUUCAUUUAUGUUAUCCGGAACAAAAAUACUUCAACUGUCUUUAUUUUAUGCCUAAAUGCAGAAUGACCAAACACUUGUAUGAACCACGUGUGAUGACAAGGAAAGAGGCAAUCGUUGGAUUCUAUUCAAUAGGUCCUCUCAUGUCAAAGGAAAUAAUUAAUUGUUGUUCAAUAAGUUUCCUCACGUCACUUUUAGGCCAAGAGAAGAUAGAGUCCAAGGCUUUCACGUUUUGGACUCAGAUUUGGACUGCACACACAUGCCUGUACCAAAAUGCCAAGAAUGUUUGCAUACGGACUCCAAAUUGGGUGAUUCGUUUUGGGCUGCAAAGUAGAUUUUAUGUGCUUUCAGGCCCAAUUGGAAUCACCUUUAAAUUUGUUUGGAGAGUGGAGAUAUAGAUCAAACAUUAUGACGUUGCACCAGAAUUCGAGUCAAACAACAAGUCCAAAGGUGUUGCAUCACCUCCACUUGGGCCCAUAGGCUUUGUAUGACCUAGGGUUAGCUUUAGGCUGCCUUGGGACGUCGUCCCACCUCCUUGGCCGCCACCCCUUACUCCUAUAUAAGUAGAUAAACCUAGUAGCUUUUUGCUGGAGAUUUGUUUAGUUAAAAGUUAGCCAUUGCAACUUCGUGUACUUUGUUUGUGUCCAACGACCAGACUAAGAGUGCUUCCAUUGCCUUCACGAAUAGACCUUCGUGGUCAGGUUGAUCGUGCUCUAGCAUGGUGAAUAACCUCUUGGAGAUUGGUUUAGCGAUUGCAAAGGCGCAAAGCCGUGCAUGUUUGUAGUCGGAUUGUCGAAGUUAUCUCCACCAAAUCUAUGGUCACCUUCUCAUCGAAAAUCGGGACCCUCACCUAUAUCAAGUGGUAUCAGUUUUCACUUUCAGGUUGCUCGGUGAUAAUUUCCAGUUAUCUCUAGAUUAGAUUUAUUUUUCUUACCUAUUACCCAAAAAAACCACAAAAAAAGAGUUAUAUCUAGUCAUCCUUUGUCCAAGCCAGUCUGAUCCUUUGCAAUUUUCUUUUUAGUGCUUGCAUAGUUGAAUUAUUGGUUGCAUCGUCAUGUCAAGUUGCUGGUCUUAGAGUCUAGUCUUUUAGAGUUCCAGGUUCUGUUCACAAGUUGUCACGCCGUCGCUGCACCAUCUUCAUCGCUGCUGCCAUAUACCACCACCACGCUCCCGUCAUUUCUUCCGUUGUCGCCCACCACCAUCCAUCAAUAUUCACCACUUGCUCCAAUUGUUCAUUGUCAUUAUCAUACUUGAGGUCAUUCGCUUCUGUGCUUGAUCCAAUCUGCAUCUUAAUUGGUUGUACGAGAGUAGAGAAAAAAAAGUGAGAGCGAAAAUAAGAGAAAAACAGUGAGAGAAAAAUAGAGAGAAAUAAGUAAAAAAGUGACAGAAAAAAAUACAAAUUUAGGAUCUAUCUAGAGUCAAUCCCGUAUGUGAAUUCGGAUUGGAAACUCUUUUGUGCAUUGUUAAGUAAAACAGGUGUAUCUUCCUCGUACGAAGUCCGUUUUGGCUCCACGAGUACUCAAAUUCGAGCUAUAGACGAGCCGCAUCUGAAUAGUUAAUCUAGCAUGUUCACUAUUGUCACCUAAAAAUCGGCUUGUAGAUAUGACUUUUUGCCCUCCGAACAUCAGGAACACUGUUUGUCAAUAUUUUUCAGGUCUGCUCCAGAAUUUUUGGAGUCCUCAUACGAUCUCGGAAUUGAAUGAUUCUUUUUGCAUUCUAAAGCUUGAGUCAGUAGCAUUCUUUAGAAAAAAAAUAUCAGAAAUUUAGCAUCAUAUUUUCAAGAGGGAAGUUCUAGAGAUAGUUUUGGCUUAUCAUGCUUGGAGGUCAUUUAUCAUCACUAUCUUUACUGCCAUUGUGAUCUUCACUUAUAUCUUCCUAUCCAGAGUUACUUCAUAUCAUCCGUUGCUUCUAUUUGUGCUUUGACGUGACUCCUUUAGUGUUCUAGGCUCGCGUCUCUAGUACGGUCUAGCCUAGGACCAGCACAGUAUCGUCGUUGAGCGUUUAUUCAGCAUUGCAUAUCUGAAUUGAUUAUUGCUAAUAUUUUUCUACCAUAUAUUAAGCCUUCCUAGUUCCACAUAUUUCUACACCGUGAAUAAAUACAUUUACUUGGCAAUCGCUAUAUCCAAGCUCUGAGAGUUUUAACUACACUGGUUGACGAUCACCACCUACUGCUGGGUAAGAAUUGGUAAGAAUUUGAGAUUGGCUUUACGGAUUUGCGACACACCACCGCCACCACCACUUCCCAGUAGUUCAUAGGAACAAUAUUUUUGGAUUUUGUUUUUUUUACUAGUCAUGACAGGAUCCAGAGUUGUCAGUUCAUGGGCUUCUUCGAUCGUGGGAGACGUGCCAUCACAACAACUAUUACGAGAGGUGCAGAGAGAUACAAAUGCACAUCACGAGGUUAAUGUUUCUAUACCACCAUUUAAUGGCUGUUUUAGACCUGUUUUUUAUAUUGAAUGGGAAUUUGAAAUAAAUGAUAUAUUUGCUUCCCAUAAUUUUGCUGAACAUAAGAAAGUUAAGGUCGCGGUUGGUUCUUACACCGGUUAUGCUUCGGUUUGGGGGAGCGAAUAUUGUCCGUUACAUCUUGAUUAUAUACCUACUACUUGGGAUGAUUUGAAACUUACCAUGAGACACGCAUUCGUUCCUACUUAUUAUACUCGUGGCAUGAUUAAAAAGCUCCAACAUUUAAAACAAGGUAGUGACACUGUCAUGAAAUAUUAUGAUGAUUUACAAACGACCUUGUUGCAUUCCUCGUUAGAAGAAAGUGAAGAAGAUUUUAUGGAUAGAUUUUGGGGAGGAUUAAACCAUGAUAUUCAGGAGAUACUAAUUCAUGAAAGGUGUUAUCCUACGGAUUGUUUGUUUCAUCUUGCUUGCAAAGCUGAACAGGAAAUAAAACAACGUGUUACCCACAAGGAGAACAAGAUCAAGGUGCACAUUCCAAGAGUUGAUGCGAUUGUUCCUUCCACUACUAAGCUUCCUAUGACAUCCACGUCAAUUGUUGUGACGACUACAUCACCUUCACCAUGUGGCACAUCACCACCGAGAGUGCCUACAUCGACUGAGUUGAUCAUAACAGGUAAUGACAAAGGUAUUUAUCUUCCACCUCCACAUGAGUAUGAUGACCUUCAUGUAGCACAUAAAAGAGAAAUCGUGAGUUAACGAUAUUGAUGUAGUAAUAUGAAAGGGCAUGAGUGAGUUGUUUUUGGUUAGUAAAAUAUCUAUUGUCAAAGAGUGUUAUUUUUUUUCCAUCUGAAUAGUGGUUAUGGAAGGGUGACGAUGUGUGAGCAUUCUUAUUCCUCAUUGAAAUCCUAGUGUUGUUUAGGUUGGGGGUGCGCGAUGGUUAACUCCUACCAACCUCCUCCCUAGGGGCAUCCGAGUAGUACUUUUCUUCGAGGGAGCUAAUUAAAUAUUGCAAUAAGUAUGUGAGUUCUUUAAGACUAAAGUGAAUCCAUGGAUGUACUCGCUCUCACCUCCUCAUAUUUGCUAGCCUCUUCGGUACCGUGCAUUGCCCGUUCUCACCUUGAGAAUCGAUGAAAACUUCGCCGGUGCAUCCAAACCCCACGAUAGGAUACGCUCUAUUGCACAUAAGCCACCAUAUAUCUUCCUCAAAAUAGCCACCAUACGUACCUAUCAUGGCAUUUCCGUAACCAUCCUGUGAUAUAUUUCCAUGCAACUUCCACUGGUACAUCAUAUGACUAGUACACUCACUUUCAUGUUGCGUUGCAGGAUCAUGUAGCCCACAUAGUAUUUAUGGCAAAGCCACCGUUCAUCAUUAUUAUACAUGUUACACUAGAUCAUUGCACAUCAUGGUACACUGCGAGAGGGAUUCGUAUAGUCAUAUUGUUUAUUAGUUUCUCAUAUCGAGUUGUAAGUAAAUAGAUGUGUGAUGCUUUUCAUUAUUAGGGUACCGUGUGAGGAAAGGAUGAUGGAGACUUUGAUUCCCCCACAAGUCAGGAUGAGACUCCGUAUGAAAAAAGGAAAGAAAAGAAACAAAAAUAAAGAAAAAAGAGAGAGAAAUAAAAAUAAAAAUAGAAAAUGAGAGGGAAAGAGAGAAGGGACAGUGCUACUACCUCUUUUUCCCACACUUGUGCUUCAAAAUAGCACCAUAUUUUUGAUAUAGAGAGUCUCAUGUUUUGUCACAUUCAUAUGAUAGUGGGAAUUUUUCAUUAUAGAACUUGGCUUGUAUAUUGUGAUGAUGGGCUUCCUCAAAUGGUUGAAGUCUUCGUGAGCAAGCAAGUUGGAUGCACGCCCACUUAGUUUGCGUUGAGAUUUCAUACACUUAUAUCUCUAGUGCAUCUGUUGCAUGGCAACCCCUACUCGUUGCAUUGAUAUUGAUUGAUGGGCAUCUCCGUAACCAGUUGAUCCGCCUAGUUAAUGCGGGACAUUCUUCUCCACUUUUACCCCUUUGAAACCUACCACCUUUUUUAUUCCACCUAUAUGCUAUGUCCAUGGUUCACGCUCAUGUAUUGAGUGAGCACUAAAAACCUGAAGUGCAUUAAUAAGUACGAUCCAAUUGCCUAGCUUAACACCGCGAUGCUUGUCAUUUCUGUUGUUCUAGUGAAGACGGAGGCAUGCCAUGAUAAUAUGAUAAAAAGAAUGGGGGGUAAAAAUUCUUGAAGGAUAGUAUAUUUUGAAACUUGGUUGAUUAUGUUACUUACAUUCAUGGAUAUUACUAUGUUGAUGUUUGUUAAUUCAUUGUUUCUCAAUAGUCACACCUCCAAGAUAUUACAUGUUGGGUAGCAUGUCACAUCAAGAAUUCGGUUUUUAUCAUUUGCGUGCUUGAGGACGAGCAAGAAUUCAGCUCGGGAUGUUGAUACAUCUCCAACGUAUCUAUAAUUUUUUAUUUUUCCAUGCUAUUAUAUUAUCAUUUUAGGAUGCUUUUUAGGCAUUUACUUGUUGGUUUAUAUUAUAUUUGAGCACUAACCUAUUAACCCAAUGGCAAGUGCCAAUUUUUGUUUCUAAAUGUUUUUGGCUUUUCAGGAAUAUUGUACCAAACAAAGUCUAAGUACCCCAAAAAAAUUUGAUGAUUUUUUGUAGAUAAAAUAAAUACUUGGAAGCUUCGGAGGAAUACCGGAGGGCACUCAUACAUCUCCAACAUAUCUAUAAUUUAUGAAGUAUUCAUGCCAUGUUUAAAAGAAUUUUAUAUGGUUUUGGUAUGAUAUGCAUGGAACUAACACGCAUUGAUGUUGUUUUCAGCAGAACUACCGUGGUGUUGUUUUUAUGCAGAACUAAAAGUUCUCGGAAUUGGACAAUUUUUUUACGUUUUUUUGGAAGAAAAUAAAUACUGGAGCAGAGAACCACUAGAGGGGGCCCCCUGGUGCUCACUAGGCACCAGGGCGCCCCAGCCCCCCUAGGCGCGCCCUCGUACCUAGUGGGCCCCUCAAGGCCCAUCUUGACAUGAGACCAACGCCAAAAAUUCCAAUAAAUAUGGAAAACCACAGAAAUAAACCUAGAUCACAAGUUUCGCCGCUGCAAGCUUAUGUAGCAACAAAAAACUAACUAGGAGCCCAUUCCGGCACCCUGCCGGAGGGGAAGAUCAUCACUGCUCGCCAUCUUCAUCAUCCCUAUGGCCGCCAUGAUGAGGAGGGAGUAGUCCACCCUUGGGUGUGAGGGUUUAUAGCAGAAGCUAUGUGUUUAAUCUCUCUCUCUCUCUCUCUCUCUCUCCCAUGUUCUUAAGAUGGCACAAUCUUGAUGUAAGCAUAUGGUGUUUUCCUCUCUUUAUCUUGUUGUGAUGAAUUGAGUUUUUCCUUUUAGAAUUGGUUUUAUCAAAUUGAAUACUUUUAUGGAAUUGAGAGCACUUGGUCUAUGUCUUGCUAUGAAUACCCGUGGUGACAAUGGGGUAUUGAUACGUCUCCAACGUAUCUAUAAUUUUUUAUGGUUCCAUGCUAUUAUCUUGUCAACUUUGGAUGUUUUAUAUGCUUGAAUAUGCUAUUUUAUAUCUUUUUUGGGACUAACCUAUUAACUCAGUGCCAAGUGCUAGCUUCUGUUUUUCCGUGUUUUUGGCCCAUUUUCAAACGGAGUCCAAAUGGAAUGAAACUUUACGAUGAUUUCUUUGGACCAAAAGAGACCCCCAAAGCUUUGGAAGAAGGUCAGAAGAGCCAUGAGGGAGUCACAAGCCCUGACGCCGCCACCACCCCCUAGGUGGUGGCGACCAGGCUUGUGACCUCCUUGUAGGCCCAACCGACGUAAUUCCGCCGCCAUAAAUUCCUAUAAAUUCAGAAGCCCCCAAAAAGAAACCUAGAUCGGGAGUUCCGCCGCCGCAAGCCUCUGUAGCCACCAAAACCCAAUCUGGAGCCCGCUCUGGCACCCUGCCGGAGGGGGAAUCCAUAUCCGUGGCCAUCUUCAUCAUCCCGACGAUCUCCGUGACGAGGAGGGAGUAGUUCUCCCUCGGGGAUGAGGGUAUGUACCAGUAGCUAUGUGUUUGAUCUCUCUCUCUCUCUCGUGUUCUUGAGAUGUCUUGAUCUCGAUGUACCAUGGGCUUUGCUACUAUCGUUGGAUCUUAUGAUGUUCUUCCCCCUAUCCUUCUUGUAAUGAAUUGAGUUUCCCCUUUGGAGUUAUCUUAUCGUAUUGAGUCUUUGAGAACACUUGAUGUAUGUCUUGCACGUGUCUAUCUGAUGUGAUCAACUUGCGGGUUUGUGACAAUUGGGAUCCUAUGCAUAUGGGUUGGCACACGUGGAUUCAUGUGAGUACUUGAUGUAUGUUUUGGUGAUCAACUUGCGGGUUCGUGACAUUGGGAACCUAUGCACAGGGGUUGGCACACGUUUUGACUCUCUGGUAGAAACUUUGGGGCACUCUUUGAAGUUCUAUGUGUUGGUUGAAUAGAUGAUUAUGAGAUUAUGUGAUGCAUAUCGUAUAAUCAUGCCCAUGGAUACAUGAGGUGACAAUGGAGUAUCUAGGUGACAUUAGUGUCUUGGUUGAUAUGUAUCUUAAGGUGUUAUUCUAGUACGAACUCUAUGAUGGAUGGAACGGAAAGAAUAGCUUCGUGUUAUUUUACUACGCACUCUUGAAUAGAUCGAUCAGAAAGAAUAACGUUGUGGUGGUUUCGUACCCGACAAUAAUCUCUUCGUUUGUUCUCCAAUAUUAGUGACUUUGGAGUGACUCUUUGUUGCAUGUUGAGGGCUAGUUAUAUGAUCCAGUUAUGUUAUCAUUGUUGAGAGAACUUCGCUAGUGAAAGUAUGAACCCUAGGCCUUUUUUCGCGCAUUGCAAUACUGUUCGUGCUCACUUUUACCAUUUGUUACCUUGCUGUUUUUGUAAUUUCAGAUUACAAAAACCUAUAUCUACCAUCCAUAUUGCACUUGUAUCACCAUCUCUUCGCCGAACUAGUGCACCUAUACAAUUUACCAUUGUAUUAGGUGUGUUGGGGACACAAGAGACUCUUUGUUAUUUGGUUGUAGGGUUGCUUGAGAGAGACCAUCUUCAUCCUACGCCUCCCGCGGAUUGAUAAACCUUAGGUCACCCACUUGAGGGAAAAUUGCUACUGUCCUACAACCCUCUGCGCUUGGAGGCCCAACAACGUCUACAAGGAGAAGGUUGCGUAGUAGACAUCAAGCUCUUUUCUGGCGCCGUUGCCGGGGAGGUUAGAGCUUGAAGCUAUAUCUUUAGAUCUUGCAAUUUAAUCUUUUUGUUUCUUGUUAUUUCUCUAGAAAACUACAAAAAAAUGGAAUUGAGGAUGCCUCAUAUGCUCCAUCUUUUCAAUGUCUUUCGUGAGCAUGAUGGGAAGGAAAAUUGUGCUCAAGUGCUGAAAGAAGAAUUACAUAGAAUGCUUGGCAUAUAAUAUGUGAAUGAUGAGCAUGAUUGCAAUGUUCUUAGAAUGAGUUCUUUGAAUACCCAUUAUGCUAAUGAUAUGCAAAGCCACAAGCUUGGGGAUGCUAUAUUUGAUAAAGAUGAUCUUUUUAGUUCUUCCACUUUGAGUGAUCAAAAUCAUUUUGAUGAAAGCAUGCCGCCUAUCUAUGAUGAUUAUUGUGAGGAUACUUAUGCUUUAAAGAAGAAGGAUGAUAAAACUUGUCAUACUCUCGAGAACCCUUUUGCUAAACCUUGUUUUUUCAUUGUGGACACAAUUUGUAGUGCUCAACUCUUUUACGAUACUCCCACUACUAUUCUUGAGAAUAGAUUUCCUUAUGUGGAGAGUAGUAAAAUUUCUAUGCUUGUAGAUCAUGAAAAGAAAGCCUUAGGUGCUGGUUAUAUUGUUGAAUUCAUUCAUGAUUCUACUGAAAAUUACUAUGAGAGAGGAUCAUAUGCUUCUACUUAUUGCAAUAUUAUCAAGCUUCCUCUCCAUAUGUUGAAAUUUUUGAAGCUAUGCUUGUUUUGCCUUCCUAUGCUAGUUGAUUCUUGCUCCAAUAAAUUGUUUGAUCACAAAAUCCCUAUGCAUAGGAAGUGGGUUAGACUUAAAUGUGCUAGCCAUUUGCUCCAUGAUGCUCUCGUUGUGUUUCAAUCCUUACCUUUUAUGUGAGCAUCAUUGAAAUCAAUGCCUAGCUAAGGGCGUUAAACGAUAGCGCUUGUUGGGAGGCAACCCAAUGAAUAAAUUUUUCUUUGAUUUUUGCUUCCUGUUUUGUUUUCUCCAUACCAUCAUAAUUCUGUUAUGAUUGUGUCUUUUGUGUUUCUUUUUGUGUUUGUGCCAAUCAAAACCGUUAUCAUUAGUCUUGGUGAUGAUUGUUUGAUCAUGCUGGAAAAAGACAGAAACUUUCUGCUCACGAAAAGAAUUUUAAUUUUUAUUCUGUAAGAGUUUUUGAGUUGAUUCUUUCUGCUGCUGAUUUAUAUGCAAUUUCUUUAGACUGUCGUAACUUUUCAGAAUUUUUGAAGUACCAUAGGUAUACGAAAUAUACAGAUUGCUACAGACUAGUCUGCUGUUAACAGAUUCUGUUUUUAUUGUUUUGGUUGCUUAUUUUGAUGAAACUAUGGAUAGUAUCGGGGGGUAUUAGCCAUGUAAGAUUGAAAAUACAGUAACCCAACAUCAGCAUAAGUUGAAUUUAAGUUUGCUACAGUACCUAAGAAAGUGGUGGUUUGCUUUCUCAUACUAAUGUUAUCACGAGUUUCUGUUUAAGUUUCGUGUUGUGAAGUUUUCAAGUUUUGGGUGAAGUUCUUAUGGACAAAGAGAUAGAGAGUGGCAAGAGCUCAAGCUUGGGGAUGCCCAAGGCACCCCAAGUUGAUUCAAGGAUGCCGUAAAAGCCUAAGCUUGGGGAUGCCCCGGGAAGGCAUCCCCUCUUUCGUCUUCGGUCCAUCGGUAACGUUACUUGGGGCUAUAUUUUUAAUCACCACAUGUUAUGUGUUUUUGCUUGGAGCGUCUUGUAUCGUAGGAGUCUUUUUUUGUCACAAUCAUCCUUGCUGCACACCUAGAGAGAGAGACAUGCACUCACCAUGAUUUUGUUGAGCUUCACUUAUAUCCUUUGGUAGACAAUUCAGCUCACAUGUGCUUCACUUAUAUCUUUUGAGCUAGAUACUUUUGCUCUAUGUGCUUCACUUAUAUCUUUUAGAGCGCAGCGGUGCGUGGCUUGGUAGUUGAUCUAUGCUUUGAAAGUAGUCUCAAAAGGGGUAUUUAUCCAAAGGGAUACGAAAACUUCCACCUUCAUGUGCAUUGAAUAGUUAGAGAAGAUUGAUUCAUCUCAAUUAGUUUUGAGAUAUGGUUGUGGUAAUAUUGAAGUUAUGCUAGUAAGGUGUUGUGGAUCUAGAAAUACUUGUGUUGAAGUUAGUGAUCCCCGUAGCAUGCACGUAUGGUGAACUGCUAUGUGAUGAAGUCUGAGCAUGAUUAGUCUUUUGAUUGUCAUCCUUUGUGUGGCGGUCGGGAUCGCGCGAUGGUUUAUACCUACCAACCCUUCCCCUAGGAGUAUGCGUUGAAUUUUUUGUUUCGAUUAAUAAUAAAACUUUUGCAACAAGUAUAUGAGUUCUUCAUGACUAAUGUCGAGUCCAUGGUUUAGAUGCACUUUGGCCUUCCACCAUCACUAUCUUCCUAGUGCCGUGCAACUUUCGCCGGUGCACAAAACCCACCAUUAGCCUCCCUCAAAACAGCCACCAUACCUACCUACUAUGGCUUUUUAAAGUCAUUCAGAGAUAUAUUGCCAUGCAACUACCACCAUGACAUGUGCCACCACGUCUACAUUGCCAUUGCAUGAUCGUAAUAUAGCUAGCAUGAUGUUUCCAUUGAUGUCUAUGCCAUGCUAGAUCAUUGCCACGGUAUACUACCGAAGGCAUUCCAUAUAGAGUCAUAGUUGCUCUAAGUUUUGAGUUGAAAGUGUGAUGAUCAUUAUUAAUGGAUCAUUGUCCCAUGUGAGGAAAUAAAAGAGGGCAAAGAAGCCCACCAAAAAAAAA